Molecule: long non-coding RNA, 147287 nt
Filed under: Ananas comosus (pineapple)
Lineage: Eukaryota; Viridiplantae; Streptophyta; Magnoliopsida; Poales; Bromeliaceae
Description: long non-coding RNA (ACOM_LNC018346)
Source: RNAcentral
AAAUAUUGCCUUUGUGUAUGUAAAUUUAUAUAUAUAUAUAGAGAGAGAGAGAGAGAGUUGAGCUAGAAUACUAUCGGUAGCAAACGGGCUCCGUUGUCACCCAUUUGUUUUCAAUGAUGGAGCCUCCAAAUCGACGAUCGGUACCGUUGAAAAUGAUCUAUACCACUUGAAGUAUCUAGAAAUCAAAUUUCAUGCUUUUUCGAUAUUUUUAUCUUGUCCAUCAAGUGGGCGUAAAAAUGAACGGCUGAAAAUAAAUAUCCUCUAAAAAGUGAUAAUAGAAAUUUUGUAAUCAAGAUCGAGAGUAUAGAUCUUGUUCUAAAUAGUUUAAAGAAUUUUCUAACCAAAAUUCAAUUGAUUUGGAUAGCUUUACACCGUUAAACGAGAAAAUACCUCAUAUCGACCAUUAAAAUUAAAAAUUUUGAAAUUCUUUGAUCAAUAGAUCAAUGAUGUCGAAAAGAUUUGAAAUUUGAUUUCUAGAUACUUCAAGCGGUAUAGAUCAUAUUCAACGGUGUCGAUCGUCGAUUUGGAGGCUCCAUCAUCGAAAACAAAUGGGUGGCAACGGAGCCCGUUUGCUACCGAUAGUAUUCUAGCUCAACUCUAUAUAUACAUAUAUAUAUAUACAUAUAUAUAUACUAGUUGAGUGUACGUACAAAUGUACGUAACAAUUAAUUAUUUAGUAAUUAUUUUAAAUUAAUACGAAAUUGUACAUCAUAUUUAUUCAAAAAUUUAUAAUAUUUUUUAAAAAUAAAUUUAUUUAUUAUGUACUAUUAGAAAAUACCUGUUAUAUAUAUUCUAACUCAAAUUUAAAUAGUUGUUGUCAACAAUAAUUAUAUAUAUAUUUUUAUUUUAUAAAAUUUAUAUAUAGGAUAGAUAUAGAUAUACAUCGGAUAUUUUUCUAUAUUUUUUAAAUUAAAUUUAAUUCACGAUUUGAACUCAAAGUUAAAUUUUAAUGUAAAAUGAAUGGAUAGAAGUGCUUUUUUAACAGAUUGAUCAUAACCGUUCAUUUUUAUUUUUAAUAUUUUUAACCAAUUGAUCAUACUCAUUCGUAGAAUUAAAGUUAUAGAUAAGUAUAAAUAUUUUUUUUUAACAAAUUAGUCAUAAUCGUUCGUUCUUAUUUGAGAUAAUUUUUUACAAAUUGAUCAUAAAUUUGUACAUCAUAUUAAUUCAAAAAUAUGAUUUACAAAUUUAUCAACCAAUCUAUCUUUUAAAUUAUUUUCAAUGUAAUAUAUUGAUAGUCCCAAAAUUUUAAAUUUUAAAUUAAUUUUAAAUUUUGAAUUGAAAUAUAGAUUUACUGUAGAUAUUCUGGCAAAAAUUUGGAUAAGCAUAAUAUUUUUCUAUUUUAGAGAUAAAAAAUUAAAUAAUUUUUUAAUUAAAAUAUAGAUUCACAGUAGAUAUCUUUCGGUUGGCAAAAAUUUGGAUAAGUAUAUUUUUUUUUUCUAUUUUAGAGAUAAACAAUUAAAUAAUUUUUUAAUUAAAAUAUAGAUUCACAGUAGAUAUCUUUCGGUUGGCAAAAAUUUGGAUAAGUAUAUUUUUUUUCUAUUUUAGAGAUUAACAGAAAUGAAAAGUUUGUUUCAUUAUGUUAUUUAUUUUACGUACGGAAAGAGGAAUCAAUAUUUUUCCCGCUAAAAAAUAGGUCUGUCGACAGACCCAAAUUUGAAAUACGUGCUUUUAUAUAUAGUAUAGAUAUAUAUAUAGUCCGGCUAUUAUACUCUUACGAGUACAAUAACCAGUACGAUAACCUUCGUGCUCAUAACUCGUAUUCGAUGAUAGAGCUUCCGAAUUGACGAAGCAUACCGUUAAAUAUUAUCUAAACAUAUAGAAAUCAAAUUUCAUAAUUUUCAAUAUAAUUUAUUUUGCGAUCAAAAAACCUUAAAAUUGAUAACUUUUAACGGUCGAUAAUUUUGACUGUUUAUUUAAUGCUCGCUUGAUAGACUUUAUUGUAAUUUCAAAAAAAAUUUACGAAAUUUAUUUUUUGAAAGUUUCAAAUGUUCUAAAUUAUAUUUAAUAGUAUAGAUCAUUAAUUUGGAAGCUUCAUCAUUAAAAAUAACUUAUGAAUGUGAACUCUAUACUCAUAAAAGUAUAUAUAUAUAUAUAGUCCGACUACCAUACUCUUAUGAGUAUAGACCUCUUUGUACUCAUAUUUUCAGCUGUUAGAUCUAUCAUUUUGAUCAUUUUCAUUCGUUAAAUCAAACUAUUCAACCAACUACCCACUCAACCUUAGGAAACUAUUAUCGUUCUAACCGUACAUCCCUUCAUUCAACGGUCGAAAACAUAUGAAUACAAAAGGAUCUAUACUCAUAACAAUAUAGUAACCCUACCCUAUAUAUAUAUAUAUAUAUAUAUAUAGAGAGAGAGAGAGAGAGAGAGAGAGAGAGAGAGAGUAGGGCUACUAUACUCUUAUAAGUAUAGGGCCCUUUGUACUCAUAAGUUGUUUUCGAUGAUGGAGUUUUCGAAUCGACGAUUCACACCGUUAAACAUAAUCUAGAGUAUUUGAAACUUUUAGAAAAUAAAUUUCGUAAUUUUUCGAAAUCAUUAUAAAGUCCUUCAAGUGGGUAUAAAAUGAACGGUUAAAAUCGAACGACAUCCUAAAACUGGAUGAUCGGAUCCUUCAAUUUAAGAUCGGAGUUAUUGAUCUUUAUUUAGGUAGUGAAUAGAAUUUUCUAUCAAAAAUUCAAUCUAUUCCGAUUCUCUUUCACCGUUAAACUAGCAAAUAUCUCAUACCGGCCGUUAAAAAUUGUCAAUUUUGUGAGCUUUUGAUCGUAAGGUAAAUGAUAUCGAAAAAUUAUAGAAUUUGAUUUCUAGAGGUUUCAAAUGCUCUAGAUAAUGUUUAACGGUAUGAAUAGUCGAUUCAGAAGCUCUAUCAUCAAAAAUAACUUAUGAGUACGAAGGCGAGUACUCAUAAGAGUAUAGUAGCCGAACUCUUUAUAUAAAGAGUAAUUAUAUAUAUAUAUAUAUAUAUAUAUAUAUAUAUAUAUAUAUAGAAGUCGGCUCCUAUGCUAUCGGUAGCAGGAGCGCUCCGUGCUACCAAGUUGUUUUCGAUAAUGCGGCUUCCAAAUCGACGAUCGACUCCGUUAGACUUGAUCUACACUAUUGAAAGUAUUUGGAAACUAAAUUUCAAAUUUUUUCGACACAUUUGACUAGUGAUCAAAAGAUCUCAAAAUUGACAAUUUUAAUGGCCGAUGUGGUGUGUUUGUGAGUUUAACGGUGUAAAACAAUCCAAAUGCGAUGAAAAUUUUAUAGAAAAAUUCUUUUCACUAUUUAGAGUAAAAUCAGUAUAUCUGAUCUUAAAUUUAAAUCUUUUAUCAUCAUUUUUUAUGAGAUUUUUAUUUUCAACCGUUCAAUUUUAGACUACUUAUUUGAUAGGUAAAUGAUAUCGAAAAAUUAUGACAUUUAGUUUCUAAAUACUUUCAAUAGUGUAGAUCAAGUCUAACGGAGCCGAUCAUUGAUUUGGAAGCCGCAUCAUCGAAAACAACUUGGUAGCACGAAGCGCUCCGUGCUACUGAUAGUAUAGUAGCCUAGUUCUAUAUAUAUAUAUAUAUAUAUAUAUAUAUAUAUAUAUAAAGUAAAAAAAUAAAUUAAAAUUUGAGAAUUAAAAUAUCACUAGCUUUAUAGGUCCAGGACCAAACGAGUACCAACAGUGUAAUUUAUCCUUAUUAAUUACUAGUCCCAAUAAAAAAUUGUUGCGGAGUGGUCCUCAAAAGCGCGUCGCUGAUGCGUUGCAUCAAAGCGCAAAGCAUUACACGGGAUCUGCUAGGUCGUGCAGUGUAUCUAUGAGCCUUCACUAUUGCCACUACAAUUACUAUUUACUGUUACCUUUUUUUUUACUAUUAUUAUUCUAGGGUGUUGGGGGGACAAAAUGAAGAACAUUAUUGCUGUUAGGCUGUGAUUGAAUGAGUAGUUUCAAAGCUAAUGCAUUAAAAAUAUAAUAAGAGAAAUGCUAACUCUACGAUCCAAGGAUAUUGUAACCGCUGCAAUCCUUGCGACGCCCCACUUUUUUAGAGGUCAUCUAUCUUAAAACUACUUUAUCCCAAGCACGCCUAACUCUCUUGACUAGAAGUUAGUCACCAUCCAAAAUACUAUAGCUGAAUUAAGAGAUUUAGUCUUAUUAUACUAUAUAUAUAUAUAGAGAGAGAGAAAGAGAGAGAGAGAGUACGGAAGCUUCCGUACUGUCAAGUUGUUUUCAAUUAUGCGGCUUGUAAAUCCACGAUUAGUUCCGUUAGAUUAGCUCUAUAUAUAUAUAUAUUCUAAGAAUGUCACUUGAUGAGACUUGUUUUAUUGGACUUAUCAGACCUUGUGGGUAUCCGCGCCCUUCUCGCUGUAUGACCCUAGCUCAGCUGAUAUGAAUCUCACAGUUUCGGCCGAUGAUUGGCUUGAAUACCAAUUAUGAUGCCCCACUUUUCAAGAGAUCAUCUAUCCUAUUAACUAUUAUAAUCCUAACAUACUUAACCCUCUUAAUCUCUUAGGCCUAAUCACAGUCCAAAUAUUAUAACCAAGUUAAAAGAUUUAAUCAUAUUAUACCUUAUAUAGUAAUAUUUCAAAUCCUACAAGCCUCACAACCUUUAGACUUUACCGACCCCUUUUGGAUUUUAAUUAAAAAAAGAAGAUAAUAAGACAAGUUAAAAAUAAAAAUAAUAAAAAUAAUAAAAAUAAAAAAGGCACUUAGAUAAGAGGGAUUGUAAGAUUACAAUCCAAAAUGGACUAUAAGGAUAGCAUUGCUAUUAAAAUAAAGAUUAAAUUACAAAAACCCUGCCCGCACAUUAGCACUAAUCUGAAUUACUCCUCCGUAUUAAAACUAUAUUAAAUAUCCUCCUACAUUUUGUCAUUCUUUUAAUAUAUCCAGCUUUUUAGGAUGACCAUUAAAUUCAGCUAUAAAACUUCAUAAAAAAUAUAAGAUUGCAGAUGAAACUGCUUAAAAUAAUAUAAUAUAAUAUAAUAUAGAGUCCGGCUAGGAUACUAUCGAUAGCGUCAAGGACUUGGUGCUAUCGAGUUUUUCACCGUUAAAUUUAAUCCUUUGAUUAUUUUUACCCGUUAGAUUAUACUAUUCAAUCAACCACUCACUCAACCCUAGAGGGCCCACAUCAUCCUAAUCGCACAUUUCUCAAUCCAAUGGCUAAAAAACUAAUAGCAUCAAUAACUUGAUGCUAUUGAUAGUAUUCCAGCCUAGUUCAUAUAAUAUAAUCAUAUAAAUUAAAUAAAAUUAUCAAAUAAACUAUUAAUUUUAAUAGUAUUAGCAAAAUAAAAAAAUCUCUUUUAUUUAAAUUUUUAUCUAAGAUAUGAAACAAUAUUAUAUGCAAGCUUGUUUUAGUAAAGUUUCACAACUUAAUUUGUUAAUUUUUUUAAUUUAUUGGAAAUGGUGGCCAACACAGGAUACUUUUUAUAAUUUAACUUAAAAUAAAAGUACAAUGUACGUAGGCUAAGUGUAUGCCAUUUUGAAAUAAUAAGCCCACAAACUAUAUAAACAUUACUUAUAAAUACCUCCUAAUUAUUUUUGUUUCAAUUUGAAUAAUUGUAAAAUAAUUGACAUAAAAAAAUUAUUAAAUAAAUUUAUUCAGCAGCCUAUUUGAAAAUCACCUACAGUUUAAGGGGCCUCCAUACAAUUUUACCCCCUAAAAAAAAAUAAUGGAGCUAAGCACACGAAGAAAAUGUAAUCCGUACAAGGUGAACAGUGGACAAAGCAAGAGGCCUAAGGAGCUAUUUGAUUAGAUGUAAUUAUAAAUACAAAAUAAUUAAAAAUAUAUAUAAUUAAAAAUACAGCCGUUGUAACUAUAUAUAUUCUAUUUUGUCAAAUGUAGUAGAAAACGCUCAACUAUAAAUAUUUUAUUUGAUUAUAUGCAAUUGAGAAAUAAUUUUUAAAAGUUUAUCAUUUUACAUAUAUGAUGGAGAGAUUACCACCAAUCUACAAAUUUUUUUUUUAUUUAAAAAAUAAUUAAGGAGGUAAGCAUAUAUUUUGUUUAAAAUUACUCUAUCCAAUUGCUGUAGUUCGAACUGCAGCCAAUUUAGGCCUAGUUCCAACUGUUGCAGUUAGACCUCCUCUUGCAUUUCUUAUUGCAGCAAUUAGAGUUAAAUAUAUCGAACCAAACAAUGAAUUUGUGUUUACAUGCAGUUACAAAUACAGUGCAGUUGCAACUACAUGCAACCAAACGGCUCCUAGUUUUUUACAAAAUUAUCAAAAAUUAUAUUUAUUUUCUUAAUUUUACUGUAUAUUUUUUUAAAAAUAAAAAUAUAAGAAAAUAAUAAUUAUAACUUAGAAUUAGCUCAAACAAACAGUACUGUAGAUGUACGAAAAGGGGACUUGAAUAGCAGUUAAGCUUGCAUGUGGAUUAGAUUAGAUCAAUUUCCAAUUCAAAAAGUGAGUCCAAAAGUGCUUCUGCAACAAUCAAUUAAAAAGCUAUGUUUAAUUUUUAAUAUGACAUAUAUCAUAACUUGAUCAUGUGACAACCAAACCAGCUAAUCAUUCCUAUCUAGUACAAUGAAGCAAUAGAUUUUAAUUCAAUUACCUAAAAUUAAUGUGUAGCUAUUAAAAAUAUACAUUUAGUUGUUGCCAAAUAUUGGCUUAUUUUCUUUCAUAUCAUCAACAUUAAUUACUUCUUCUUUUUUUCCUUUUUUUGUUUUUUGGGCCAUGAAAAGUGUACUCUGAUACUUAUAUUAUCUCAAAUAAAAUAUUAGCUAGGAAAUGAUCUUAAUAAAAGUCCAAUUAAGCUUAAUUGGGAACUAAGUAAAAUUCUACAACAAUUUCUUAUGGCAAAGUCAAUUUUUUAUUUAGCAUUGGAUGCAAAUUAACCAAUGUAAGAUACCAAACUGUAAAUCAACUAAGAAAUUAUUUAGAAAUUUAACUAAACUAAGGUUGAAUCUUUUAUUCAAGCUAAGCUAGGAGUUUUUUUUAUUUACCACAACUGUUUAAUGCAGUUGAUUGUUAUCGCGAACACCCUUGCCUUCUUGUUAAAAAAAUAUAUGACUAACAACUCAACUCAUUAGCAAUAAUAAUUUGUUGGGUUCUAAACUAUGACCCAAAAUACUUAAAUUUUACUAUUUUUUCUAGAGUUCAUAGUUUUUAUAUUUUAAAUCACAAUGUAGUACUCAUUUGAUGUAGGACUAUGGGAACAUUAUAGAUUUUUUCUAUUUAGAUCUCGACUAAGAAAUAUGAGACUAAUCUCACACUUUCCAUUAUUAAACUAGCUAUGAUACCAAAUUUAAUGAUCCAACAUGUUAGAACGAAUAACUGGUUGUGCCCUAAACCGCUAGCACAAAAUGCAUUGGUCUAGUGUUAUUAGAGCUCGUAUCAUGUAAUCUCAUUUACAAUUCACUUUUCAUUCGAUGUGGGACAAUUUAGACGUCACAUAAAUACUAAAAUAUAUAUAUAAAUAUAUAUUGUAAACACUAAUAAAUAUAAAAAAUGGAAGCCUACAACACCCCUAAAGUGAGAAAACCUCUAUAUUUUUCUUUUUCCUUUUUUUUAUAUUUAUUUUUGUUAGUUAUCUGGUCACUUUCAUACUUACCAUUUCCAAAAAUUUCCUCUUCCUUUCCCAUCAACUAGAAAACCAACAAAGUAUUAUUAUUAUUAUUUUUUUCCAUUGUAAAACAAAAGGUAAUUAUCGUUUGCCUUGUAAAUUAUUAUCCAAAAAAUUAGAAAUAAAUACUAAAAUAUAGAAAAUAUUUCUAUAGUACUCACUUUUUUUUUCUUUCUAAUUUUUAAAAAUUUAUAUUUUAUCUCUCCAAAAUUUUUAAAGUAUUUUUUAAAAAUUACAACAAUAAUAAUAAAGGUAAAAUGACUAAAUAUUUUUUCUUAUUUUUUUAAAAAAAACUUUUUUAAUAUAUUUAAAAAUAUUUUUAAUAUAAAUUAUAAAAAAUAGAUCAAAUAGUGAUAAAAUCUUGACCGAAAGAAAAAAAAAUAUGACGCCCCACUUUUCGGUUGUCAUUCAUUUUAGGACUAUUUUAGUCCUCACACGCUUAACUCUUUUAAUACCUUCGGUUUAAUCACCGUCCAAAAUACUAUAGCUGGAUUGAUAUUAAGAAAUUUAAUCUUAUUAUAUCUCAUAUAUAUAUAUAUAUAGAACUAACCCAAAUUUUGAGUUUGAUAUUAUAACCAGGUUAAAAAAUUUAGUCAUAUUAUAUCUCAUAUAUAGAACUAAUCCAAAUUUUAAGGUUGAUAUUAUAACCGAGUUAAGAGAUUUAAUCCUAUUAUAUUUUAUACACAUUAAUAAUCUAAAUUCUGAUGUCUCACAAGAAAACUAAAUAUAUCAACUUAAACUUUGAGGCUUCGUUUGGUUCGAGUAUAAGUAAGAACUAGCUUAUAUCAGGAAUAGGUAUAAGUUUAGCUAUAAGCGAAAACUAGACCAAUUUUGUGUUUGGAUGAAAAUUUGGUUGUUUCUAAAAAUAAGAAAAAUAAUAUUUGAAUAAAUAAGAUGGAAUAAAAAAAAUAAUUGAUUAUUAUAAAUAAAAUAUAAUAAUAUUACCCCUCUCAUUAUAUUUGAAUUUAAAAUUUUAAAUUCACAAUUUUAAAUUUUAAAUAAUUUAAAUUUUAAAAUUUUAAAUUUUAAANCAUUAUAUUUGAAUUUAAAAUUUUAAAUUCACAAUUUUAAAUUUUAAAUAAUUUAAAUUUUAAAAUUUUAAAUUUUAAAAUUUGAAAUUUAAGACCAAAUUUAAAUUUGAAAGAUAUAAAAUAUAAAUUUUAAAAUUUAAAAUUAUAAAUUUUAAUUUUGAGAUUAUAAAUUUUAAAUUUUAAAAAUUCUAAUUUAAGACAAAAAUCUCUCUCUCUCUCUACCCGGGGGUGGGAACAAGCUCCCACCCUUGGGUAGGAACAAGUUGUUCCCAGGAUAACCCGAUAUGGGUGGGAACUAUAUUUUUUUGUUUGGGUAUAAAAAAGGAAUAAGCCCCUUAUAAGCCCCUUAUCCCCCUCUUAUACCUAAUCCAAACGGCACCCGAAAGAAUAACUGUAAAUAUUUUUUAAAAGUGAAGAUGAAAAAGUAAAAAAAAAAAGUAAAUAUUUAUAAAAAAAAAUUAUGUAUUUUAGUCAAAAAAAAUUUAUUUAAUUUUCUUUCCACACUGUCUUCACUCAAAUACCCACAAUGCGCACCAAAAAAACAGGCCUUUCCCUUUCCCUCCCCACUUAUGAACAAAACCCACCUCAAAUCAAAAACCAAAAAAAAAAUAAUAAAAAAAAGAAAAAAACCAAAAUGCAUUAAAGAGCUGAAACGAAAUUAAACGCUAAAUCUUAAAAAAAUAAGAAGAAAAAAAAAAAAGAAGCGGUGAUGUGCAAAACACAAAAAAAAAAAAAAAAAAAAAAAAAAAACAUACCAUCUUCUACUGCGGCGGAGGCCAUUUGGGAGAGGAGGAGCAGCAGCAGCAGCAGCUGCAGCUGCAUGAGGAAGAGGCAAAUCGUCCGAGUCGAGGAUCGAACCAUUCUAUCUCCCUUUCCCUAGCUGAGUUCGUGACUCGGGAACUUUUUUCUUUUUUUUUCUUUUUUUUUUUUACUCUCUAAUUCUUGGACACAGAGGAGAGUGGGGGGAGCUACACAAAACUCACUCACUCACUCACUUACUCGGAGGUCUAAUAAGUGAUGGGGAAAUGCCCUCCUCUCUUUACCCCCUUUUAUGGUGGGUGAUUCCCUCUUUUUUGGCGUUAUGUGGGCCAUUAUUAUUAUUAUUAUUAUUAUUAUUAUUAAGACUAUUUUAUUAUUAUUAUUAUUAUUAUUAUUAUUAUUAUUAGGAAAAAUUUCAAAAACUCCUAUCUGGUUUCGUAGUUUCUUACUUUGUCCUCCUGUGGUUUAAAAUGUAUCAAUUUAUUCUCUUGUAAUUUUUUUUUCUCUUUUUCUUAUCAAUUUUAUUAUUUUUUUCUUAAAUCAGUUAUAAAGUUAAAAUUAAAGAAUACUAAUGUGAAUAUUUGAUAAAUCUAGAUGGAUAUCUAAAAUUUUUUGUAUAUAAUUUAAUGAAAUAUUAACGAAAAAGCUAUCGAAAAGAUAAAAACCAAACCACAGGAGGACAAAUUGAAAUAUUUUAAACCAUAAAGAGCCAAAGUGAGAAACUACGAAACCACAAAAAGGUUUUUAAAGUUUUCCCUUAUUAUUAUUAUUAUUAUUAUUAUUAUUAUUAAGGCUAUUUUAUUAUUAUUAUUAUUAUUAUUAUUAUUAUUAUUAUUAAUAAGGCUUUUUUUUUAUAUUCCUUUCUUUGGUAGAGUGGGAAAGUAUUGGGUACUGUGGGGGCGAAAUUGAGGACAUGCCAACGCAGUUCAACAGCUGUUAAUAAAAGAAAAAAAAAAUUUGUUGGAUUGCCAUUCAACUAUAUCAAUCAGUAGUUAGGGGUCUUUCCCUUUGAUGUAAUUAAAAAUACAAUUAAUUUCAUACUGGUCCCUGCAACAUAAUAAAUUAUAAAUAUAUUUUUAUAAAGUUCAAUUUUCAUAUAUUGUUUCUAUAAAAAUUUUAAUAUUUUUUAAAUAUGUCUUUCUGAUUUGUUACCGUUAAAUCACUGUUUAUUUUAUAAAUAAAAUGACCUUUUUGACAUCACUCUAAAAGUUCUAACGGUAAAUUAAAGAGGGAUAAAAAUGUUGAUUCAUCUUAUUAACUAACUCGGGUUAAGUAUUUUAUCUAUGGUUAACUAAUUUUUUCUAACGAAUCAUAGCGGCAUGAACAUAUUUGAAAAUAUCACGACUUUUAUAGUGACAAUAUAUGAAAGUUAAACUUUAUAAAGAUAUAUUUAUAAUUCACUAUAUUUAUAGAGACCUGUAUGAAAUUAAUCCUUAAUAAAAAAUAUAAUAUAAUUAUAGUUAUAUAUAUCUCGCUUGGAUGGAUACAGUAUGAAGUAUUGUAAUAAUUAUAAAUAAUUUAUUUGGUGCAUUCAAUUAAAAUGUGCCUUUGUAAAAUUUUAUCGCUUUACAUAUAUAUCAUAGUGAAAUUAUGUCCAAUAUAAGAUAGAAUUAUUUAAAAAGCAAUUCAAGAGUUAGCGGUUAGAUUCAAACACAUCGAACCGAAUGUCGAAUUUGAAUUUGCAUAUAUAGAUGCAACAAAAUAGCCUUUUAAGUCGGUCGAACUACUGAUGUCAGUAUAAUAUCAUAAAUAAUUCUGGGCAUUUCGGGAUAAAACCUUGGGCAAAGCCUCUCUAUGCUGCCUUGCUUUCUCUAGAAUCAACGAUAAUCAGGUGACAGAAUCUUUCCAUUGAAUACCUGAUCAGAGCGUGCUUGGUCAAAGAACCUUUCUUUCUUUACUCUUAAUUAUUAAUUUUUACAUAUAGAACCGAUCCUCCCUAGAGCAAGUGACAAAAGGCUUGGUGAUUGGUACCUGAGACCUAAGUUCGAAUUCUAGUUGAUUCACAUUUCUAGCUAAGUUUAUUUCUAAAUGAAAUAAACGAAACAUGUAGCAUACUACCUAUCUCAAAAAAAAAAAAAAAAAAAAAAAAACAAUGUAUAGAACAAGAAAGAUAAAAGAGAUAAUCAAAUCAUCUAAUCAAUGAUCAAAGAGCAAUUAGCAAGUGAUAGUCCGAACCGUUAGUCCAUUUAAAGGAGGGCUGGUUCAUCAAUUUGCCCGCUGAACCACUAAUUCAAAUGGGUCAAUACGAAUUUUAAAACCUUUCCGGUUUAAAUAGGAUGGCGAAAUCAGCCUCUAUUGGUAUUCAUUAGUAAUUUAGAUUGUUGGAUACAUUUCACUCUCUUUCGGAAAAUUUUUGAUUGUUCAUUUUAUGAAACCAAAAAGACUAAAUUAUAUAAAAACUUUCUAUCAAUACUCAUUUUUUUAUUUUCUUUUCUGUCAUUCAAAAAUCUAUACUUUACUUUCUUAAAAAAUAAAAAAUAUUUAUAAAAAUACGGUGUGAUAAAAUGACCAAAUUAUCCUCAUCUUCUUCUUCUCCUUCCCAAUCCUCGACUCUAGCUCCGAGUCCGUUUCCUCCAUCUGCUCCCCUGCUCCUCUAGCACCAUCGCAGUCCCUCUAUUUCGGCAACUGUAGGGAGGAGAUCGUGGUGGGCAGAGAGAUGGGCGAGGGCGAGGGCGAGACGGCGAAGAAGGGUGAGGCGGCAAAGGAGGACAAGGGUGAGUGCGCAAGGCAGCAGAGUAGGGCGAGGCGACACGGCUGAGGAUGUUGGUGGGGAACGAGGAUGAAGAUGAGAAUUUUAGAGAUAUUUUAGGUAUAAAAAAUAGGAUAUAAACGAAAUCCUAACAGAACAUUGACGGCGGAAACCGAAAUUAAUAUUUUUUAUUUUUUAAGGAGGCAAAGUAGGUUUUACGGUGACAAAAAAAGUAAAAAAGCGGAUAUUGAUUGAAAUUUUUUUUGUAAUUUAGCCAAGCGAAAUGUAGAUAUAAAUAUAAGUAUUUGAAAUAAAAUAUGGCAUUUUUUGACUCCUUAAGAAAUAUGUCUGUAAACUUUUAAAAUUUGUAGGAAUAUGUGUAACAUCUUUUUAGAGUUUUUUUAUAGGGAUAAGUAUGCAAAGUUCUAACUUUAGAAUAACACAUUUUUAAUUUUUUCUAAAAUAAAAUAAAAUAGAAGAUGAAAAAUAUGGGGAGAUCCUUCAACUAUGCAUUGCAGUUUCGUUACACACACACUAUGCACAUGGAUUCGUAAUGUAGAGAAACACCCUCCCUCAACAGUGUCAUUUUGAAAUAAAAACAAUUUCAAAUGCGCCCUUAAAAUUUUAAAAAAUGUUGCCUUUCAAAAUUCAUAAAUUCUAUCAUAAACAUCCUUUCUAUCAAAUUUAAAGUACAGGAAAUUUUAUUUGAGUUAAAAAUAUAAAAUAACUAAUUUAAAUUUUCGCCUUUUUUUUGGCUUUUUUUUAACUAAUUAUAUAUAGUUAAUAUUUUAGCUAGCAUGAAAAAUUACUGAAAUUAUUUUAUGUCCACUCGCUAAUUAAAUUUUCAUGACCACACUUCCAAACCCUACGUCCUAAAACACCUAAAACCAUAAAAACAUAAAAUUCUAAAACCCUAAAACCAAAAAUCUAAAAUUCCAAAACCCUAAAAUUUAUAAACACUAAAACCCUAGAGCCUUCAUACCCUAAAACCUUAAAUCCUAAACGAAGUUAAUUUAUAAGAGUAAUUUCGACAGUUUUCUAAAAUUUAAAGGGCAUUUUUAAUAUUGACAAUUUUUUUAGGUUAUCUAUGUAAUUAGCGGUUGACUAAAGGACACUCAGCAAAUUAACCCAUUAAAAUUUAUUGAAAGCUAUUUAUUUUAUUUAAGUCAUUUAAGUUAUUUUUUUAGAAAAAAAAUUAGCCACUUCUUAAGUAGUCGGUGAAAAAUAUCAACGAGUCGGAUUCAUUGCAGAUUUUCAAAAACUCAAAGCUAAACCCUGCUAUCAAAAUCGAAAUCCAAACUCAAACCCAAGAGCGUCAAAUUUUGAAAAUCUAUAAUCAAAAUCGAAACCUACCUAGAAAGCAUGCGAUCAUUUUUUUUUUUUACCAAAUUUCAAAAUAUAUCAUAUUGAAAUAUAAAUUUUCAAACUAAAAAACAACUAUAGAAAAUAAAACCGGUUCCGAUUAGUAUUCGGGUUGAGGUAUACGUAAAAACUACAUCGAAAGCCAAAUUCAUCGGUUCAUUUUCUAUACUUAUAAUCGAGACCGUAUGUAUUGAGAAUCAAUUAAAUCCGUCCUGUUCGAGUUCGGAUUCGGAUAAGUUUUGGUUAUCCGAACACAUUUGACAUCCUACUUACUAUUGGUCGACCAUCAACUAAAUGUUACUCAAAAUAUGUAUAAUUCAAAAGAGUCACAAUUGAAUUUAACAAAACUCCCGAUUUAGUUAAAAAUAGCUUAAAUAGCAGAGAAAAGAGUUGAGAAAAUACAUACCAACCAAAAGAAAAAAUAAUCCCCAUACUUUGAUCAUUUGAAACUAUUCAACUUAAUUUAAAACCUUUUAUUUUACGUUCUAAUCUUUUAACUAGUUCAUUUGAAUCAUUUAAUGACAUAGAGAAAUUAUUACAUGCCUCUAGUUAUGAAUUCACAAUGUUCCUCGAUGCAUGGAUAAGGCUGAAUCUGACUCAAUAUCAAGCUUGAACCAGAAAAGAAAUGAUCUUGCGGAUUCAGUUUUGAGAAAAGGCCUCAACGUUAUCGCACCGGAGUCGAAAGGCACGAGGCUUCGGCUUUCAUGCUUUGGCCAAUGGUCUCGACCAAAAUUAAAGGAACAAGGCCGCCGUAAAACGGCAAUCCUUGAAAGGAUAAAUACGCACGAAUGGAGAUGCGCAGAGCGGAGUUACAUUCACAGGUGAGGACGAGGUGGUCCGACGAUGGUCUGAAUGGCAAUCACAGGCGAGUAUCGUUAGGCAAGGUGGCUGAAACGAGACAGCGAUUAAUCUACAACUACUCCUAAGUUACAAAAUUGAAGAAUUUUCCAAGAUAUUAGAAAACAAAGAGAUUUGUACAUUAACUAACCAACUAUCUGAAAUUAUAUAAUAUUGUUAUUUCAUGUAAAUUAAAAGCAAGGAUUGAUAGGUUUAAGGGCAAAAGCAAGGCAAGAGUGAUUUAAUAAGUUAGUUGGCUUUUAUCUUGUUUAUCAUUGAGGUGACAAAGAGGCCUUUAUUAAAGUGAUAUGAUCAUUUCCAUUGAUACUACAUACUAAUUAUGUAUACUCUUCUUUUCCUGAUAUUAUUGCUUGCACCUGGUUUAUUUGUACGUCUCAUGCACCAUCAACUUCGUGAAGCCAAAAUAUGUGAUCUACGAAAUUUAAACGAUCUAUGUUUAAAGGAUCUUUGUACUAAUGAAGAUCCCAACCAAUUUCAAUAACCUAUGGCUAUGGUAGAGAAGUAAUAUAUAAAAAAUAAAGAGUCGAGCUAUUGUGAUUUUAAAAACACCAAGUAUUUAAUAUUUAUAAAUUUUUUUCUGUUAGAUCUAUCCAUUUGACCAAUUUUAUUUCUUAAAUUAUGUUAUUAUCAUAAUCUUUUUAUGGGUGCAAUGCAUAAAAUAUACAAAUUAAUAGUCGUACUCUAGGUUAGAAAUUUUAAUGGGUACGAAUACCCGAUCAAAAGUUUAUCCGAAUCUGAACUCGAACUCAAAUCCACUGGACUUAUCUAAUGCUAAAUGGAUAUAAUUUCGGAUAUGAGUAUAAAAAAUAAAAAAUCCGACGAAUUUAGAUUCGAGUAUGAAUUUUGUCUGUACCAGACGAAACCCGAAUUUGAACCUGAAGACAACCCCAAUAUAUUUUAAAUUAAUAUAAGAUAUAUGAAUAUUUAAUAUUAUAUUUAAGUUUAUAUUUUAUAUUUAAAAAUAUCGUAAAGAGAAAUAAAUAUCUCAUAUUUGGGUUCUGGUUUUGGAAUUUUGAUUUCUGAUCGGAUUCGGUUUUGAAUAUGAAUCAUAAGAAUUCAUCAGAUUUGAAUUUCAGACUUUGAAUUUGGAUGGUCUUGUUUUGACACGAAUAUUUGAAAAGACGCUCCGAAUCUGACCCAUUACCAUCUUGCGCUGGGUGUAGGCAAUAAUUUCUCCUCAUUUUGGCUGGUUAUGGUUCCAAUGAAUAAUCAUCUUAGCACUAUGUAAAUUAAUUAGUAGUGGGGGCCAUUGUUCAUAAUGCCUCAUCAAUUUAGAUUGAUUUUUUACAGCUAACUAAAACAUAGAUAUGUGUUAUCAUAUUUAUUAUAGACUUAAUAGAGAGGUGAAUUAAUAUGUAUAUAUAUAGGGAGUCCCGCUAGGGCGCACAAGGACUGCUGUACUUCUAAUAGCACAGUAGUCCUAGCAUCCCUUUCUCCCUAUUGAAUUAGGCUAUAAUCUUUCUAAUAACACCAAAUCAUUAGUACUAUAAGAUUUUCGGUCCUUAAAUGAAAAAAUGUGCGGUUAAAAUGAUAAUGAUCCUUUUAGGGUUGUGUAGGUGAUUUGUUGAAUAGUAUGAUUUAACGGAUAUAAAUGAUCAAAAAAUAAAUAAAUUUAAUGGUGAAAAAUUUGAUAGUACAAAAUGCUUUAUGCUAUUAGAAACACCUCAGCCGGACUCUCUAUGUAUAGGGCUUGUGCUAUUAAGAAUACACUAGUACUUGUACUCCUAAGUUUCUAACCAUCUAUAAUUUUGAUCGGUGGUUAGAGUGAGUGAAAGACAAAAAAUUAGAAAAAAAUUUAAAAAGAAGAGAAAUUGAGACAUUUAAUUUUUCUCUAAUUUUUUUUUAAAUUUUAAUCAUCUAUCAAAAUUGAUGAAUAAUUUAAAAUUUAGAAACACAUAGCUUGCUAUGUCGUUAAUUAUACAGUGCUUUUGCUCUAUAUAUGUAUAUAGAGUUGAGCUAGAAUACUAUCGGUAGUAAAUGAGCCGUUUUACUACCAAUUUGUUUCGCUGAUAGAACUUCCAAAUUGACGAUCGGCUCCGUUAAAUAUGAUCUAAACCAUUUAAACUACCUAGAAAUCAAAUUUCACGCACUUUCAAUAUUGUUCUUUUAUCCAUCAAGUGAACAGAAAAAUGAAUGGCUGAAAAUGAAUACUCUUUAAAAAAUAAUGAUAGGAGUCUUGUAAUCAAGAUCAAGAGUAUGGAUCUUAUUUUAAAUAGUUUAAAGAAUUUUCUAAUAAAAAUUCAAUUGAUUUGAAUAUCUUUACGCCGUUAAACGAGAAAACGCCUCUUAUCGAUCAUUAAAAUUACAAAUUUUGAAAUCCUUUGAUCAUUAGGCAAAUGAUGUCGAAAAGAUUCACUACAACAGAAUUGGGUUAUAGGGAGACAUGUUUGGGACACUUUUAUGUAAGUGUCUCAUUUAUACCAAAGCUUAAAAAAAAUCUACUAAUGCCUAAAUAUAAAAUUCAAUCCAAUCAAAAAUAAAAGAUUACUCUACUUAACUACCCCACCCAGCCCAUUCUGCCCGAUUACAAAUAGAAAAGAAAAAAAAAAAGAAAAAUCGAUUACCAUCUCCCCUUCUCCCUCACUCAAUCCACUUAAAUUCUAGACGAAGAGCCCUUCACUCUCCUCUUCCUCUACCACCACAGCCAACGAGGUAGAAUUCCGGUGGUUGCUAAAUACUUAAAUAAGUGUUGGUAAAUUAGCAGCACUCUUUUUAGGUUAUAGCGACACUCUUUAACUGUCACUAUAUAUCUAGUGACCCCACAUAUAGCAACAUUUUUUAAAAGUGUCGGUAAUUUAGUCAGCAUUAUUUUUUUUGACCUGUACCGAUAUUUGAAAGUGUCGCUAUAGACUGUUUUUGUUGUAGUGAUUUGAAAUUUGAUUUCUAAACAUUUCAAGUGGUAUAGAUCAUGUUCAACAGAGCCAAUCGUCAAUUUGAAAAUUCUAUCAUUGAAAAUAAAUCAAUAGUAAAACGGCUCGUUUACUAGCGAUAGUAUUCCAGCUCAACUAUAUAUAUAUAUUUUAUAUAUAUGACUUUUUGAAUGCACGCUUUCCUAGAUGAUAGGCCUUAGAGAGUCUGGGAAAUAGGAGCCGCGCAAAACAAAGUGGGAAACGCGCAAGAAAAUUCAUGUACGGUGAGAACAAAUGAGUCCAAGACGCGCGCGCGCGCAAAAAAAAAAAAAAAAAAAAAAAAAAAAAAAAAAAAAAAAAAAAAAAAAAAAAAAAAAAAAAAAAAACCCUGCACCCUCCCAAAGUUUCAUGUGAACACGCUUUGCCGGUAUUAUUUUGUACAAAACAAAAUCUUACUGAAGCAAUAGACCAAUUAAGUCAAAUUUCUACAAGGUCUAAACAUCAUGUUUUAUGUUUAACCUAAUGUCUCAAAAGGCGUGUCGUCUGUAAAAUUAGUGUGAUAUAAAAUAAUUUAAAAAUAUUAGAGGGAGAAAUAUUAUCUAAUACAGUGAUUCUUAUUACUAGAGGUUUUUGGAUGGCAGGAUUCGAAUUCCGAAAAUAUAUAUAUGUGUGGCGUCUUCAAAAUUUAGAAUAGUUUUAUGCAUAAAAUAUAAUAAAAUUAAGUUUUUUCUAACUUAGUUAUAAUAUUUUGGACGGUGACUAUAUUCAAAAAAUUUAGAGGAUUAAACAUGCUAAGAAUAGAAUAAUUUUAGGAUGAAUAAUUUUCUAAGAAGUAAGGCGCUACAAUUAAUAUUAGAAUCGAUUAUAAACCGGAAAUAUGAAAUGAGUUUCAACAGAGUUAAGAUCAUUCAGCGGGUAUGCGGCUUCCCACAAGAUCGACUAAGGCUAGUGAUUUAAGUCACAUAUCUCUUGGUACUUAUGAGUAUGCUUGAACUUGAUAAGGCCGGGAUUUGAAGGAGAGAAGAAUGUGACACUCCCAAAAUUUAGAAUAAUUUUAUCUAUAUGAUAUAAUAGGGCUAAAUUUCUUAACUCAGUUAUAACAUUUUGAACGAUAGAUAAGUUUAUUCUCAGAUGGAUGACCCUCUCGAAAGUGAGGUAUCACCGUAUGUUUAGAGAAUUUGAUACUCCAGCUUUUUUUUGGGUACUAGCAGUUGAGUUUGAGAUAGCUUUCAUGCUUCUCGCAAAAUUUUGCUUGCACCGUUAGUACUUUUUCUUGCUUUGGUUGCCGUUUGAUUUGGGGUUUAUAAUUCUAUGGCGUCUCAUUUCGCAAGCUUAAACUGGAGCUCUAAAACUGAAAAGCAUCAAAGUUUCAUUUAGCGCUCAUAUAUAAAACAAGAAUUGCUUGAUCUGUCAUUUUUUAGGGGCACAAGCAUAAUUAUUUUAAGCUCCUUAUAUAAUUUUACUUUGCAUUAUUAGCAAGAUAAAAGUUAUUUGUUUUUUUUCCCUUUAUUAAUGUAAUAAUACCAACGAACUUGCCGGUGCACGUGCAUAGCACGUGAGCCCGUAUACUUGCUGUUGUGUCCUCUUCAUUAUUUCACGUAUUUCUUUGUCACUUCCUUUUUUUAUCUCAUAAUAUCUAAAGUUUAUAAUUUGUGUAAGAACAUGAAACAGGGAUAUGGCCUAAACUGCUUUAUUCUUGCACAAUGUUUUAUGAGCGAAUUGUUACUAGUGAUAGUGAUAGUAGUUUGGCUACGCAAGCAGGUUUUGUGCAAUGUUUUAAAUAUUGAAUCAAAUAGCAGUAUGAAAAUAUUACUGAAUUAAAAGUCACUAAUUUAAUUAGUGGAUCAAUCGCUGAUACAAUCAGCAACGUUACUUCGCAAACGAUUGGUUAAGCGGCCAAACGGGCUCCAAAUUUGAUGAUUCUAUUGGAUCUGGGUUCGGAUCCAGCGGGAUGCUAGUCCGAGUUCAAGCACGAACAACCCUGACUAGUCACAACUGUGUACGGUCGGUAACAAGUCCAGUCUCGGGAGUCACUAGGGAUGCCAACGGGUCGGAUUCGGGACCGAUUUUUAAAAAUCAAAAUCUGAACCAAAACCUAAAUCCGACAAAUUUUAAAAAUUCAUACCUAAAUCGGAAUCCGACCAAACAUUCGAAACUUGAACCUGCCACAAUUAUUUAUUUUUACAACAUUUCAAAACAUAUUAAUAUAAAAUUUUAAUUUUUAAAAUACAAAUUCAAAUAUAACAAUAAAUAUUUAUAUACAUAUACAUAUAUAAUAAUGUAAAAUCAAUUCAGGUUCAGGUCGGGUUCUGAUUCGAGUCAGGUAUAGUAAUAUUUAUAUUCAAAUUUAAAUUCGUCGUAUUCUUAUUUUUGAUAUUCAUAUAUGAAAAUAUCUGUUUAGCACUGAGUAUAUCUGCUCAAUUCGGAUUCGGGUUCGGGUUCGGGUUCGGAUUCGUACGAAACUUUCGGUAUCGGCAACCAUUGACAUCCCUAGCAGUCACCGCUACGAUAUAGCUAUAAAACCUACCGCGAAGGGAGAUAGAGAGAGAGAGAGAGAGUGAGUGGAGGCCGACGGCGGCGAAAUGGAAGCCGAAGCGCGGCCUCCGUCUCCUCCUCCAAUGCCGCCGCCGCCACCUCCUCCCGCCGACUCUUCCACCGUCCACGGGUUCCAAGAAGUAGCUUCCGCCGUCUCUUCGUCGUCGUCGUUGUCGUCGUCGGCGGCGGCGGCGGCGGCGGCGGAGAUUGCUCCUCCUCCCUCUCCUCCUCCUCCUCCUCCUCCUCCUCCUCCUCUUGAUCGUAGAGAUCAAGAAGAGGCUAGUCUACGAGCCGAGCUCUUCUCCGGCGCUGCCGAGGAGGACCGAGAAGCCGCCCCGUACAUCAGCUGCGGCGGUGGCGAAGAUGGUCUCUCCGAUGAGCUCCGUGAUCAGAUCGUGCGGCAGGUGAUGGUUCCCCCUCCUUAUAUCACUUGCUAGUUUACUUUGUGGGUAUCAGGCUAUUGAUUUGCAUUACUGGUUCCUAAGGUGGUGUUUAGUUUCGCCGAACAAUUGCGUAAAACUUUUUGUUUUCCAAAACACUAUUUCCAUAGUUUUUGUUGUUUUUUGUUUUCUGGAUAAAAUUUUGCGAAAACGAAAUGUAGACUGAAAAAAAAAACAAUUUUUUUGGAUACUUGUUGAGCCAGAACGGAAUUAUUAUUAUUAUUAUUAUUAUUAUUAUUUAUUAUUUUUAUUUUUUUUUGGGUGAACUAAACACCCCCGAAGUAGAUGGGGAAAAACUAAUUGUGUUGAUGAACUUUUAUCAAACAACUUCUACAAAUAUGCCAAAUUGGCCCAUUGUGUCAUCUGACAUUGAUUUUACUGAUGAAAAAGAUGAUCUGAAUGUUGGGUAAGCAAAUUUUGAACCCAUUUGUUUAUGCAUUAAAGGCGGGAAUCAGAGCUUGACAUUUUGCAGAAUGCAUGGGUAAAAUUUUCUAAACAAAUCUCAUUCAAACAGCAAAUUUCCUUUUCAGCUGGAAAUGAAUUUUCUGAGACUAUGGUACUUGUCAAAAAAAUGUUGACUUAGUGUCUAUGCAUCAUCUUUUUAAUCUUAACAUCAGAUGAUGGAAUGGGCCAAUUCGCUACCAAUUUGUCAAAAAAUGUUCAUUUUCAGUGAAUACGGUCAAAGUGAAACUUUGGCUAUUGUUCUGGAGAUCCAAGUGCAAUUAACUCUAGUUUUUAAAUAAAUGUUUUCCGAUUGAAUAUGGUCGCAUACGAACUUCUCUAAUUUUUUGUUGUUAUUCAGGUGCUGCGGUAAUCGCACCUCUCUUAUAAAACUCCUUCUCUGUAGGAUUGGUUGGAUUUGGAGCAUUAUGUUGUUGUUUUCUUAUGAAAUCUGAACUAAAAUUAUAAGCCCAUUAUUUUCAGGUUGAGUACUACUUCAGUGAUGAAAAUCUUCCUACAGAUAAGUUUCUGUUGAAAUUUGUGAAGAAAGACAAGGAUGGAUUUGGUAAGUGAUGUAUACCUUCAGUACAGCAAAUUCUUAAUUUUAUUCAGGUUUUGCAAGAUUUGAUCAACGAGAUAGGUAUCUUCAUGGAAUGAAGCUUUGUUUCAGAAGCACAUUUUUACAUCUAGGGCGCCCAAACUUUGUGAUUUUAACGAUGAAAGAGCCAGGGCUCUAGAUUUUGGUCGUCUUACGUGAUAUGGCUUUCUCUGCCAGGGUAGCUUGGUUAUUAGUGCAAUUGAUUUUGGCACAUAUUGUGUGUUAUGGAACUGUUCAGUUCUAUUGUUUCAGUUGAAAAGUAGUCAGCGUGAUAACUUAGAUUUCAAUUCAACUUUCAAGGAAGUUUCAAUAAAAUUAUUCUAUGAAUGCAUCUGAGAAACAGUUUGAUCUGUUUUCGACCAAUAAAUAAUAAAGUCAAAAGUAAACUGAUUUAUUUAGAUCUGACGGUUAUCAUAGGAGAAGCAUGUUCUGGGACUAUUAAGUUUAUUAAAUUUGGGUGAAGUCAUGUUGAUUUCAUGGUCUACUUUGACAAAAUUAAUCAGUAUUUCUAUAAAUACUAAAUAAAUUGAAGACUGUGUGGAAUUACUGUACUUUUAUCAUGUCUGAACAACCAAAUCUCGAUUCUCCUGCUCCUCUCGAAUUUGUGGAUAACCUGUUACAAAUAUAACAUGACCCAAAGCUGGGACAGUUCAGCUUUAGCUGGGACCAGUUCAUCUUGAGCUGGACUUAUUGUAACUUUGAGCAAGCUCGCACUUGGCUUAUUAGGCUGUAAUUCAGCUUGCUCAGACAUCAGGGUCAUUAGUCUUGAAUAUGGCGAAUUCGGGCUUAUCAACUUGGGCUCAAGUUUGAGCUUGGGUCAUCUGAGUGCUAGCUAAAUCAUUAAGUUCUGGCUGCCAGGUAGUCUUGGCAAGAUGAUUUAUCUUUUAAAUUCCCAUUUGCACACUGCGUUUCCUAACUUGUUGGUCUCAUUUGCAUUAGAAUCUUCUGCACCCACUCAUAUUCCACAUCACUCUCACUGUUGUAAUAAUGUACUAGUGAUACAAAUCUUUUUGUGUGCAUGAGUCAAAGAACAGAGAUGAAAAUGAUGAAGUAAAACAGGUACUUAUGACAGGCCCUCGACUUAGAGUCUCCUGGUGCAGCUUUUCCAAAGCUGUGCUGAGCAUCUAGUUUAGGGAUGUGUGACUACCCACUUCUUGCUAUCUGAUUUACUCUGUUUUGACGAAUAAUCUGGAAUAUUCAAAAUUAUUUGUGUAAGCUUUUCGGAGUGACACCCCAAUAGUCUCACAUCGGAUGGAAAUGGAGUUGUGAUUGGGUAUAUAAGAGACCAUAGACUAGUAAUAAUUAUUACUGCUCUUAAGUAUUUUGGGCUGGUGGUUUGGGUCCAGCUAGUUAUUAUUGCUAGCAGAUCGGGUCGUUACAUAUGAGCUAAAGAUUCUAUUUGGAGACGAUGCCUCUAAGAAAUUAAUGACCUUUGGUCGACUCUACUAUUCCUUUCGCUAUCCUCCCUGUCAUUUUCUUUUUCCUUCGACUAUGUUCUUUACUCUCUGCAGGUUUUUAUGAUUUACGUUCUUGAGAAUCUUUGCUUGAAUUUACUUUUAAACCCUGGCAGAGUUAUUCGUGUUCUCUUGGUUCUUUUUGUUCGCAGACAAAGAUGAGUUUUCACUUGAUCAAUAGAUUUCUUCUGCUUUUGUACCUUACUCCGAUUAAGUUUUACCACCUUAUUCUUAUUAUUUUUCAUUUUAGCUAUCUUUUUUUUUAUUUCUUUCUUUUCUUGUCAAGGGACAAUGAUGAUGAUGCAAAACUGAUGAUCCUAGAGUCGAUGAAUGUUGCCUAGCAUUUUGCUACAGGUAGCUCAUCAUCUUGACAUUUUCUAGGAGAUGAUAUCUUCCUGUUCCUUACUCAUCUGAACUGCCCCUUUAGGAGUUAAUUAUAUAAACACCUCAGUAGAGUUGAGUGGUUUGUUCUUUCUAUCAAAGUGAAUUUUAAUAGAUUUUAUGGUCUGUGGUUGGCAUGCUUUGCAAAACUACCAAGACUAGGCUAGAUUGAGUUUGGUCUACUUGGUUGGUGUUUUCAGUGGAUGUACCUAAAUGGUUAAGUUCUUUAUAGGUUAUGUUUUAAGUUUAUGUGAGAUAUGCCUAAUUCUUGAAGAGGGUCCGUAUUGUAUUCAGAGUGUAUUUCUUUUUUUUUUUUUUUACUCUAAAGUACAGAAGUUUUAAUAAUUAUGUGCUUCUUUGAAUCGGUGAAUCUAUAUAUACAGCUGAAGCUUAUCUUGACCGGACUUGCUUUUCAGCUAAUCCAAGUUAUUUUUCUUGGGAGGCAAGAAACUAAGUCUGAUGUAAGCAGUCUUUAGAAAAGAAGGAAAACUAGGCAAACUGUAACUGAGUGUAGCUGUAACUGAGUGCAGCUUAAAAAAAAAAAAGACAGAUUGAGUUAUUCUAGAUCAAAAGGUAGCCCUCUUCAGUUUAAAUAUUUAUGAUUAUAUGGUAUUAGACUUCUUCAAAUUCUAGAAAAGGGACCAUUCUAUUCUUUAGUUCUUACUGUCCACAUAAUUACUAAGGGAAAGAGUAAAUUUUCAGGUUUUUUUCCUUUAUGAUAACGACAUACUCAGUUAUGCUAAUCCAUAUCUAUUUGUUAUUACUUUCCUGGAGCAUUCUUCACUUUGUCUUGUGCUCUAUCUGGACCAAAUUGUUGAGAAAAGGCAUAGAAGGAUAAGCAUUAUUCUAGUUGCAACGUUCUGGCAAUAGUAUAUUAUACUUUUUUGUUACUUGAAAUUCUAUUUCCUGUCUUCAGAGAAUGCUAGAUAAAUAGGAGCAAAUUAAUACAGAAUAGUGUAUGAGUUGACUGGUUUGCCGAAUUUACUAUUCAGUCAUAUAUGACAUCCUUAAGCAUUCCUUUGUUAGAUUCGGGAAAAAGUGGUUUAUAAUUUUUCUAAUAUACCAAAUUGUGUGUUUCCUUGGAGUUAGAAUUUUAUUGUCAUUUUUUUCUCAUGACAAAAUGCAUAUAGAUUUCUACAGAUCAGUUAUCUUAUUAGGUCUUUCAUUCAUUGUCUUUCUCCUACAAAGUAAAAGAAUAAAUUUCCCUUGUUUAUCUAAUAUUAGAUUUCUGGUAUACUGAAGUUUAUUAAUUCUUAAUAACAUUUUGGUUAUUGCAGUUCCAAUUGCACUUAUUGCAUCUUUUAGAAGAAUGAAGAAGCUUGUUCAGGACCUCUCGUUGAUUGAAGCAGCACUUAGGACGUCUUCUCAACUGGUAAGUUUUUAUACUAGACAACUAGCAGUUCGGCUAUUACGCUCUCUAAUGGUUUUUCCUUCCAUCCAAUAGUUAAAAUCCUUAUGAAACCAUGUAUUAUGUAUGACACAUUCAACUAAGACACCACUUUUUGGGCCAGCUUGGCCCUGGUGUAUCUUCUAUUGAAGUGCUGUUUGAGUAGAGCUUUCUUUUUCUUUCCUGUUGCAGAAAAGAGAAUUUAUUGCUUAUAAGUGGGGAAGAUCUCCAUUACAAAAAAUUGGACAUCGAUAAAGCAAAAACCCAGUAAAUCUCCAAAGAAAAGAUAAAGAUUGAUCAAUGCGGACUGAUCUAUCCUUCGCAAAAUGAGAUCUGCUAUACUAACUCUAUUUUCUAACCAAGUAGCCUUUUGAUUACACCUCUAUGAUAACGACAAUGAUGACUUUCUCAAAACACGAACAGGACUGCAUAUCCAAUAAGAAGUGUUUGAUUCCUUUUUUUCUCAUUAUGCAUAUGGCCAGUUCUGGGUCACUCUCAAUUGCCAGACUUCUUAUUUUCAGCUCAGCUCCUUUUUCAAAGCUUCCUAGACAGCUAUAGUUUCAGAAUAAGCCUUCCGCUUGAACAUAUAAACCCUAUUCAUGGAUAGAUUAGCAUUAGAGACUUGAAAAGCCCAAUCUGACCCACCACCUGUCAUCUGCAAAUUAAAAGAAAUAUUCACUUUCUAGUCAGCUGAAGGAGGGUUCAAAUAAAUCCACAAGAGAUAUUCUUGGACAGGCCAGGCUGGACAGAUUAUGUAAAUAGGUCAUACUCAUCAUUGAGAUGGUAUUUCACUAGACAACUUAACUGGGAAUAUCAGUAUUUAUAAUUUUUUUUUUUCAUCACAUUUUUUUUAAAAACAUAGUUGCUGCAUCACACUGCUGUACAAAAUACACCUGUUUGAAGUGGCAGAAGCAAAACCUUCAAAUUGGAGCUUUUGCUUUGCGGGUUCAAGAUAUUAUUAUAUGCUUAAUGCCACAACAAAAGUGCUAGACUCUUCGUUAGCCAAACAUUCUAGAAGCUUUAUCUUCUUGGAGUUGAGAAGCUCUUCUAGAAUCCAGGUCAAACAGACAAGAUUUUGUUAAGUAGAUUAAUCGAUAUUCAUGGCUAAUUUCUUACAUUUCUUAACAUUAUUUGUAGGUUGUUAGUUUGGGUGGCAAAAAGGUGAGGAGGUUACAUCCCUUACCAAUUAAUGAAACAAAAGAUGCAAAGGUAUAUACUCUUUCUUAAAAUGCAUUCCAAUUUGUUGUGGGCUUGCAGCUACUAACUACUAUCUGUUCUUUAUGUUGACCUUUGUAAUGUCAGUUACGGACAGUUAUAGUGGAGAAUCUAUCAGAGGACUACUCAAUUGAUAGUAUUAAACAAAUAUUUGGUAAUGUCGGCAGGUAUGUUACUCUACUUAUAAUGUACCGGUUGCUGUAAAAUUUAAUACUACUCUCAUAAACUCACUCUAAUAUUUUGUUGCUCAGUAUUGUCAAUGUAACCAUUCAUGACCCACAUUCAGUGGACGGUUCAGCAACAGCUAAAAGGCCUGAAAUUGUAAUUAGUAGUAAGGUAUGUUUUCAAUUACUUGUAUUGUACUAGCUAAUUUUGAAACUUAGGUAUUUUCAUGCCUAUUUUAGAGCUUUUCACUUGCCUUCACCAUGCCUAUAGCUUCUGCAAAAUUAUCCAAAUUAUGAUGAUUUUUUUCCUUAUAUUAAUUUUGCUGUCUUAUGAGCAGUGUGUGUAAUCAGGUUCCUUUCUAAUGUGAGGAUCUCUUUAUCACGUAGGCACUACCUAGGUGUUUCGGUGGAUCUCAAAAUGACUUGGAUGGCCAUUUUUAUCAUGUGCAAGAGUGCUUAAAGGGUAAAUUACAGUUUUGAUCCUCAAACUACAGGGGCACGUGACACCUUAGUCCUCAUACUUUAAUUCAUUGUAAUUUUUGGCUCGAAUUUUUGAACUGUUGCAAUCAAGUCCCACAACUGAAUUUGUUGGACUAAAUGUUGAUGCGUUACUAAGGCAGAAGUGAUGCAACAUCUUAAUUAUUGUUGCCUCAUCAUUGCUACACUUCUACAUUAGUAAUUCAUCAAUAUUUAGUCAAAAAAAGAGAGUUAUGGGACUUAAUUGCAACAAUUCAGAAAGUUCGAGCCAGAAGUUGUAACGAUUAAUGUAUGAGGAUUAAAGUGUCAUGCGCCUCAUAGUUUGAGGACCAAAAGUGUAAUUUACCCGUACUAAAAUAAAACAACAGCAACAUUAACACUGGGCUAUUUUACAUUAAAAUAAAAAAGUUAAAACUCUAAUUUACUAUACCUUGUUUCAGAAUUGCUGUAUGCCUUUAUCACCUUUAUUUCUUCAAUAUUCAAUGGUUUUAUCCUUUGGAUAAGUCAACUGUUGUCCAGGCAUCUAUGUUUAUCUAUAAUUCUAUAUUGAACAGGUUAUUACUUUCCCAUAGAAUUAAUUAGUUGCCUUCCCUGAUAGUGCAGGUACAUGUCCUUGUCGAGUACGAAUCAGUGGAGGCAGCUGAGAAAGCUGUAAGAGAUCCAGCUCAAUUCUUCCCUUUCAAUCAAUCUUUAGCAUCACGAGAUAAUUUUUCCUCAUCUGUCAUAUUUCAACUAUCUUAGGUAGCCACCCUAAAUGAUGAGAAGAAUUGGAGGAGUGGUUUGAGAGUUGAGCUUUUGUCCAAGCGAAUGGUAAUUUCCCUUUUAUAACCUCUUCCUUGGAGUUAUUUUGUCUUGUCUCCAACUAAACAAAAUAUUUAUUAGGGGAAACAUGGGCUAUACCAAAAGGUAGAUAAGGGUACUAUUUCCAAGAAGAACAAUGACACUCAGCGUGGAGAGAUUGCAUCAGAGGGUGAGAAAUUAAAACCUAUGGGCCGGCAAGAUGAGACGGUAUUGCUUUCUUCAUUGUAAUUAUUUGUUGCAUCCAGUAACUCUAUUCCGGAACGUUGGAAUGAAAAUUUCAAGUUCUUAGGCAUGACUACUCAAGCUUGUUGUUGCUGUAACCAGAGAGAAAACAUGGUUUGACGUUUUGGCUGUAACAUUAAAAUUGAAACUGCCUAUCUGAAACUUAUGUUCGAAAUAUAUCCAAACAUGGUUUAAAUGUAUCUAAUCUUUUCGGUAAGAGCGGGCUAGUAAAAAGGCUUUGUUUUAAAAUGUCAAGCAAUAAACUAGCUUAUAGGGCCUAAUUUUAUUAAUUUGUGAAUAGCUGUUCUCUUUGAUUGAUAGAUGGUGACAGGAAAAUUUUGAAAUAAGUUUCUCUUGGUUGAGAGCUUGAAAUAUUAUUACAAUGCAUAUUAUUUUCAACUGAGUUCUUUUUGUGUAUAAGACUUUGUUAAUAGAGGAUCUGUUUACUUAAUAGAGGAUCUGUUUACUUGAGUUUUGUUGAAAUCUUGAAAUAGUCUUAAAAAUAAUUUUCCUUGGUGAAUGACAAAAACCUAGUGGUUUCUUAUGUAACUUCUUAUUGCAAACUUUGCGCCUUUAUGCCAAAUUUGAUUUUGGUAUCCAAUAUGAUUUGACUAAGAAAAAGCUAUUCCUUGGAUCAUUAUUAUUAUGCAUGCAGAUGUACUCGCUUUUAUGGUUUCUUAAUUUGGUCUUGUGGUUUCUAAGUAGUAGUCGGAAAUUGCAUGUUGUCACCUUCAAAUAGCAGAAAAAAAUCGGCUCCAAUAUUUUCUGUUGAAAAGCUAUGUUCUAACUUCUACCUUGAUUUUUUUGUGUAGGAUGAGGAUCAAUUAGCCGUUUUUAAGGGAGGGCGGAAGAAUCGUCAUAAAGGCCGAGGAAGGAGUAACGUUCAGCAAAAUUCUGAUGGACAGGGUACUUAAUUUAAACCUUGUAUAUAAUGAAUUUUUUCGAGUGUCUUGUAUUGGUGGCCCUGUCAUAUUACUGGCUUUCAAUUAAAUGCAUAACUGGUUAGACUAAGUUUCAUAGGUUUUAGAAAAAGUAAAUGUCUUCUAAUUUCUUGUAAAUGCAAUUACUUUUAGCCCAUUUUAGAAUUCACGACGUUCAAACACCUGAAUUCUAAGCAUGUCAUCUAUUCAAGGCUAAUUAAACCUGUUUGAAUCAAUCAAGUUUCGGCUCCUUCACUGCAACUUCGUCGACCAUGUUAUUUUUAUUGUGCUCUUUAUUCAUCCUUUAGCUUGUUAUUUAGUCAUCCUUUAGCUUAUUGUAAAAAUGAUAAUAUAAUAUUGUCUGAAUCAAAAUUCAAAUUUCAUACACCAGAGAGUGCAAUUGCUAACUAUAUCCAGCUUUGAAAUAAACUCCUCUUAUGUAUGUGUUUAUCAUCCUUGUUCAGCAAUAUCUAAGCUGCACCUUCACUCUUAAUUCACUCUUAAUUUUUCUGUUUUUGGUAUCUCAGGUCAUGAAUCUAUUCCAGUUGGUUCGAGUGCCCAGUUUAUGAGCAAGCCCAUUCCGGGACCACGAAUGCCGGAUGGAACUAGAGGGUUUGCGAUGGGGCGCGGUAAACCUGUUAAUCCCUAGCACAAACCUGGUGAGGAACGCGAAUAGAUGUCCACUCUGAGACUAUUCAUCUGAAUACCAGGUACUUCUGAUGCUAUGCAAAGGAAAGCGUAUAUUUCUUUGUAAAUCAUCCCAUAUACUCUUGUACAACCAUUUUGUUACUCUUUAUAUUUGGUUUAUCUUCAAAGAGGUUCUUAAAUUUGUUUCAUCAUGUGUUUUUAUUUGUAGAUGUUUAUACCUUUUCUUUUUAUUGUUUAAACCUUAGUAAAAACCGUCAGGCCGUUGCAUUGUCUCUUUAUUGUAUGGUAAGUUGAUUACAGCAUGCGACAAUGUUUACGUAAAGCUAGUAAACAUGCAGGAUUAGCUUAAUUAUGAAUACUGGAAUUCUCACGCAUGGUUUGAGUUAGUGUGGAACAUGUAACAGUGCUCGUGCUUGAGUUCCGGUUUCUAAGUCCAGUCAUCGCUACUGUGCUGCGAUUUGUUGAAAUACACUGUCGGAUCACUUUGUAAUUGAAACUCUGUGACUCUCAAGUAUUGUGAUUGGCUUGUUUAUCAUGUUUUAGUAGUUCUUCCAGGUUCUUGGAGGCCAAAAGCUGUACAAGUACCUGAGAAUAUGUGGGUAUGAAUCAGCAAAAGAAGUUGCAACUACGGUGAGCAAAGAAGUUGCCAUUUCUGCAAACCAACCCGAAAGUUUGAACUGGUUUUAUCGAACAAUCUGUUCCGGUAACCAAUGAAAUAUGUCUCUCUGCGUAUAUUGUAGGUUCAUGUUAUUGUCGUCCGUCGAUGGGGCCCACGUACUAGUAGUCGCAGACAACGUCAGAGCCGCCAGGCUGGUGAUGGAAAGGAAUGCUGAGUUCUCCGCCAAGGUAUUGAUCACUUUAGCUGCUUGUUGGUGGUUGAUAAUAGUUGGAAAGAUAUAAGGUGUUAUUUCGGAACCUCAGUUCGGAACCCUCGAGCGCAGCGCAGGCGUGUUAGAGGUUUGGUUAGGGACUGGGCUGAGUUUUGCUAGACACUUUGGAUCCGCAUAUAUGUUUGUACUUGGUGUUUGUUUUCAGUAGUUCUUUUCUUAUUUUAUUUUACUUGUUCUCUCGCCGCGGCCGUUUAGAGGCCUAGUUGCCGCAACGUUAUAUGGCUAAAUUUAUUUUUCUAUUGAAUGAAGUGAUAAGCAUAUUUUCUCUCUCUCUCUCUCUCAAAAAAAAAAAAAUCUCUUAAUAUUUGGGCUACUCACUCUGUAUGCUUAAGAAUAGCUUUAUCGGAAUUGGCUUAUUUCAUUAGAACUUAGAAGGAAAUUUGGAUGGUUGUAAUUUAGUAGAAACAAAAUAUGAUGACUAGGGACUUAAAAAGCAGGAAAAAAGGGUUAGGGACUACUGGUACAUGUAACCCUUUUUUUUUUCUUCUUUUUUUAAAGUCGUGUCGCUCUUAACGUGAUGCACUUUACAUUCACGGUGAAAAGGCACUCAAAGUUGAUCUCAUCAAACUGAGUUGUUAACUCAUAUCUCCGAAGCAGAUAAAAUGAAAAUCUACAUGCUUCUUUGGAGUUCAUUUCGCCUGGGAGAUAAAGCAGUAGCUUUAAGUAUUGAAUUUUUCAGUGCGAUACUAUUGAGGCGAUGUACUAGCAAUAUGUCUUUAUAUAUUGUUAAUGUAUUAGAGAUAUAAUAUAAAUAAAUUUAAAAAAGAAUUUCAAAUAUCAUCCCUGUGGUUUCGCAUUUUUUUAUUUUAGUACCAUGUGAUUUAAAGCGUAUCAAUUUACUACUUCGUGAUUUUAUUUUCUCUUUUUAUUAUUACAUCCACUAAUUUUUUUCGUUAAAUCAGUGACAAAGUUAAAAUUAAAAAAUAUUAAAGUGAAUAUUCGACGAUAAACUUAGGUGCGGUAUGUGAAGUUUUUUGUAUAUAUAGUUUAACAAAAUAUUAACAGAGGAGCUGACAAAAGAGAAAAAUAAAACCACAGGGUACUAAAUUGAUACACUUUAAACCACAAGAUAUUAAAGUGAAAAAUUGCGAAACUAUAGGGAUGGUAUUUGAAGUUUAUCUUAUGUUAAUAUAUUGAUAAUAUAUAUUGCGGAUUUGGGGUGGGGGAAGGCCUACGAACAUUAUCUUAAAAACCCUCGGAAGUCCUAAAACAGCAGUGAAAGCCUCUUUUCUUACAAUAAUAUUAAAAAAAAGAUUAUAUUUUAUCAAAAGACCCUUAACCAAAUAUUAUUGGCAAAAUAGUCCUACUUCUGUCCAACUCACCAUUAGGGUGAAAUAAAAGGCCAUAAAAUCGUUGACUUUAUUCAUUAAAAGCGGUGAAUCAUUCACCAAAUUUAUAAAACGGUGAAUAAUUUAUCUUAUUUUUAUUGAGAAUAAUUAAAAUUUUUUAUGAGAUUGUUAGAAUUAUAUAUAAAUUUUUAUAGAAUUAUUAGAAUUGUAUAUGAGUUGUUGGGCUAUAUUUUAUAUUUUAAAGUUUUCUUAUGCACCGUCUUUUGUAAGUUUUAUUAAAGUCGGUGAAUAAUUUACUAAUCUUUAAUUUUUGCUGCCUCAUGAAACUACGUGUGACAAAAUAGAGCUAUAUAACCAAAUAAAAUUUUGGCAGGAUUAUUUGACAAAAUAUAAAAUUUUGUAAAAUUACUUUUACUAGAAAGUCUUUAGUGAGCGCGAACAUUCUUGAUCUCCCAAAACAAAUACAAAAGAGGGGGCUGCCGCCUAGAGUCUUGGUGGCGAGCUUCGAUCUACUGGUGUAUGUUAGUUUUGUCUGUUUGCUGAGUAUUUUUUAGGGUAAACUUCAAAUACCAUCCUUAUGGUUUCACAUUUUCUCACUUUAGUACUCUAUGUUUUAAAGUGUAUCGAGUUAGUGUCCUAUGGUUUUAUUGUUAUCUUUUCGUCAGCUUUUCCGUUAAUAUUUCGUUAAAUUAUAUACAAAAAACUUCAGAUAUCUCAUCUAGAUUUAUCAAAUAUUCAUUUUAGUACUCUUUAGUUUUAACUUCGUCAUCGAUUUAACGGAAAAAAUUAGUGAAAUCGAUAAUAAAAAGAUAAAAAUAAAAUCACAUGUCACUAAAUUGAUGCAGUUUAAAUCACGGGAUACUAAAGUGAGAAAGUAUGAAACUACAGGGGUGGUAUUUGAAUAUUUUUUUUUUCUUUAAUAUCAUCAAACUUAGAAAUACAUUUUAAACCUAUAAAGAAAAAUUUUAAUUCUUGGUUAGAGUACCGAUUGUUCCAAGAACAAGUGGCAAAAGAUUUGAUGGUUAGUAUUCGAGAUCUAAAUUAGAAUUCGAGUUAUUCAUAUUUUCAGCUGAAAUAAGCGAAAUGAAUAACAUGCUACCUUUAACUCAAAAAAAAAAAAAAAUUUCAGAAAAAAAAAAUUUCUUUGUUCGAGUCUUUUUUUUUACAAAAACGAUUUCCUCGCCGCCGAUCUCCCCCUCCUCUUAGCGCGGGAUCGUUUUCCUCGUCGAGGAAGCAAUGGAAUCCAUUUCCCAUCUAUAAAUUGAAGGCCAAAAAAAAAAUAAAAAAACCCAACACCCCACCCCAUCUCUCUAUUCCUCUUCUCCCAUGUCCUCCGCCGCCGCCGCCGCCGCCGGAGCUACGAACCCCCACCUCGCCCGCUUAGGGUUCCGGCGAACCCUAAGACCCUCCGCCGCCGCCGCUUUCCGAUUCCGCUGCCUCGUAACGUCCCAAUCUCUACCACUUCCCCCUUCCUCUUUGCACUCCCUGAAAUUGCUUACAACCUUAUUACGAUCUUAAUGCACUGCAUGAAUGUCUUGAUCGUGUGCAACAAUUCCACCAUUUCGUUUGUCAUCACGGUAUUUGAGCUUUUUCGCGACGAGCUAAGAGUAUUAAUAUAUAUAUAUAUAUAUAUAUAUAUAUAUAUAUAUAUAUAUAUAUAUAUAUAUAUGGCACGAUAUGAUGUUUCGAGCUAUGCUGUCGGUACGAGAGUUAUAUCAUGCCGAUAUUUUGUCGAUAUGGUGGGUAUGGUCUGUAUCGAUAGACAUUUCAAUUUCUUGAUAAAAUGUUUAAGUCUAAGUUACAGAUAAUUAUCCAAUGUUGUUGGACCCAUUUUGUCCGGUCCUAGCAUGCGUCAGAGCAGCAUGUUAAGAAUAUUGGUUAGAAACAAGAAACAACAGUUUCAACACUUGUAAGAUUAGGCUUUUGGGUUGAUUUCAGCUGUUCUUGCUUUGAAUUGCUAGAGUUAAUUUUAUAGUCCUGUACAUGGCUAUUUCAUGAACAAUGUAAACUAUCUAGACCAGUUCCACUAUUUCGUAUGUUAUUAAUUUGCUCAUACUCCUCCUUUCUGCAGUAUUUUCGAUCCAAAUCUGUCGGUCAAAGAUGGAACGCGCGGAAUCUUGCCUUUGUGGUUGCUGCAAUGGAUGAGGUGCAGCAGUCAUCUUGUUGCGAAACUCUACUACCCCUGUGUUGUUCAAUGGCUUCCUGUUCUGAUUUGGCUUUCGUAUUACAGAGCUCCGUGGAGUUUUCUGCGAUUGAGGACAGAAAUGGGGUUUUGGGAGGGAAGUCUUCUCCUCAGCUGUCUUCAAGUGAGGGCGAGGAGAGCGACGGUGACAUUGCAUAUCCUUCAGUAGACGUGGAUUUACAAGUAAAUAAGGACCGCUCGGAGGCGCCUGGUGAUUCUUUGACAGCGGCGGCUCACCGGCUUGCAAACCUUAGACAAGGUGAUAAAAGGAAAAGGUGAGGGGUUUGUUUCUUCUCCCGUUCUUGGCAUACAUUCAAAAACAAAGGCAGAAGAUCAUUGAAUGCUAAUUGUUCUUAAUUCCAUUUUGAUCUUGCCAUUAUGACCUAAAUAUAACCAAAAGAAUAAAAAAAGAAAACUAUUAGUUACCUUUCUGUGUUAUUGCUGCUCUAAGAUUGUCACAGGUAAUGUUUAUCUCCAUAGGUUCCAUUAGUCUUUUUGUUUCGCAAUAGGCUAGUUUUUGGCAUCCUAAAACUAAAAUAAAGGAUGCUUUUGUUGUCUUGGCAAUCAUGUAUAUGUACAUUGCAACUGCCUUAAAUGAGUUUUUUUUUUUUUUUCCCUUCUGAUGGCAGAUUUCGAACUGGAAUGUUGAUUAAUUUCUGGUUGAUCACCUUCAUAGUCAUCUUCUUGUUAUGGUUUGAUUGGUUUUCAUGGCGAAUAGUGAGAAAACCACUGAAGCCAUUUUUCUUAACGAAACCUUUUAUAGUGUCGGCAAUUUUAUCAGCAUUUGCCGGGCUUUUAUACGUCCCUAUAGUUGACAACUUGAAGAUUCACCAGAUUCUUAGAAAAGAAGGUCCAAAACACUCUUCCAAAAGGGGAACGCCCACAAUGGGUGGAUUAUUCUUUAUUCCUGUUGGAAUUGUUGUUGCUAAAGCUUUAGCUGGCGAUAGUUCCACUCAGUUAAGUGGAGCAGCAAUAGGAACUCUUGCAUUUGGUGGAAUUGGAUUACUUGAUGAUCUUUUGAGUUGCAUCAAGGGUCAUAACUAUGGUUUGUCAGGAUGGGUAAAGCUAGGUUUGCAGGUAAAUUUCCUAUCUCUAUCUGGUACUUAAUGUUUUCUGCUAUAUGGAUUGGUGAGUAUCGUAUAACAGCUUCUCUAUGGUGUUUUUGACAGGUAGCUGUCGGAACAUGGUUCUCUUUUUGGCUGGACUCGGCAUCUAUAUCAUCGCCAUACAACAUGUAUAUCUCAUAAUCAGUAAGAUACAGAACUUUGAACAGUAAUGAAGGCCUGUUGUUAUUAGCUAAUUGUUCUUUUUCUUGGACAAUAUUAACGUGAAUAUAAAUCAAGUUUGAAGAUGCUGGUUAAUAAUUGGCAAGGAGAGAGGUGUGUGCCCUAGUACUAAUGCACAGCAUGCAACACCACAUGUCUGCACAAAUCUUAUCAUUCUUCCAUAGAUCCUUUUUUUUUUUUUUUUCCUUCUUCUUCCCCCUUUUUUUAGAAAACUUUCUCAUGUAGACCUUAUCUAAGCAUAUGAAAGGCUAUUGGUAGCCCACAGCACUGGCUUGACACACGCGACCUUAGACAUUGAUUUAAAACAGUAUAGAUAGAGAGAGUGCUUAAGUUCAGAUUGUCCUGUUUAAUAUUUAGGGCUACAAGUCCAAGAAUGUGCUCAUAUGAGUCCUGGAGAUACUUUCAGCGGAAAGAGAUAAUAACGAUGACAAUACAUUUAAACAGAAAGACUUGUAUAUUUCACUCUUUUUUUUGCACGUGGUUUGUAACUGUUAUUUACAAUUCAUCCCAAAUUUUUUUACAUUAAAUUGGAAUUUGGAACUAGUUACAGUAUUUUUCUCAAUUGUUUUUAGGGAAAUUUCUUUUAUUAAAUUUCUAUGACUCUCAGUCUUAGAGAUCCUACACAUUGCUGGACAUCUGUGCUUAUUUUUGUAGUCGGCAUUGUUCUUUUCUUUUUAACUAAAUUAAUAUUGUUGCGCACAGUCAGUACGCAUCCUCUAAAUUGUUGGAAUGCUUCUAAAGACGAGAAAAAUAGCACAUAAAAGCUCACGAGGGGAAUUACUUUUGGAAUCCCAGAAAGGCAGAAACUUGCCCCGGCCCUAAGCACUAUUAGCCAAUGGAAAACCAGGAUCUUCUGAAUAUAACAAUUGGUUGACGACUGACUGACAGCUAAUACUAUAGUCCACUAGGCAAGGACUAGCAUUUAGCACGGGCAAAUUGAUGUGUGUAGAAAUUCUUCUUUUUGUUAUGGUGGGUUCUGUUUGCUGCUCUCUAACCACUGGUUCUCCAAUAUAUUUCUAGCUUCAAUUGCAAUGAUUUUGACUUUUCAUUGGUGUGGAAUUAGUGCUAAUUUCUUAUAUUAGCCCGUAGAGGCUUUAAUGACCCUCAUCUUGAUGGCUAUGUCCCGCCAUACCUGUUCUUGUCUCUCUAUGCUACUUUAUUCUGAUGUUUUUUUUUAACCUGCACUUCCGAUGGCUUGUAGAUAAACAUUCUCUGAAUUUUAUGAAUGUUAAGUUCUCAGAAGAAGUUUGUAAAUUUUACGAAUUUUUUCUUUUAGUUGGUUCAAUCAUGCCUCGAAUAAAAAAAUGUAGGUAAUAGAAUGGAAUCUCCCAUCUUUUCACUCCCUAUUUUUGUUUAGGAAGUAUUUAGCUCCUCUUCCUCCACCACUUGGCCUUGUGUAUCUGGGAAGGCUCUAUCUUGGUUUGACAACAUUCUGUUUCGCUGCAACGGGGAAUGGAGUUAACUUAACCGACGGACUUGAUGGAUUAGCUGGAGGAGCAGCAGCACUGGCUUUCAUGGGAAUGUCUGUAGCUGUCCUUGCUAUAUGUCCUGGUAAGCUGAUACUUCUAACACCUGUUAUGUACCCCUAUAUUCCUUCGUUUGUUUCACAUUUUGUCGUUUCUUUGACUAGCACUGUAACAGCACUUGCUAUCUUUUCUGUUUCUGUGUCAGCAACUUUUCCUUGAUGAAAUCUUUGAUUUUCUUUUUAGUUAUGAAAAAGGCUAUUUAAUUCUGUUCCAUUUGUAAGAAAAAUGCUUGAGUAGCCCUUCAUGUGGAAGCUAUUGCUUCACUUUUUCUGAUAAUCUAAGAAAUGAUUUGGUAAAAUAAGGCUAAGCUGUUGGAAAAUUAUGAGUUAAUAUCUGUUCUUUUCACUCAAACAGAACAGUUCCUGAUCCUGCCAAUUUUAUGCAAUGUCAUUUCCAUCCAAAAUUCCCUACGUUUGUUUGGAGCUAUUCAUACCAUGUGAUAUUUAGUAUGUUAAAUGACCUUAUCCCCUUGUUCUAAGGAGAAUCAUUUAGUAAGUUGUGGUUAAAAUUGUCAAUUUUGUCAGUUAAACUCGCAUGGGAAGUGCGUUCCCCAGCUGAUGUCUAGUUUUUUGAAUGUAAAAUAAUUCCGUAGAUAACACUGCAUAAUAUUAGGUGAGCUCAUGGAGUAUUUUGUUUGGUUGAAGGAUUCAGAGACUGAAUUGCACUUCGUCAGAAGUCCAUGGAUUAUAUAUAUAUUCAACCCUAUAUUUUCCAGAAUCUUGUAGCAAUAAUAAAAGCAACCACUACACUAUCUUAGUGCUUUGCAACACUAAUACUUCUAAUUUUAUCUUGGUUGGAUUUUUGUGUUUGUUAUGAAUGGACCAAAUAAGCGCUUACUGCUUGCUCAAUUUUUAAUAGAGCUAGCUGUAUUUGGAGCCUCGAUGGCGGGGGCUUGCAUAGGAUUUUUGUUCCACAAUCGAUACAAAGCCUCUGUAUUCAUGGGAGAUACUGGGUCCUUGGCGCUAGGCGGAGCACUUGCUGCAAUGGCUUCUUGUUCUGGCAUGUUCUUCCCAUUGUUUGUAGCAUCUGGUCUUUUUGUAUUGGAAGUUUUGUCGGUUAUAAUGCAGGUAUGGUCGUUUAACCUUAAUUACUUCUCUCAUUUGUAGCCGAUCCAAUCUUGCCUCUCCACUUAUUCCAUAAUCAUAUCAUUCUUUAAAUGUAGAAUCUGUUGAAUAAUAGUUUUGUUGUUUUGGUUUCAUAAUUAUCUAAGUUGGAAAGGGAAUCUAUUUUUCACUUCUAUAUGUAUAUAUAUAUAUAUAUAUAUAUAUAUAUAUAUAUAUAGUAGGGCUACUAUACUCUUAUGAGUAUAGAGCCCUUCGUACUUAUAAGUUGUUUUCGAUGUUGGGGCUUUCGAAUCGACGAUCCACACCGUUAAACAUGAUCUAGAGUAUUUGAAACUCUUAAAAAAUAAAUUUCGUAAUUUUUCGAAACCAUUAUAAAGUCUAUCAAGCGGGUAUAAAAUAAACGGUCAAAAUCAAACUACAUCCUAAAAAUGGAUGAUCGGAUCCUUCAAUUUAAGAUCGGAGUUAUUGAUCUUUAUUUAGGUAGUGAAUAGAAUUUUCUAUCAAAAAUUCAACCUAUUCGGAUUCUUUUACACCGUUAAACUAGCAAAUAUCUCAUACCGAUCGUUAAAAAUUGUCAAUUUUGUGAGCUUUUGAUUGUAAGGUAAAUGAUAUCGAAAAAUUAUAAAAUUUGAUUUCUAGAAGUUUUAAAUGCUCUAGAUAAUGUUUAACGGUAUGGAUCGUCGAUUCGGAAGCUCUAUUAUUGAAAACAACGAAGGCGAUCGUACUCAUAAGAGUAUAGUAGCCGGACUCUCUCUCUCUCUCUCUAUCUAUAUAUAUAUAUAUAUAUAGAGUCCGGCUGUGGUGCUUGUAAAAGCACCAAGCUCUUGGAGCUUGUGAAUUUUUUACCGUUAGAUCUACACCUUUGAUCAUUUUCACCCGUUAGAUUAUACUAUUCAACCAACCACCCACUCAACCCUAGGGGGCCCACAUCAUCCUAACCGCACAUCUCUUAAUCCAAUGGCCAAAAAUCUACAAGCACCAAUAACUUGGUACUUUUAAAAGCAUAGGAGCUCAAUUCUAUAUAUAUAUAUAUAUUAUGCACAUAUUGCCUAUCUAUGAUGUCAAAUGAUGUAAAAAAGAGGUAAAAACAUAUAUUACUUGAACUAUCGAUCAUUUUCAGUUGACUAUUAAACCUUUCAAAAUUUUGAUUUUACUAUCCAACCUUUCAAUUUUUUGAUUUGAGCCAAUCAACGGCAGUGUGACUUCAAAAUUUGAAUGUGUCGCUUAUUUUUACAAGUUUAGGUAAGCAAUUAUAGAUUCAUUAGUAAGCAAUUGUUUAAAUUCUGAGGUCAAAUUACCGUUGACUAGUUCAAGUCAAACAAAUUGAAAGGUGGGGUGGUAAAAUCAAAAUUUUGAAAGGUUGGGUAGUUGACUCAAAAUGAUCCAUAAUUUAGUUAAGUUUUAUAAGUUUUUACCUGAAAAAAGUAGUGAUCAUUGCCUAAUGAGUAGUCUAGGUUGUCUCUUAACAAAUUAAAUGCCCCACUACCCAUGUAUUGCUUGUUAAAUGCUUGUAUUAAAUCAUUAGGCUUUUUGCUGACCCAGAACCUUGGUCACUUAACUUGAAACUAUCUCCUUUUUGUGCCUCUUUUUGUGCCGAAAAGUUCAUUCCUUUCCGCAGCCGAUAAUAUCUAAUCUCUCAAACUAAAAGCUUCCUUCGUCAUGCAGGUUCUCUCUGUGCAGGCCACUAAAAGGCUUUAUGGAGUUAGCAGGCGCGUAUUUCGGAUGGCGCCUGUGCACCAUCACUUCGAACUUUGUGGUUUCAAGGAGCCGGUCAUCGUGGCCACCGCCUAUGUUAUAUCCUAUGCAUUGGCUUUGCUCGCAGGCUACGUCGGCUUAAUUUCCGUUUGAAGCGCACCCGUUUCCACAACAACUUAAACACUCUUUUAAAGAUACAAUUUUCCUUUAGAGUUUUAGUCAAUUUUAACUACUCUAUCUACUUCUAUCUCAGAAAGAUAAAGGAGACCGACUAGCUCGAAAUUUGUCACUGUAUUACACCCAGUUGCAAAGUUACUUCCAUAGAGAACAAGGAUUUAUGAUUAUCACAUGUGAAUGACUCUUAACAUGAUACUUCAAUGUGUUAUGUUUUAGUUUAGUGUAUGAACUGGUGUUUUACGCUUUCGAAUUAUCGAGCACCAUUUAUUUUCCAGAAGGAAAUUGUGAAAUGUGCUGACUGAUCUGAUUGGAGUGCUUGAUCAUGCAAGUUUUUUAACAAUGACUUGUUUUUCUCCUUAAUAUCUGGAAUUCAUCAUCUGUUCAAAUUGAGGAGUGUAUUUUGAUAUUUGAGCAAUGUUUACUGCAGAUUUUGUGGUGGAUUCUUUGUUAAAAAAAUGAUAAAUUAUCUCCUCUAUGCAAUAUACUAUUUUUCUUAUUUUUAGGGGCAUAAAUUUUAAAAUUCUCACAAAAGAUUUAACUUUCCAGUAGGAAUAUUUUUGCGGAUUCUAAUAUUGUAGGAAUAUUAUUGUUUAGUUCUUGUUUUGGAAUGUUUAAGAUUACGUCAUUCCCAUGUUUGGUUCAAUCUGAAAAAUUAUUAGGUUAUAUCAGGGGUUUACUAUUAUACCCUUGUUAAUAUAGAUGGAUACUGCAUAUUAUUUUAGGACUUUUUUUUUUGCAUUCGGUCCCCUCAAAAACAUUAUUUUCAUAAAUAGUCGCACCAAAUUUAUAAUUGCAAUUUUGGCUCUAUCCACGCCACGUAGGCACCACACGAGCAGAGGUGAAGGGUGUGGAAAAAAUUGAAUGCGAUAAUCCAUUCAACGUAUUUAGACGCGGUGAAUAGUUCACCGUGUUUAAUAUAUUAUAUUACUUGAGUGCGGGGUGAAUAUAACCACUAAAUACGGUAAACUAUUUACCGUGUUCAAACACGGUGAAUGGUUCACCGUGUUCAACUUACUACACAGUCUCCACCUUGCUCGCAUGGCACUGACGUGGCGCUUGCAUAGUAAGAGUAGGACAAAUUGCAAGUAUGAAAUUGAUGGGGCUAUUUGUAAAAAAAAAAAACUUUUUGUCACGCCCCGGAUUACACGUUCCCCGGGCACGCCGACAAAUCCGCCGUAUACAAAGAAAUUUUUUCUGUAUACGAAGCGACAGCUGUACCUGUAAAUCAAACACUACUACGAACAGUAGUAGAGAGCUGUUAGAGAAAACAGAAGCUAAACAAACAGAGUUUCAUAUACAUAGUUCAAAAUCAAAAUACAGAGCUACUCGCACUAGCGAGUUAAGUCAACUAUGUACAUAAACUCGAAACAAAACAUCUACCUGCAGUAGGGGCACCUCUAGCUCAGCACGUCGGGUAGGGCUCUAACUCGCGACGCCCUUGCCUCGAUCCUGGUCCGCGGACGGUGCAGCAGCCGGAACCUGUGGCUCUGCAAAAACAUAGGUAACAACUGGGCGUGAGAACUACUGUAAAAACAAGUAGUCCUCAGUGGGUACCGCCCAAAACAACAUCGGUCACCCACUAAGUCUACAGAAGGGAGCAAGAAUAGUAGGAAAAGCAGGAAGUAAACUCUACCGCUAUCAAUCACUACACUAUCAUGCUCUACACUAACCAACUGUAGGAAAUGUCAAAUCUGACCCAAUCCAAUCGGGACUGUAAGCAUACCCGUCCCCGGGACUGUGAAUACACCCGUCCCUGCCCCGUUGCGACUAUCAGGCUCUAUCCACACUAACUGGUCCGUGGAGAGCAAGUCCAACUGGCAUGAGCGACACCAACGCGAAAGCACAAGCCUGACUCCGGAGUGGCACUCGUGGGCGCUACCCAACCGAGUAUGCAGCGUAUCUCUGUCGAGCUCAAACAGGCUCUGAAAAGCCAAAGUCAAGAAAUCGACUCUAACUGGUCUAACAACCAACAAGUAACGUGCCCUCAGCACAAUCUGACGCCAAAAAGGCGAUACGGGUCCACCGUCACUCUGACGGCACCCCACAGUCCGGAACAACCUGAACAACACUGUAAAAAUCCACUCGGCAUACCAGCACGAGCGUAAAUGUAUACUAAACCACCUGGAGUACUCGUCUCGAGGAUACUGCGACAGUACAAUUUAAUAACGGCUCCUAGAGCUAAAUCAGGCAGUUUAAUCAAGUGACAGGUCCAAAUCGCAAGUUUUCUCCUAAUUCAAUUCCCAAGUCCAACAUGUAUAACCUAUUCAAUUUAUUACCACAUGCUCCAAAUUCAGAUAUGCAAUCUACCAUUUAAUCCAUGAAUUCGAGCUAGAAUAGAUUAUUCAAAAAUUGAAAACUAUACAUGUCGACGAUUAGAACUUAGGAGUCAAAGCCGAUGUAACCCACCUCAAAUGCUAAUCACAAUCCGGCGCAACAACAAAAACGGCGGAAUUGGACCCUCGCCCGGCCCCCCUCGCGAUGCUACGACGACGAACAUACGCUCGAACGGCACCGCGGCGCGACGUCGACGAAACUCCACACCACCCGAGCUCCUCCUCUACGUACGGCUCAAGAACUAUAUAUAGACAAUGCACAGGUAUCAAGAUGAUAAGCAUGCUUGGGGGUAAGGUGCACGUGGCAUCCUUAUCCCCAGCUAGCUUACCAACUCAAAAGAAAUAAAAAGAAAAAGGAAAAGAAAAGAUAAAGAAAUAAGGAUACUACAUCCUCCUCCACUACAAAAAGUUUCGUCCUCGAAAUUUAAAACAUACCUCAAGACGGGACAACGAACAAGUCGGGGUAGGACUCCCUCAUCACUGUCUCAGGCUCCCAAGUCACCUCCCGCUCCUCGUGAUUGCUCCACUGCACUUUCACAUACGGGAUGACCCGGUUGCGCAAUUCCUUCGUCUCGCGAGCAAGAAUCCGCACCGGUCGCUCCUCGUAUCUCAAAUCCUCGCCAAUCUCUAGUGGAGUGAAGUCAAUCACGUGAGAAGGAUCGAAAACAUAUCUUCUCAGAGCCGAGACGUGGAACACAUCAUGAAUCCCAGCUAGUCGGGGUGGUAGAGCAAUCCGGUAAGCAACUGGUCCAACACGCUCCAAUACCUCGAAAGGGCCAACGAAACGUGGACUAAGCUUUCCACGCACUCCAAAUCGGCGAAUCCCUCUGGACGGCGAGACUUUGAGGAAAACAUGAUCUCCAACCUGAAACUCUAAGUCUCGUCUCUUGGUAUCGGCGUAGCUCCUCUGGCGGCUGUGAGCUGUCAAAAGGUGUCGUCGAACGACUCUCACCUUUUCCUCAGCCUCAAGUAAGAUUUUCGGUCCAAGUGUCCUCCGCUCACCCACAUCGCUCCAAAACAGGGGGGAUCGACAUCUGCGUCCAUACAAUGCCUCAAACGGAGCCAUCUGAAUGCUCGUUUGAUAGCUGUAGUUGUACGCAAACUCAACCAGUCUCACAUGUCGAUACCACCCUCCUCCAAAAUCCAGGACGCAUGCCCUUAGCAUGUCCUCUAGAGUCUGUAUGGUCCGCUCUGACUGACCAUCUGUCUGUGGGUGGAACGCCGUGCUAAAAUGCAGCUGUGUACCCAAGGCUGUCUGCAAACUCCUCCAGAAAUGUGAUACAAACCUCGGGUCUCUGUCAGAUAUAAUCGACACUGGUACGCCAUGCAGCCUAACGAUCUCAUCCAAGUAUAGCUGCGCGAGUCUCUCCCUGGACCAGGUAGUCUGAACCGGUAGGAAGUGAGCAGACUUGGUCAGUCUGUCCACUAUCACCCAAAUCGCGUCGUAGCCACCCUGCGCUCUAGGCAAUCCAACGACGAAGUCCAUAGUGAUGUACUCCCACUUCCACUCGGGCACUGGCAGACUUUGAAGCUUGCCAGCAGGCAUCUGAUGCUCGGCCUUAACCUGUUGGCAAGUCAAACACUGAGCCACAUAUCUGCCAAUGUCCCUCUUCAUUCCAGGCCACCAGAACCGUGCCUUAAUAUCUUUAUAUAUCUUGGUUCCCCCAGGGUGAACUGUAUAAGGAGAACAAUGAGCCUCUCUCAGAAUAUCCGCUCGAAUCUCAGGAUCCACAGGCAUACACAGUCGGUCCCUGUACCUAAGUACUCCCGCACUGUCCAAAGCAAAUCUCCCAUCCUGCCCCCUGUCUAGCCGCUCUCUAAUCCUCAACAAAUACGGAUCUCCACUCUGUUUCUCGCGGAUCCUAUCCAAUAGAGUGGGCUGCAACACAAGAGAUGUCAGCCUCGCCGUAGACCCAGGGGGUACUAUCUCGAGUCCCAGCCGCUGUAGCUCCUCGAGUAGGGGCCUCUGCUCAGUAAUCCUCAAACUUAGGCUCUGCACUGACUUCCUGCUCAACGCAUCUGCCACCACAUUUACCCUGCCAGGAUGAUACUGAAUACUAAUAUCAUAGUCCUUCAGUAACUCCAACCACCGGCGCUGCCUCAGGUUCAGCUCUCUCUGUGUGAACAGAUACUUGAGACUUUUAUGAUCGGUGAAGACCUCGCAGUGCUCGCCGUACAAGAAAUGCCGCAAAAGCUUCAAAGCAAAAAUCACCGCGGCAAGCUCCAAGUCAUGCGUAGGGUAAUUCUUUUCAUAAUCCUUUAAUUGCCGUGAAGCAUAAGCAAUCACCCUACCAUGCUGCAUCAGCACGCAACCAAGUCCACUGUGCGAUGCAUCACUGUAGAUCACAAAUCCAUCCCCCAUCACCGGAAGGGGAAGGAUAGGAGCUGACGUCAACCUCAGUCUCAACUCGUCAAAGCUCCUCUGACAGUCAUCGCUCCAAACAAAACGAAUCCCCUUCCGCGUCAAGCCUGUGAGGGGUGUGGAAAGCUUCGCAAAGCCUUCCACAAACCGAUGGUAAUAUCCUGCCAGUCCCAGGAAGCUCCGUACCUCAGUCACCGUCGUCGGUCUAGGCCAAUCUCGAAUUGCCUCAAUUUUCUUCGGGUCAACAGCUACUCCCUCUGCUGAUAUCACGUGGCCCAAGAAAGCAACCUCCCGUAGCCAGAACUCGCACUUCUUUAACUUGGCAUACAACUUCUUCUCUCACAGAAGCUGUAACACAGUCCUCAAGUGCUCCUCAUGCUCGGCAUCACUCCGGGAGUAAAUCAGGAUAUCAUCGAUGAAGACUACCACAAACCUAUCCAAGAACGGCUUGAACACUCUGUUCAUCAAAUCCAUAAAUGCGGCAGGGACAUUCGUCAAUCCAAAAGGCAUCACCGUGAACUCAUAAUGCCCGUACCGAGUCCGGAAAGCCGUCUUGGGAACAUCCUCGGCCCUCACCCUCAGCUGGUGGUAACCUGACUGGAGAUCAAUCUUCGAGAAAACAUAAGAUCCCUGCAGCUGAUCAAACAAAUCAUCAAUGCGCGGCAAGGGAUACUUAUUCUUGAUGGUCACUUUAUUCAGCUCCCGGUAAUCAACACAUAACCUGAGCGAACCAUCCUUCUUCUUUACAAACAAUACCAGCGCUCCCCAAGGCGACACACUGGGUCUCACAAACGCUCUAUCCAUCAAAUCCUGAAGCUGUGCCUUUAGCUCUCUCAGCUCUGCCGGCGCCAUCCGAUAAGUUACCUUUGCGAUUGGUGCAGUUCCAGGAACUACAUCAAUCACAAAUUCAAUCUCCCUCUCCGGCGGCAACGUCGUCAACUCAGGGGGAAAUACAUCCGGAAACUCGCGGACUACUGGAAUGUCCUCAAGUCCCGGCGCCGCCGUAGGUACCUCCACAACUGUCACUAAGAAAGCAAUACACCCGCUACUCAGCAUCUGUCGAGCCCUCGCCGAAGAGAUCCAGGUGGCAAACAACGUACUCCUGCAGCCUCUGAAAGCGAACUCCUCCUGGCCUGGCUCGCGGAACGUCACCGUCCUCGCUCCACAAUCAAUCGUAGCAUAGUAGUCCUCAGUGGGUACCGCCCAAAACCACAUCGGUCCACCCACUAAGUCUACAGAAGGGAGCAAGAGUAAUCAGAAAAGCAGGAAAUAAACUCUACCGCUAUCGAUCACUACACUAUCAUGCUCUACACUAACCAACUGUAGGAAAUGUCAACUCUGACCCAAUCAACUCGGGACUGUAAGCAUACCCGUCCCCGGGACUGUGAAUACACCCGUCCCUGCCCCGUUGCGACUAUCAAGCUCUAUCCACACUAACUGGUCCGUGGAGAGCAAGUCCAACUGGCAUGAGCGACACCAACGCGAAAGCACAAAGCCUGACUCCGGAGUGGCACUCGUGGGCGCUACCCAACCGAGUAUGCAGCGUAUCUCUGUCGAGCUCAAACAGGCUCUGAAAAGCCAAAGUCAAGAAAUCGACUCUAACUGGUCUAACAACCAACAAGUAACGUGCCCUCACCACAAUCUGACGCCAAAAAGGCGAUACGGGUCCACCGUCACUCUGACGGCACCCCACAGUCCGGAACAACCUGAACAACACUGUAAAAAUCCACUCGGCAUACCAGCACGAGCGUAAAUGUAUACUAAACCACCUGGAGUACUCGUCUCGAGGAUACUGCGACAGUACAAUUUAAUAACGGCUCCUAGAGCUAAAUCAGGCAGUUUAAUCAAGUGACAGGUCCAAAUCGCAGGUUUUCUCCUAAUUCAAUUUCCAAGUCCAACAUGUAUAACCUAUUCAAUUUAUUACCACAUGCUCCAAAUUCAGAUAUGCAAUCUACCAUUUAAUCCAUGAAUUCGAGCUAGAAUAGAUUAUCCAAAAAUUGAAAACUAUACAUGUCGACGAUUAGAACUUAGGAGUCAAAGCCGAUGUAACCCACCUCAAAUGCUAAUCACAAUCCGGCGCAACAACAAAAACGGCGGAAUUGGACCCUCGCCCGGCCCCCUCGCGAUGCUACGACGACGAACAUACGCUCGAACGGCACCGCGGCGCGACGUCGACGAAACUCCACACCACCCGAGCUCCUCCUCUACGUACGGCUCAAGAACUAUAUAUAGACAAUGCACAGGUAUCAAGAUGAUAAGCAUGCUUGGGGGUAAGGUGCACGUGGCAUCCUUAUCCCCAGCUAGCUUACCAACUCAAAAGAAAUAAAAAGAAAAAGGAAAAGAAAAGAUAAAGAAAUAAGGAUACUACACUUUUUCUAGAGGGCCAACUGCAAAAACAAAGCCCAUUAUUUAUGGACCUGAGUUACAGUCCUUUCAAAAGUACAUGAACAUCCGUGCUUGGAAUUUUUUAAUUGUAGGAUCGUCUUAAGAUUUGUACAGCAUUAGCAAAAAAAAUUUGACAGGAUACAUUAUUAGUAAUACUGUAUGAAUUUUGAGAUGAUCUGACGCCUAAAAUGUCACAAGCAUAAAUUCUUUUGUGCUUUUAAAAGUAUAUGAGCUCAACUCUUAUUUUAUAUGUAAUGGAAUGAUAAAUAUUAAACUUCAAAGGAGUAUUUCUAGUCCAUUGCAAUCAAAUUCUACAUGGGAAAAAAUGAAGAAAGAAUAAGGGGAUGUUUGGUUCUAUGUAAAACUGUAGAAAAAAAAUAUUUCGGUGGAAAAAAAAUUUUUCAUGGAAAAUUUUUUUUGGCAUCUUCUAGUGUUUGGUUUGUAGAAAAGUAAAAACAGUUUUCGGACACACUUGUUUAGUUGAAAGAAAUUUUUUUUUAUAUUUUUUAUUAUAUAUUAUAUAUUAUUUAGAUAUAAUAAUAUAUUUAUUAUUAUAACUUAUAGGCUAAAUUACAGAAAACCUUCUGUCACAACCCGAUUUUUUACUUUCCUCCUAUUAUUUAAAAACCUACACUUUGUCCCCUUGUAAAAUGAAAAAUGUUCACAGGGGGAUACGGUGUGAACUGUGAUGAUAAAAUGAUCAUUUUGCCUUUCAUCAUUUUGCUCCUCAUCAUGUUCACACGAGAGAAGACUGAGAGCAUUUUUGACAUAAAAAAUAUAUAAUAAUAUUUUAUAAACAGAAUCCUAACGGAUUACUAACGGCAAGGAGUGAAGUGAAUAUUUUUCAUUUUACAAUGGGGCAAAGUGUAGGUUUUUAAAUGACAGGAGAGAAAACUGAAAAAUCGAGUUUUGACAGGAAAGUUUUAUACAUUUUAGCCUAGCUUAUAUUUAUAAAUUAAAUAUAUAAAAAUUACAUUAUAUGAUAAAUUGAUAAGUUAUGUAAUAGUAUGUAUACAAUAUUAUACAAUAUGUUGAGUUUGGUUAUGGUGCUUGUAAAAGCACAAAGCACUUGGUGUUUAUAAAUUUUUUACCGUUAGAUUUAUGCCUGUGAUUAUUUUCAACCGUUAGAUUAAUUAUACUAGUCAACCAACCACUCACUCAAUUCUAGGAGGUCUAUAUCGUCCUAACCGUACAUCUUUUAAUCUAAUGGCCAAAAAUCUAAAGCACCAAUAACUUGGUAGUUUUAAAAAUAUAGAAGCUCAAUUCCUAUAUAUAUAUAUAUAUAUAUAUAUAUAUAUAUAUAUAUAUAUAUAUAGGGAGUAGGUGAGUGGUCCAGUGUGGACCACUCACGCGGUCCACGAGCUCUCACACGAGCUCGUGGACCACGAUGCAAACGAAAAGCUUGCUUCUCUUUAGAAUCUGUAAAAUAAUUUUUCUCAAAUAUUAUUUUUACGUCAAAUCAAACACUAGAAAAAUAAUUUUCGGAUCCAAAAAUUAUUUUUUGAUAGUUUUUACAGAGAACCAAACACACCUUAAGAGAUGGAUUACGAUUUCUCACGGGGUAUUUCUGUAACAAAUUAAGAGGCAUUUAUGGAAAAUGUUACUUGUAUAUCCCAAAAAAAAUAAAUUUUACAUCCUUCGUCAUAAGUUUAAAAGUUUUUAAAAUUUUUAAUGUGUAUUUUUUAAAAAAUUGAUAAGAUGAUUGCUGUUGGAUAACGGAGUGUAAAAUUUACACUAUUUUUUAGAGUGUACCAAUAGUAGUGCUCGGUGUGUCUCUAUUGAUGGUUUUAUUUUUUUAGCGGCCUUUUGGCGAUGUACUUGAUAUACCUGAAUUUAAGAUUUUUCUCGUUUUAAUUGAAUAACAAUAGCAAUAAAAUUAAUAAUUAUGUACAGUUAAAAACAGGCAUGAAAGGUUAUGAAACAACAAAUGCAAUAAUAACGUAUGGUCCAAUAUUUGAUCAUUUGCAACAAACAUCCUUCUCGUAGUUAUUUCAUGUUGUACAGAGUACGGACUCGUUUGAUCAGGAACAUCCCACAUGGACAAACACUACAACCAACCAAAAACCCUUUGCCUGAUUUUUUUUUUUUUUUUUUUUUUUUUUGUAUUCUUUCAUUUGGGUCCCCCAUCUUUUUUCUUUUUAUUUCAAUUAGAUUCUUAACCCUAUUUUGUCACUUUGGCCUCUAGCCUCUUCUCUUUUUUGCGUGGACGUAUGCUGCAUCAAGUUCAAUCUCAUCAUUAUCAGUGUUGUCCUUCGUGAUGAACUCCAUCUCGACUGUGACACACUAUUUUUCAGGGGAUCACCCAUCCCAGGAGUCUCACAUUGACCUUACAUAUUAAUUAGUUUACAUGUUGAAUUUAGUUUCAAUAAUGAGUUUCAAUUUGAAGUUCGGAACUUCAAUUAUGAACUCAAUUGUUUGAUGUAUAUUUUGAUUUAACUCUAAUUUUAGUCUAAAUUUUAAUUUUAAUUUAAAUAAUGAAUUCAUAUUUGAAUUCAAAAUUUAAGAUCAAAUAGUAAAUUAAAAUUUGGCUCAAAUCAUGAGUUCAAAUUAUGAAUUCAAAUUCGAAUUAAUGCUUUAAUUUUUAAGUUAAGAUUUGAUUUUGAAUUUAAUUUCAGUUAUGUACUGUAACUUAAACUUUAAAUUCAAAUUAUAAAUUUAAUUGUAUAUCUUAAAUUUUAAUUAUAAAUUUGAUUUAGAUUUAAGUUUAAAUUCAAAUCUUUAAAAUUUAAUUUUGAAUUUUAAACAAAAUAUAAAUAUAAACAUACAUUUUAAAUUUUAAUUAUGAGCAUAAGUUGUUGGUUUAUGCCUUGAUAAUUGGUAUCAUGUUUGUUUUUUUAUUUUUUUAAACACUAAUUUUAUAUAAUUUGAUAUGUUGGAGAAAAGACUUCCAUUUGCUUAUUAGCUUACAAUGUAUCUGGUUAAGUAAUAGAUGAAAACUUGCUAAAAAAAAUUUGAAAGCAAAUUUUUAUCUUUUUAUGCCAUGUAAACACUUUCUAUGAAACGCGCGGUUGCAAUCAAUCUACUAUCCAUUCUGGCAUAUUUUGAUAUACAAAAAUUUUAUUUAAAAAAUAAAAAAUGAACAAGAUUCCAUAUUUUUUCUUUCUAUAUAAUCAAAUAAUUAAAACCAUAAAAUUAUACUUUUCUAUAUAUUUUCACAGUACACUCAACCAAUCAAACGCAAAGGUUAUUUGAUAUGAUUUGAGUGAAUUUGUGACCAUGGUGAAGUUGGAAAAGCUUUAUUUGAUAUGCAUGAUUUGAGGUCAAAAGAAGCAUUUUUUUCCCAAAAUUUGCAAAAGCUGCAGGAUUCCGGAGGGGUAUCAAUUCUUACACCUCUAUUCAGACUUUAGGAGUAAUUCUUUUUUUCUUUUUUCUUNUUAUCGUACAUGUUUUCUUGAGAUCGAUCUGAUGUGAGGGUUUGAUAGCUGGCCUUCAAUAUUAUUUUUAGGAAAAAAAGUGUGUGACACCCCAAUAAUCCCACAUCGGAUGGGAAUGGUGUUGUCAUUGGGUUUAUAAGAGACUUAGACACUAGUAAUAAUAACUGGGCUUAAGCAUUUUGGGCCGGUGGUUGGGCCCAACGAGUUAUUAUUGCUAGUGGGCUGGGUCGUUAUAUUUGGUAUCAGAGCCAGUUCACCGGCUGGACAUGUGUGACGAGUCUCGACUGAGUCAGGGUCUGGAUGACGGGCUAGCGAGACAAGUCUCACAUCGCUUGGUGAUCUUGGGCUGUGUGUGUGAUUGGACUGACGAGGUGCCUUAACGGGGGGAGUCUGUGACACCCCAAUAAUCCACAUCGGAUGGGAAUGGUGUUGUCAUUGGGUUUAUAAGAGACUUAGACACUAGUAAUAAUAACUGGGCUUAAGCAUUUUGGGCCGGUGGUUGGGCCCAACGAAUUAUUAUUGCUAGUGGGCUGGGUCGUUAUAAAGUGAAUAUUUGUUUUAUAAUUUUACUCAAAAGAUCAUUUUAAUAGAAAAAUUAGCAUAUUAAUACUCAUGUGAGAUAGGAAAUGAGAAUUUACCAUAUUAUAUAAUACGAAAAUUUAAUCCGUUAAAUGUUGAUGGUAGGGAUUGUGUCCAUAUCCCACGGCCUCACAUAAUGAAGGAUUUUAGAGUUGGCUCUGAUAUUAUAUUACUAAAAAAAAUCAAUCUAAUAGAAAAUGAGAUGAGAAUGUAUAAUAAUAUUCUUAUUCCAAUAAAAUGACUUUGAGACAUAUACUCUAUGUCGUUGUAACCUUCCAAUCAUACUCCUAGUCUAAGAAUUCUAAAUUUACACAUCUGCUAUGUACACCUCGCAAUAGGGUUCGAAAUUUUUUAAAAAUUGAAACUGAAUGAAAAUUUUUUCCAGGUCCACUAUGGCUAGAAGUUCUUUCAAAUUAGUACUUUUAAUGUUAUUCUGUUUUGAGAAAUUCGAAGUUUACUAUUCAAAAAAGUUCGUAAAAUUACGACUAGAGGAGAAAUGUGAGGCCUCGGAUUAUAGGGUUGUAAGAUUACAAUCAAAAUAUGAUUGUAGAUAGAAUUGUUCUUCUAUUUUACACGCCUUCAUAAAUAAACUACUUUUUCCACAAAUCGAUUAUUAUUAAAGAGAGCAUUAGUUGUAUUUUAGAGAAGAGAGGGAUCUUCAUACUUUACUUUUAACAAUAAUAAAAGUUUUACUUCAUCUUUGAUUGUGAGUAGGCGAAUCACGUAAAUUACUUACAUUCUUUUUCUUCAUCUCUUUUUUCAAUAUUAAAACAUUGAUUCUGUCUUUAAUUUUGAGUACAUUUCAGUAGCUGAUCCAUAUAAUUAAGUUACAAUCAGUUCAUGUUUGAUGUUUUCAUAUUAGGCAGAUCAGACCUUUCUAGCUUUUGUCUUCUUUUUUGUUUUCGAUAAUAUAAGUUUUGCUCCCUCUUUAACUGUGCAAAUAUUUCAGCAGCCGAACCACGUAAAUUACAUAUGUCAUUCGUUUUCUUCUGUUUUUCUCAAUUCGUUUCUGAUGUUUUCGGACUAGACGAAUUAGACCUUUCUGGCUUUUAGUAUAUCAACUCAUGCAUGGAUGGAAACAUGGUUGGGGGUUUCUCAGGCCAGCAAGCUUACAAAUUAAAGCUGAUGACAGACUGUUAACAUAACUAGUGCAGACAGCAACUAAUAAUAAGAUAUUAUAUUUUUCUCAAAAAAAAAAACAAGAUAUUAUUAUAUAGCAAUAUUAUUUAUAGCCUCUACAAGUAAGCCAUUGAGAAUUAUUUCUCUUUAGAAAAAGCUCAUCUCUUGAUGUUCAACAUUAUGUUAUUUUAGUAAAACGAAUAUUAAUUCAUGUGUAGCUUCCUACAGGAUGACAGGGUCAAAGAUAGGCGAUUUGUUCAGCUAUGUAAGACCAAAGCUCCAUUGAAAGUAAGAUUUUUUGUGUGGAUAGUACUGAAACACAAGGUUCUUACAGUGGGCAAUCUUGUGAAAAGGGGAUGGCAGGGUGAGGUGAGUUGCGUUUUUUGCAUGGAGUUGCCCAAAACUGUGCACCAUCUUUUUGUUGGCUGUGAUAAUACUAGAGCCCUGCCGGGGUGCUUAUUACCGAACAAAGCUUUAAUUUCGAAAACCAGUUCAGUAGACUGUUUCUGGAACGAUUGCUACCGUAAAGUGGGAGGCCUAAGGGGGUGGGAAUUAACAACAAUCGCUUCUACUUGGUGGGCCAUUUGGUUGGAGCGGAACAGGCAAAUCUUCGACAAAAAGAAGAGCUCCCCAGUCCCCACGUCUACUUUUAGCGGAUAUUCGUUCGUGCAUAAACCUUUGGCUCUCUUUUUGUAAUACGUAGUGUUUUUGUUAAAGGAAUAUAUAUAUAUAUAUAUAUAUAUAUAUAUAUAUAUAUAUAUAUAUAUAUAUAUAUAUAUAUAUAUAUAUAUAUUUUGUGUGUGUGUAACGAUCCUCCUGAGGCCAAGUUGCCUCAACCUUUUGCUAAAUUUAUCUUUCUAUUGAAUGAAGCGGUAGCAUACUAUCUUACACUCAAAAAAAAAAAAAUUCAAGUCACAUUAGUUGCUUCCUGGGACAUAAUUGUAAUUAUAAUUUCCCGCAACACAAUCAUGACUAAACUUUUAAUGUGCAUAAUCAUACUUAAAACUUUUAACAUUACUACUUGAGUAUGUUGCAAAGAGUUAUUAUCUCACGCAGUUGGUUGUUUUCUUUUAAGUGGCAUAUAUGAGGUUGAAUAGUUUGGAACUCUGAUUGCGCUUUCACAAAAUUGGAGAUUUGAAUCUUAAUAUAUAUUAUUUUUUGAGAAUUUCUUGAGGUAGAAGGCUACAGACAACUUUGGUAGAAGGCUACAGACAACUUUAAUAUAAUAAAGAUUUAUUAAAACAAUAUUCUGCAAAACUUAUCGCAUUGCAAAGAAUUUUUAUCUAAUACACUUGGCUGUUAUUCAAAUUACAACGAUUCGACCCGCUAGCAAUAAUAACUCAUUGGGUCCAAAUCAUUGUCCUAAAUACUUAAGCCAAAUUAUUAUUACUAGCGUGUACUGUAGGCCUCAUAUACCUUAAACAGAAUUAUUUUUUCAUCCGAUAUGGGACUAUUCGGAUUGGCAACUUGGCAUGUAAUGAUUGUGCGUUCGCGCCUUAUGAAUUUUUCCUGUUUUAAUAUAUAGUAUCUUUUGAGGAAUUAGUUGAAAUAGAAGUCUAUGGACAAUUUUGGAAUACUAAAGAUUCGUAAGAAAAGGUAAAUUACAUAUUUAAUCCUCAAACUAUAAAGCGGGUGAACACUUUGAUCCUUAAACUAUAAUUUAUUAUAAUUUCUGGCUUGAAUUUUUCAAAAUUUGCAAGCAAAUCCUAUCGCCCAAUUUAGUUGACUAAAUAUUAAUAUAUCGUUGAUAUAAAAAUAAUAUUGUAUCUUAAUUAUUAUCACAUAAUUAAUCAGAAUACUUUUACAUCACUUCUAUAUUAAUAAUUUACUAAUAUUUGGCCAACUAAUUCGGUAGUGGAACUCAAUUGUAACAAUUUUGAAAGUUUGAGCUAGAAACUAUAAUAAAUUAAAAUAUGACAACCAAAAUGUCACCUUACUUAUAGUUUGAGAAUAAAGCGUGCAAUUUAUCUUAUGAGGGGGGGAUAAGGGGGAUAAGAGGUUAUCCGCACCCUUAUCCCCAAACACAAAAAAAAAUUAGUGGAAUAACUAUCCCACCCCUUAUAUGGGAAUAGGGGUAGGAACAGCCGUUUCCAUUCAUAUUUAAUAUUUUAAAAAUUAAAAAAUAAAAAAUUUAGAAUUUAAAAAUUUAUAAUUUGUAAUCUUAAAAUAAAACUUUUAUAAUUUUAAAUUUUAAAUUUUAAAUUUUUAAAUUUAAAAUUUGAUAUUUUAUAUAUUUAAAUUUAGAUUUAAUCUUAAAUUUAAAAUUUGGAUCUUUGAAUUUUCAAAUUUGAGAUUUAAAAAUUUAAAUUUAAAUUUAAAUUCUAAUUUUGAAUUUUUAAAAUUUAAAAUUUAUAUAUUUAAAUUUAAAAAAUUAAAUAUAAAAUUUAAAAAUUUGAAUUCAAAUAUAAUAUAAAGGGCAAUAUCAUUAUUUUCUAUUUAUAUCUACCUACUAUUUUUUUUUUAAUUUCAUCUUAUCUAUCCAAACGUUAUUUUUCUUAUUCCCAAAAAUAACUUAAUUUUUAUUCAAACGCAAAACUGAUCUAGUUUUUAUUUAUACCUGAAUUUAUACUUAUCUUUGAAAUAGACAGUUUUUUUUACUUAUAUCCGAAUCAAACGAAACCUUAAGGAGGUAAUCGUCUAUAUAUAAAUUGACAAAGUUUCCGACUUUUGUAUAUAUCCCAUACAAAUUACUAUUUUCAUUUCUGUCUAUCUAAAAAUAAAUCAUCCAAAUAGAAUAUGUUAAAAAAAAAUAAAAAGUAUUUAUUGAAAAUAAAGUAUAAAAUCAACCGUUUCUAACGCAAGUGGCAAAAGGGCUUGGUGGUUGGUACCCGAGACCCAAGUUUGAAUCCUAGUUGAUUCACAUUUCCCGCCAAGUUUAUUUCUAAAUGAAAUAAACGAAGUGGGUAGCAUGCUACCUUUCUCUCUCUCAAAAAAAAAAUAUAUAUAUAUAAAUAAAUAAUUGUAGACUUUUAUAAAGGUACAGAGAUAAUUUUCUCUACAUUUAAUUAAGAGUAUGGCAUCACUAGCCAUGCUGUGCCAUGAUUAGGGGUGGAAACGAGCCGAGCUCGAGCGAGCUUAUGUCAGCUCAAAUUCGGCUUGAAAUUAAUUUCGAGCCUAAAUCUAGGCUCAAGCUCGGCUUGCAAUUAAUUCGAGCGAGCUCGAGCAAGCCUAAUUUCGAGUCGAGCCGAGCUCGAGCUCUAAACGAGCCGAUUGAAAUUCUCGACAUUAUAUAAUCAAUAGUUUAAUUUUUAUAGAACAUUACCUACAAUUUGAUGCAACAUGUCCAAUAGUUCAAAAUACAAAAUAAUUAUAAGAAAUAUGAGCUAGGGUGACUUCCUGACUAGAUAAGGGUAAUUUGAAUGUUAUCAUGUUUUAGGAUUAUGUGCAACAGUGAAAGUCUGAAAGAGAGAGUGCGUUAUGUAAAUUUAGAGUUAGGCUUAAUUGCACGGUUGUACUUGUUGGGUUUAUUUUAUGGGCCAACAAUAAUGGAUCAAAUUAAAUUAAAGCCUAUCUAUAAUUAAAAUACAUUAUAUUUAUAAAUAUUAUAUAUAUAUAUAGAGUCCGGCUACUAUACUUUUAUGAGUAUUGGCUCCUUUAUACUCAUAGCCCCCGUUUGGUUCGGGGUUAAGAAAAAAUAGCUAUUCCAGGGAUAGGGUUAAGUUCAGGGUUAUAUGGUGUUAAAAUUUUUUUGUGUUUGGUUGGAGGUUGGAGUUAGUCUAGGAUAGUGAAAAAAAGUGUUUGGUUGGAGUAGGUGGGAUAAGAAGAUAAUGAUUGAUAAAGAAGAAAAAGGUGAGAGCUCGGGAUGCGUGCGGGGUUAAAGUUGGGAGGGGGAGUGGGGUUAAUGAUUGAUAAAGAAGAAAAAGGUGAGGGCUCGGGAUGCGUGCGGGGUUAAAGUUGGGAGGGGGAGUGGGGUUAAUGAUUGAUAAAGAAGAAAAAGGUGAGAGCUCGGGAUGCGUGCGGGGUUAAAGUUGGGAGGGGGAGUGGGGUUAAUGAUUGAUAAAGAAGAAAAAGAUGAGAGCUCGGGAUGCGUGCGGGGUUAAAGUUGGGAGGGGGAGUGGGGUUAGUAAACCUCACUAACCCGGUUUGGGGUGGGGUUUACUAACCCGAUCCCAAAAGAGUGGUGUUUGGGUAUAAAUUGGGGGUUAAGGGGUUAUCCACCCCUUAACCCCCAAUCAAACGGUGGCAUAAGUUUUCGACCCUUAGAUUUAUUCCAUUAAUCAUUUUCAUCCGUUAGAUCAUACUAUUUAACCAACUACCCACUCAACCCUAGGGGACCACUAUCAUUCUAAGUGGGGACCACCAUCAUCCUAACCACACAUCUCAUCAAUCAACGGUUAAAAAUUUAUGAGUACAAAGGGGUCUAUACUUAUAAGAGUAUAGUAGUCCCAGCCUAUAUAUAUAUAUAUAUAUAUAUAUAUAUAUAUAUAUAUAUAUAUAUAUAUAUUCGAGCUUUUCGAGCUUUUCGAGCCUAAUUCGAACGAGCCGAGUAAUACUCAAGCUCGGCUUGAAAUGAAUUUCGAGCCUUUUAUUUUGUUCAAGCUCGGCUCAUUUAAUUUCGAGUCGAGCUCGAGCGAGCCAAAUAUCGAGCCGAACACGAGUCGAACGCGAGCCGGCUCGCUCGUUUGCCAUCCCUAGCCAUGAUCAGCACAAGGACAGGCAUGGUACUCAAAUAAAUAUAGGCUGGACAGAUGGUUUUUAAUAAUUUAGUUCGUACUGAUAGAAAGAAUGCAUUCAUCACAUUUGAUCACACUUGAUUGGUUAUGGCGCUCACCAAUUUCAAUAUGAUUCAAUCUAUUUAAAUGUUAGACCUAUUGUUAAAUCUUUUAUCGUUAUUUAUAUUGUGGAUCGCAGUCCGGCUUAAUUUAUUAGACUCAACUGAUCAACUCAAUUUAUUAAUUUUUUGAAUCUCUUAUUAGCGGCAAAAAGUUAGAUAUAUUUUAACAAAUAAUAAACAUGCAUGCUAUUUAAUAAUUUUUAAUAUAUUUUAUUUUACUGAUUAUUUUAGUUUAUUAUUGUUAGUUCUACCUGGCGCAUUUAUAUCAAUGCACUAGACAUUUAUCACUCAUUAAUUUUUUCGUUAUUUCGAUAAAUACUUGUAGAGUUAUAGUUGUUUCUCUGUUAAAAGAUUAGAGUGCCUAAACUUAUGGAACGGGUGUAGAGCUUAUGUAUUGAAACAAUUUUUUUUAAGUAGAUAUAAUUUUUAUUUUUCUAAGAAGUUUGGGACUAAAUCACCUUUUUAAUACAGGCGGAUGUGGAGGAUCAAAAUAUCACUCAAUUGCUGUAAACAGUGGACUUGCUGAUUGGUACUCAAGGUCCCAAGUUUAAAACCUAGUUGCUUCAUAUUUUCAGGUAAAUUUAUUUUCGAAACAGACAGUAUAUUAUCUUUCUCUUAAAAAAAUAUAUAUAGUGGUAGCAUAGAUAUUGAAAUCAAUCAACUGCAGUAAACAGUGGUGAUACAAAUAUUGAAAUGGAUAAACUAUAAUAACUUAACAGUGGUGGUACAGAUAUUGGAACAUAGCAUGCCCAAUGGGUCAUGAUCUUUUUAUGGGGCAAAAUAAUUAAUGAGGCAUGAGCUUGCAUGUGGGCGCACACCAAGUGGGUGCAUGUGUGGGUUAAUGUCUCCCCAUCAAUGCAUAGGUAACGCAGGAUUAGAUGAUUUGUGUUAAAGCACUCCACCCACCCUUCAAACAUCACCAUGUGCUUCCUCAUCAAGCACUUCUUAAUUUGUACUCAGAAAAGCAUUGUGACUAAUUUUAGAUCUAUGGUUGUUUCCUUAACAACCACAACUAAUUAUAAUUAAUUCUUUUGCCACUUUGUUAGGCUAUAUAUACUUCCCUCAUCUCUCUCAAUUAUGAAAACUAAAAACAAAAGUUUAACAGCUUUUUUGUGUAGUUCAAUAUAUCCUCUCUUCAAGUAAACUUACUAAUUACACUGUUAUUUUGAUUGGGUGUCGUGAUCAUGUAAUUCCAUAAAAGACUUUAAAAUGAAGCUUUAUGAAGCUAUACGCCGUACAUGUGAUAAAAAUGAUUGUGUAAUUAAUAACUUCAAAUAAAAAGAAGGAUCUGCUGAACUAUUUGAUCGAUAAAGUUGAAAGAGCCUAAUUGCUAACAGCGAUAGUUUUGGCGACCGUCUACAAAGGAGCUAAAGUUUUAGGGGGUCUUUGUACUUUUUCCCCCUUAGUUUUGAUUUUCAAAACACGGGAGGCACAUGCUCUUCUUUUGUAAACUAGUUUUAUUUAUUUGGAGAGAACAAAGUACCUCUUUAUAUAGAACAUUGGCUCUUAAUUAAUCACAUCUCUCUAAUAAAAGCAAUUAACAACAACUAAGCCACCUUAUUAAAAUAUCCUUCUAAUCAUGAUCCCUCCUCAACCCUUAGCUUUCCUGUCUAGUGCCUUCACCCACCUUGUCACCUGAAUCCCCCACACACCAUUAUCGAAAAUGCUCUCUAUCACCCCCCACAAAAAAUUUCCUAUAAAUUAUUGACGUGUUCGUCGCCGUCUUAUGUGGUGUCUUAAAUUAUGGGUGUUAAGCGAUCAAAACUCUCUAAUUAUGUACGCAACUACAUCAGUACGUGUUUAUACGACUAGUACGUGAUUACUAAGCAAGUCAGAAAUAACAAAAAUGAGAAAGUGAAAAAGUUCCACUAUAAUAGAAUUAGGUUAUAGGAACACUUUUGUAUACCUUACCCAGCGCACUCGGCCGGACUACAAAUAGAAAAGGAGAAAAAAAAAAAAAAGAUCACCAUCUCUCUCCUCCUCCUCCGCCGCCGCAACCGACAAGGUAGGGCUCCGGCGGCUGGAGUUCGGUCGCGAGGAUCUCGUCGGAACUGUAAAGGACUACGAUCACCACGUGUCCCUCCGUGAUAGAUCGCUGAAGGAGUGGGUGCCAAAUAUUAAGGCGGCCCUACAUACAGCGACCCCAUAUAUAGUAAUAUUUUUAAAAAGUAUCGGUAAUUUAGUCAACAACGUUUUUUUUUAUCUGUAUUGACAUUUAAAAAUAUCACUAUACACCGUUUUUAUUGUAUGUUCAAACAAAUCCAAAGGCUUAAGUUAAUAGAAGAAAUUACCUAAGGGUAGCAAUGUGGAGAGAUGAAUGUCAUUUGUUAUAAUUAAACCUCUUUCCUUUUUUUGAAAUAAAAAUAUGAAACUCUCUGAAUUAGUUCUUUUGUGAAUAGGCGUUUGAACUUUCAAAUUUGAUAAUUAGACUAUUUAAACUUUAUCAAAUAAUUUAACCAGCAGCAUCCUUUCUCAAUUAAAGUUAUUAAUUACACAAUCAUUUUGAGAUCGAAACACAAACAAAUUUAUUUCUUCUAUUUUUACAUAUAAAGACAAAGAAAAGAAAUUAAACAUAGGUUCACUCUAUUCUCAAUUCUUAUACUAAAUUAUCAUAAUUGAAAGAAAAAUAAUAAGUUUUCUUUAUAUAUUUUUUGAAACAUUACAAAAUUAUAUGCAAGACAUGCGAUUAAAACGGUUAUGCAAUAAGUAACAUCUUGAUGAGAAAGACCUAUUGAACUACUGAUAAGAUUUGUAGAAUCUAAUUAUUAAUUGUUGGGAGUUUAGCUAGAAUACUAUCGAUAGCAAACGAGUUCCAUUGUCACCCAUUUAUUUUAGAUAAUAGAACUUUCAAAUCGACGGUUGGUACAGUUGAACAUGAUCUGUAUCAAUUGAAGUGCUUAGAAAUCAAAUUUUAAAUCUUUUCGAUAUCAUUUGCCUAAUGAUCAAAGGGUUUCAAUUUUUUUUUUUUUUUUGAGAGAUAGGUAGCACGCUACCUGCUUCAUUUAUUUCAUUUAAAAAUAAACUUAGUUAGAAAUGUGAAUCAAUUAGGAUUCGAACUUGGGACCUCGGGUACUAACUGCCAACCACCAAGCUCUUUGCCACUUGGCGUUUUCUCGUUUAACGACGUAAAGAUAUCCAAACCAAUUGAUUUUUUGUUAGAAAAUUCUUUAAACAAUAUAAAAUAAGAUCUAUACUCUUGAUCUUGAUUACAAGACUCCUAUCAUCAUUUUUUUAAAAAAAAUAUUUAUUUUCAGUCGUUCAUUUUUGUGUUCGCUCAAUGGAUAAGAGAACAAUAUCGAAAAUGUAUGAAAUUUGAUUUCUAAACACUUCAAAUGAUAUAGAUUAUAUUCAAUAGUACCGAUUGUCGAUUUGGAGAUUCCAUCAUCGAAAAUAAAUCGGUGACAACGGAGUCCGUUUUCUAUCGAUUAUUCUAGCUCAACUCUAAUUGUUGGUAUUUGAGAUCCUAAAUUUUAUGUAAAAUUGAAAAAUAAUAAUCUUUUAUAAAAAAAGUUUAGUAGUAGUAGAAAAUUAAGUUUACAGUGUCUAACAUUUGGCUUGAAUAUGGUGGAAAUAAUUUAGCUUCGGUACGUGCUUUGUUUGGUUGAUUGAAAAGGUGGAUAAAAUUUUUUGUAUAAAAUAAUAUUAGAUAUUUUUAUAUUAGCUAGGUUGUAUAAAUAUUAAAAUUUGUUAUUAUUUCUCUUUUAUCAGAAGUUUACCUAUAAAAUAUAUUAUACUGUAUUUAUAUAUUAUAUGUAUAACAUAAUAUAAUAUAAUAUUUUAGGGAUAAUUUUAUAGAGCUUCCAAUAAACAUAUCGGAUAGAAGAUAUAUUCGUACAAAGUUAAAGUUUUUAAAUUUAUCCUUUCAAAGUCUAAUGAUGUUCAUAUUUACCCAUUUGACUUGUUACAGUUGACUCAGUGUUUAUUUUUUUAACAGAAUAUAAGUAAAAUAUCAAUUUUGCCAUCACAACUAUAUCCCUUCAAAAACCCCAACCGUUAGAAUCAUACAGAAAUGCCCUCCAAAAAUAUGUAAUGGUCAUCUUCUUUUUUUUAUAAAAGCUAACUCAACUCACUCAUUUUCUUCUUUAACUAUCUAAUAUUAAUUCCUCAGCGUUCAACAUGGGGCAAAGCAAUACAUGUCGUGAAUGAAUGGGGAUAGAGAAAUUCUAGUUAUAGAUUCAAAACUAGUUUCAUUGUUUUGAUUGAAAGAAAAAAAAUAUAAUCUCAAAAAGAGUUAAAAAAUUAAUUUACCUCACUUACUAGCCAAGAUUAAGUGUUUACCUAUAUUUAACUAUAUUUAACUAUAUUUUUUUAAUGGACAGUAAUAACAAGGAUAAAUUUGAAAUCGCUGGGACUUUAGAACUGAAUGAAAUUAUUCAAAUAUUUUAUAUAUGCUAUAUAUAUUUGCUAUUCCACAAUGAAAUUACCGUGGACCGCGCUUAGAAAAGAUGAGGUGGACCGGUGAGCCGCAAUCAGGAAAGAAUGAGUUUUCGUUUUUCAACAAAUCUGUAAAAUAGUUUUACAGAAAAAUACUUUUACGAGAUCCUAACACGUAGGAAAUGAUUUUCAAAACCAAAAAUCAUUUUCAAACCAUUUUUACAUAGAUCCCAAUAUUCUCUAAAAACAAAUUAAUUAAGGUAUGAAAUGAAAAAAAAUUCAAGAAAAGUUUUUUUAUAAUUUUUUUUUAAAAUUUCCGUUCGCUUGGCCGUUAGGUUUUUGGAAAAACUAGUUUUUCCCAUUUUUUUUAUAAUUUUAUAGAAAGCCAAUAUGUCUAUUUUUCAGAAAAGAAUUUGAAAAAUAAAAGUACCGGUUUUUUAUAAAAUUUUAAUUUUUUUUUGAAAAACUAGUUUUUCUUAAAACCAAACGAAUGGAAACCUAAAAAAAGAGUUUUCUAUAAAAUUUUCUUUCUCAAAAAUUUUUUUUCAUAACCUUUUAAGAAAUCAAAUAGUCCUUAAGAAAACAACAUAAAAGAGAAUUUUGUACCGCUACACCCGCAUGUAGAGGGGAAAGAGAAAAGUUAUAUUUUAUAUUUUAUGGAAAGCUAAUAUUUCCGUUUCUUAGGAAAAAAAAUUUUAAAAACAAAAAUACUAGUUUUCCAUAAAAUUUUACUUUAAAAAAGCUAGUUUUUUUUAUUUUUUAGUAUUUUUUUUGAGAAAACAAGCCGUUCCUGAGCAAAUAUAACAUGCUACUUCUCUUUCAAACAAAAGAAAAGAAAAACAAAAGAAAAGAAAAGGUUAGUACCCGAGACCCAAGUUCAAAUCCUAGUUGAUUCACAUUUCCAGUUAAGUUUAUUUCUAAGUGAAAUAAACGAAGCGGGUAACGUGCUAUCUAUCUCUCUCAAAAAAAAAAAUAAAAGAAAAGAAAAGGUUAGAUUUUUGUACAUUUUUCCCUCAUUUUCCCCUCUCUUUUUUAUUUUUUAUUUUUUUUUUUAAUUUUUUUUUUUUUACUUUUCUCUGUUCCCCUGCACCCGCAUGUGCUCCUAACCCCACCCCUCUUCUCUUAUCUGGCAAGUCUCUUCGGUUUGGACCAAACCACACCACCAUUUCACGUGGCUCGCAAGUGGCGUUAGGUACUCAGGACAUUAGGUGUGGCCAAUUUCACGCCUAAAACCCUUUCUAUAUAUAUAUAUAUAUAUAUAUAUAUAUAUACUUGUUGUAUUUAGACACAACCCUACUCCAUAGUUUGUGGUAACCAAAAGUAGCUCCUCUUUUUAUUAUCUCUACAUCUUUUGUAUGAUAGUCUUAAAGAUAUAUAGCAGCAAUUAAGUUCCUAUGGCAAGUGGUUGUUUAGAAAGCAGCUUUGAGGACCACGACUUCGACAUCGACGGCGAAAUGCUCGCGGAGUUGCUAGAAGAGUCGAGCGUCGACGAAGGCUGCGACGAUAAGUUCGGGAAUGUGUUUCGUAGCCUGGAAGCUGAGAUCGGGUCCGCUGACUCGAUGGUGGCUGGCAGUGCUGGUGGUGGUGGUGGUAUCGAUGGCGUUGUGACGAAUGUGCACGUGCACGAAGAUUGCGAGGAUUGCGAAUUGGAUGGGAUGCUGUCGGACUUCGGCGGGCGUGAUGGGUCGAGAUCCUUGACGUGCAACCAUCUCGAGGAGCCGUUCGAUUGGGUGGCGAUGGAGGCGGCCGACGGUUCUCCGACCGGCCUCGAGAUUGGCGCCGAGUGGUAUGUGGAAGAGUGGAUGUGUGAGGAUGGAUUGGUUGGGUUUGGGGAUGCAAGGGGAUACAAUUCUUGUUAUAUUUAUGGGGAAGGGGAAUCACCCAUGGAACAAAUGUAUAGUCCCUUGUGGGAGUGACAAUUUAGUUGCAGUAGUAAUUAAGUUGGAACUUUGAAAUGAUCUGGUUAAUGCAUGCUUAUCAUUUUGAUUCACAAAAUUAAUAUAGAUCCAACUUCUGAGAUAAUCUUUUAUGAUACACAUCAAUAACUAGCAUACAAUAUUUUCUAGUUAAACUAUCAAUCGUCUCUAGCGCUGGUGGAAAGAGUUUAAUGGUUGGUGUCUGAGGUUCCAAAUUCGAAUCCUAAUUAUUUCACAUUUUUAGCUAAGUUCUCGUUCUUAUGAGAAAAAAAAAAAAAAAGUUAAAGAGGAUAUAUAAACUAAUUAAGCCUAUUGAUUGGAUAGAUUACAAUAAAUUUACCCUAAGUAAUAGACCCUCAUACAUUUUGCUUUUCUAGGGGAAUGUUCCUAGCUCCACACUGUAUUUAUUUUUUUCGUUACCAAAUAUUUUUUAGCAAUACUUUUUUUUAGCAAUGUUAACUCAUUUUAUGGCUCAUCCAUGCUUUAUAGUCGAUGCUAAUUCAUCCUCUAUUUUUACUACUAUCUCAUUAAUUACGCAACUUAAUCCUCAAAAUUUGGGUUUAUCAUAUCCUUGGGUGGGAUUAUAAGUUUAUGUAUUCUCCACUACCCUUCCUGUGGUACUUGUGUUGGAUGCAUUCCUUUGAGAUCUCUUAUUAUGCUUUUUCUUUUUUUUAAAAAAAAAAUCAGCUAUUUUAGAUGGUCAAGGAUGUGAUUACUCGUAAGUUAGCUCUAAUACAUGUUGCCCUCCAUUAUUGUAUUGAAUGCAUCUGCAUAUUUUCUAAGGCUGAAUGUGCAGAGAUAUAUGCAUACUGAUUAUCUACCCACUCAUUUAAAUGGAGACAAUCAUUUUAAUGAUAAAUGAUGAUCAGACAGUCGGCUUAAGAGUUUGCUCUAAUGGAUAAGUCAACUUUCGGCUUUCAUCGAAUGUUUGGACCAGAGAGUAGUCAUCAUAACAUGUUUAUCUCAUUUUUUGGUUAAUUUUAAAGUUAUUUUACUUGAAAAUAAUCUGAACUAUUCUAUUUGUCAUCAUUCAUAAAGUUUUACAAUUAUCACAACAAAUGCAAGAUUUACAUUAUGUGGUUUACCAAAUGAAGUGGAUAGUGUAGGGUAAAGUUUCAGACAAAGUUUAUUGUUAUAGAUUAGUAGUGUAUAUAUUGCAUUAUUUACGCAAAUAUUUGCUGCUGUACCCUUGAUUGGUAACUUUUUGAUUAGGGCCAAUAAAUGGUUUCUAAUGCCCCAGAGCCCAUAUAACUGGGCCUAUCACAAAAGGGGUCUACAAUAAGUACAUUGCUGUCCAAUUUUACCCUUCAUGCACGAAAAUUAUAGCAAAAAGUAAAAUAAAAUAAAAAAAAGAGGGAAUGCUGCUUAUACCCAGAUGAAGGCCUGCAUGUAAAUCUUACACCUUCAUCAUCAUUUAACAUAAAAAGUGAAUGUAAAUCAAGGCAUUUUUAGCAUUUAGUGUUUGAAAAAAAUUGCAAAUAGCCCCUGCAAAAUUUGUAAGUGUAAGAAUGGCCCUCAUCUUGUCCAUGUGGGUGCCAUGGUGGGCAAAGGAGGGACAGUACAGUUGUCAUGUUUCAGUUGAAUACGGUAAUUAAUUUAUUGUACAGUCUUUUUUUUAACUUUGCACAUUUAGAAAAUUUUACAAAGAUUAUCGCCACUUAACAAAGAGAACAUAAUAAUCCAAUUGUCGUAUUUUAGAACACAGUGAAUAAAUUUAUCGUGUCAAACUUAAAAUAUUCAGUUGGCUCUCCGUGUCCAGCGUGAAGCUUGCAUGGACAAGGAGAAAGCCAAUCCUACAAUUAUACUUUUGCAAGUGUCAUUUGUAAAAAUAAAAAAAAAUUGAGGGGGUUAAAUACAAAAAGAAGCCUUGUAAACCAAACAUAUUUUGGAUUGUACCAACAUUCUAGUUGUAAAGUAGUAUUGCAAAAAAAUUAAAAAAAAAAGAAAAGAAAUUGCACUAGUUAAAGUAUGGCUUAGUUUGGUAUUGAGAUCUACAUGACUUUAUUAGAUAAAAUAGAGUUUGAAAAAAAGCAUGUAGGGAUAUAUUUCUGCGUUCUUCAAUGAGACCGUAAAAAAUAUAUUAUAAUCGACUUAUCGCAAUAUGUGGAACGCAAUAUUACGUAUAGAAACAAACAGGAUAUUUUCCUAUCGUACUUUCUCACCGCACGUAACGUAAUCUUCCCGCAAUCCCAAGCGAAGCCUAUGUUUGAUUGCUUGCACUUUAGGCCCAUUAAUAUUAAUAAUUUAUUGAUCGUAUAUAGUACAGUUGGUUAAAGGUUUGAUGGUUGGUAUCUGAAGUCUUCAGUUUGAAGACUAAUUAUUAUAUAUUUUUAGCUUAGUUCAUUUCUAAAACAAAAAUAAAUAAAGCAAAUAAUAUAAUAACUUUCUCUCAAAAAAAUAUACAUUAAUAACUUUAAUUCAAUAUCCUUACAAUCAUAUUAUAACAUGGACUCAACCCACUGUACGUUUGGGAGAUUGGAUUCCAUCAAAUUAUUUUCAAUAAUCCAACAUUCAACUCAGUGAUUUGACUUGUUUAAAAUUCAAAUUAUAUAAUUAUAUCUAAAAAUUGUUUAUUAAGCCAUCGAAAGAUCUUAAAAACAAUAGUUUUUGAGAGACUAUAUAUAUGAAUUUGUUUACUCGUUAAUUAAGCCAUAUAAAACAAUCCUUGAUUUUUUUUUUUACUAUUUAAAUCAUGUUCAACUAUACCAAUCUUAGAUUCGGAAUUUCUAAUUAACAUCUAAUUUUUGCAAGAUUAUUUAAUUUUGACCAUUCAUUGUGUAACUAUUUGAUACACCAGCUAAUAUGUUUUAAGACAUGAAAAUACAGCUAAUUUUAAUAUCAUAAAUCACGCUUGACGAUCUAAAAGAAAAGAAAAUUAAUUAAAUUUAUUUAAAUUUUUUUAUAGAUAAUGUGAAAAAAAUUAGGCUUUAAGUUUGGGGAUUUUGAUACCAACGAUCAAGCACUUAGCGAGCUGGACUAGGCAGAGUCAGUCACUUUUAAUCAUUUAAUAUUAGUCACUUCCAAUAAUUUAGGUUUGGAAUGGAAAUGAGAAAUUGUUAAAUAUAAAAAUGUUUAAAUACCGUUCAUGUGAAACAACCGUUGUACUCUAAAAGUUUAAGCUGUUAGAGAACGAUGUUUAAACAUUUUUAUAUUUUACACUCCCCCUCACGUCUGGGCUCUGAUAUCAUAGGAAACAACCGUUGUGCUCUAAAAGCUUAAGCUGUUAGAGAACAGUGUUUAAACAUUUUUAUAUUUAACACAAAUGGAAUUGCAUUGAAAUGGAAAUCAUUCAAAAAUGUUUGAUUCACUAUUAGAGUCGAAAUCGGAAUGGACAAUUCAAACUAAGGUUUUGAGGGAGGCUUUUGGUAUAAGAGAGAGGAGAGUGAUCAAUGUAGAGGAGAAAGUAUUAGAGAGAGAAGGUUUUGAGCUGUUUACUCUGAAAUGAGCCAAUUCAGAAUUGAAAUUUUGAUUGGAUCAUAAAUAGAUUAGAUCAUGUUCAUUCCAGAAUAAAUUAGAAUUAGCAUUCGAUUUCUGUAAAAUAAACAAUAGCUAUCGAAAUAAAUGAAUCACAUUUUUAAUAUCAAAAUAGAUAAACUAAACAAGCCUUUAGUGUUAUAAGAUGUCACAUCUACUUCAUUCUUAAUUUGCUCUUUCUUAAACCCUUAUAUAUUACGGAAUUAAAAUAUGAAAAAAAGAAAAAGAAAUUUCUCUCUGUGAUGUACGUCUCAAUUAGAGGAAAAGUUCUAGAAUGCACCGGGUAUACCGGUGACGUGGCGUCACAAACCAAUCAAAUAUCUCUUUUUAGAGAUAUAUGUCCCAUAAUAAUUAUAAAAAAAUAUUUUUAUUAUACUUUUGUUGGAAAAAAAUAUGUAUUAAUUUGUGAUUGAUGAUGUGAUGCAAGCGUGACAGUGUAGAAUUUCUCCAACUAGAGCCUGCGCCAACUAAGGAACAUAUGCAUGUUACCUCUUACUUCUCUGCACAUGUGUGCAUGUGAUCAUAAAACCUAUAUAUGGUCGUAUACGUACGUACCAUGCUUCAGUAUUGGCACUGUAUAUAUAUAAGGUACAAUAUAUAAAAGGUGUUUGGUUCCUCACAAAAUUAUAACAAAUCAUCUUUUUAAUAAUAAAUAAAUAAAAUUUGAACAUAGAAAAAUAUAUAUGAAAUUCGGAAAAACUUUUGCCAGAAUACCUUUUUUUUUUUUUGAAAAAUAAUAGAUAAAAAUAUGCCUUUUCAACCAGAAAAUUAUUUUUUAAGAUACUUUCCGAGAAUUACCUGCAUGUAUGGAAAAUGUACAUAUCUAAAGCUGGAAAAUUUGCAUAUUCGACCUUGCAAUAUUGAUUAAAAUUGUUGCGGUUGAUAAUACGGGAUACAAAUUAAUAAGGUGAAAAAUAAAGAUUUUUUUCCUGAAAUUGUAUGCUUAUGUUUUGCUCUAAUAUAUAUUUGUUUUCUACGCGUGAUUGUAGUAAUUUUUAAAAAAAAACUACGAAAUUUAGUGUAUAGACUUCAAAUAUCUUAAAUUGUGUUUGACAAAAUAAAUUUAUUACUUCAAAUACUUUAUUAAUGAAAACUAGAAUAUAUAACACACCUGCUCGCAAAGUGUCCAUUUUAAUCUUCCAAGAAAGGUAAAAAAAUAUUUUGAAUAAUUUCUUAAAUCAAAUUGUGUUAUUUUAGUACGUAUAAUCAGGCUAUACUAUCAUGAAGAAUAUUUCUAAAUCAUUUACAAAUAAAUCAAUCUUUUGAGUACAUAGCGUAUUAAUUAUCAUAUAUAGUCGAUUCUGUGACCUUAGCAAUUAGCAUGCAUAUAUAUAUAUAUAUAUAUAUAUAUAUAUAGAAAUAUUAAAACUAUUUCUAAACUGUUUCUUAUUUGAUAUAAAUUACAUCAUCGUAAUCAUCCUUAUAAAUCCUCUAAGUAUAAAAUAUAACCCUUUUUUCUAUUGUUAUGUUUGAUAUUUCAGUUUCUAUGAUAGCUAUGAGUAUAGUGACGCUGGGACUUAGGGGCCGUUUGGUUGGAUGUAGUUGCAGAAACAGUGUAGUUGGAAAUAUAUGCAGUUGCAAAUGCUGCAGUUAUAACUACAUCUAGUCUGUUUGGUUUUACGCAGUUGCAACUGCUGGAGUUACAUUUCUUCUGUUUGGUAAUAUGAAGCUGAUAGUUGUAUUUAUGAAUUUUGUUACCUCUUCAGAUAGAGUGGUGAGGUUACCUUCACUAAAUAUAAAAUAAUUAUAUAAAUUUAUUAAUUAUUUAAAUUUACUAUUUAUAAAUAAAUAAGUAGAUAUAUAUAAUAUUUUUAUAUUUUUCAAUAAUUCUUCAACUUAUUAAUUGACACAUUUAAAAUUUUUAAUUUAUUUAAUUUUAAUAUGUAAAUCAAAUUUUAAAAAUUUAAGCGAUUCUCUCAUUUUUUUUUAUCAAUUUUAAUAAUUAUAAUUAAUUAAAACUUAUUAAAUUAACAUACACGAUCACAUUCUAUAAAAAUUUAGAAAAAAAAAACUAUAUUUAUAUUUUAAAUAAAAUAAAUUUAAAAAAAUUAAUUUUUUGCACAAAGCUUGUAUUGUCUAAAAAAUUUUAUUAGUAUGAGUUUAUUUAUAAGUAUUUUUAUUUACCUAUAUACAUAUAUUAUUUAUUUAUUUAGCUAUUUAUUUAUUUAUUAUUAUUAUUAAUUUGUGGGUGAUCCUAUCCCUCACCAACUGCUGCAGUUGGAACUACGACCAAUUUGGAUGUAGUUCCAACUGCAGCAUUUGGGCCUUCUUGUGCAGUUGAACUGCAGCAGUUGAACUCAACUACACUAAACCAAACAAAGAAAUUGUGGCUGCACGCAUUUGCAACUGCAUUGCGGUUGCAAAUGCGUACAACCAAACAGCCCCUUAGAGGGGAUGAGAAAAUAGAAUAAGCACAACUCGAUAAAUACUCGACUCGUCGUAGAAUCCACCACAUUGUAUUCGAACACACUCACCACUACUAUUCAGAAUCCACCAACACAAUAGUUGAGCAACACUCUUAUCUCACAGAAAAUCUACUUCAGAGAUAGGAAUGAGAAGAUAUCCUUCUUCUCAAAUAAAAGUAUAAAUUUCAACUCAAUUUGAUUUGUUUUUCAUUAUAAAAUUAUUAUAUAUUUUUAGCUUAGUUCAUUUCUAAAACAAAAAUAAAUAAAGCAAAUAAUAUAAUAACUUUCUCUCAAAAAAAUAUACAUUAAUAACUUUAAUUCAAUAUCCUUACAAUCAUAUUAUAACAUGGACUCAACCCACUGUACGUUUGGGAGAUUGGAUUCCAUCAAAUUAUUUUCAAUAAUCCAACAUUCAACUCAGUGAUUUGACUUGUUUAAAAUUCAAAUUAUAUAAUUAUNAGAGAUAGGAAUGAGAAGAUAUCCUUCUUCUCAAAUAAAAGUAUAAAUUUCAACUCAAUUUGAUUUGUUUUUCAUUAUAAAAUUAUUAUAUAUUUAUAGGCUGUCAAAUGACCUUCCAUCUUCUCUAUACAUUAACUCAUUCAUUAAUUUUAUAGAGAAACUAAAAGUCACUUCUAAAAAUACUAAAAUGCACACACUAUUCUAAACUAACAUAAUUCAUUUUAAGAAAAAGAAAAGACAGUUUUAUAAAAAAAAAUUGAGGGACACACUUAUUUCAAAAUUAAUAUUUAUAGAGUAAGUAAUGACUUUAUUCACCAAUGCCAAGAAUAGUGUCAUUCUCCCUAAUUGAAAAGAACUUUUCCUCAAGUUUGGUUUGUGGAUCGUCUUCAUAAUAUGGUGAAAUAUCCUCCUUUCAAGCAAUCACUGAUGGGGGUGAUGAUGGUGCUAAACCCUUUGAUGAAGCGCCGGUAGAAAGAAGCAAGGCUAUGAAAGCUUCGAAUGUCCUGAAGUGAAAUAGGUUCAGUCUAUAUAAUAAUGGUCUCAACCUUUGCUGAAUCCAUCUUGAUACCUUCGGCCAAGACAAUAUAGCCCAAAAAGAUUAGGCUAUUUGUCACAAAGUCGCAUUUUUUUAAAUUGGCAUAUGGCUUUUGCUCCCAUAGAAUUUGGAAUACUUGCCGAAGAUGUGUUAUAUACUUCUCAAUGCUUUUACUGUAAAUCAAAAUAUCGUGAAAACAAACAACAAGAAAUUUGCCAAUAAAGGAUUUGAAUAUAUGAUUCAUGAGCUGCAUAAAAGUGCUUCAAGCAUUUGAAAGGCCGAAUGGCAUGACCAUCCACUCGUAGAGACUGUCACGUGUCUUGAAAGCUGUUUUCCAUUCAUCACCGGGGCGCAUAUGGAUUUGAUGGUAGUCACUCCUUAGAUCAACUUUGGAGAAGACCGAGGCACCAUGAAGUUGGUCAAGAAGAUCAUCGAGACGUGGAAUAGGAAAGCGGUACUUAAUAGUGAUUUUGUUGACUGCUCUACUAUCCACACACAUGCGCCAAGAUUCAUUCUUUUUUGGCACUAGUAGCAUCGGCACUGCACAGGGGCUCAUACUUUCUCGCACCUUUCGAAUAAGCUCUUCAACUUGUCGUUGUAGCUCUUCAUUUUCUUUCGGACACAUUCGAUAUGCUACCUUAUUGGGGAUAGUGGUGCCCGGCACAAUAUCAAUGCAAUGUUGGAUCUCCUACAUAGGUGGAAGACUGGGUGGAAUCUUCUCCGGAAUUACAUCUUUAAACUCAUGAAUAAAAGGUAUGAUGAUAGAAGGUAUUGUAUUCUCUAUUUUAUUUUCCUCUACGAGAGUAAAUUAUAGGCCUCGGAGGAUUCUGACAACUUCUUAAGAAAUAAUGAUUUAGAACAUACCUUGCCAUGAGAAGUAGUGCACUGUGUGUGAAAAAUAUUAUUAAGCUAAUCAUCUUCCUUGACAGGUGUAGCGCUCAAGGCUUGUCGAGUGACAAAAGCCUCACCUCCGUCACCAUAAGUGAUUUUAUCUUCCUCUUCCACUUCUUCAUCCUACACGGGUGAUGUAGUUUCAAGACCUUCCUCUUUGUCAGGUGUCUCCUCGAAAAGAGUAACAAUUCUCCUAUUUGGGCAUUCAGAGGCGCAAUGUGUCCGAGGCCUUGACAUUUGUAGUAUCAUCGCGGGUUAGAAUUUGAAGAACUAGGAUAAUUAGAAGUAGUCACUGCCUCUUGUUUUGGAUGAGGCUUUUGGGAUAUGGACAUAGAAGUUUGAGAAGCACUCCCCUGGUUGGAAGUGUUCUCACGAGCUAUGGAUCGAUUACCACUGGCACUUGAUGCUCGACGCACACCCUUUGCCUUGAGUUGCCUCUCUACCUUAAUCGCAAGCUUGUAGGCAUCAUUGUAUGUCCAAUAAUGUUGAAGGUUGACGAUGUCGAAUAUCUCACGACGAAGCCUACCAAGGUAAAGAGCUAUGGUUUGCUCUUCCGGUUUGUAAAUGCCGCACCACAUGAUAAGAUGAUCAAACUCCUCCGAGUGCUCCUCAAUAGAGCGAUUCUAUUGUUUCAGGCGGUGAAACUUGAGAAAAGCAUCUUGCAUAUAGUGCUCCGAUAAAAACUUCUUCUUAAGUUCUUUCUAAGUUUGUAUUUUUUAUUUUUCUUCGCGAGCUCGUCAAACUUUGAAUUGCUCUCACAAAAUAGACGCAUACUUUUUAAGCUUGAUGGCCACAAGCUUUACUUUGUAGUAUUCGGGUACAUCUUCAUAUUCAAAGAUCUGCUCCACAGUGUGAAGUCAGUCAAUGAACUCAUCAUGUUGCAUCCUUCCUUCGAACUCAGGAAUAUUAACUUUGAUGUCGAGGUCCCGGCGGAACUCAUUGUUCCUCCAAGGUAGUCGAUAUAGAGAACCUUCCUUACUAGGUGCCCGCCUACGAGCAUUAUGAAAUUGAUUGAUAUUCUCCUCAUCUUCUUGCUUUGAACCAUGACAAGGGUCGCCAUAUUCCAAAACUUCAAAGCAAGCAAGUUGCUCUUCAAGAAGUCGCACUUGUCUCCGCAAGUCAUCUUGCCUCUCAACAUCCUGCAAAUCAUACUCACGCGUUGCGGGAUCCUCCAUGCGUGGAUCAUGCCUUUGGUUGUUAGCCAUCUUGAACCUAGGGGUCUGAUACCAAUCUGACGCCGGGACUUAGAGAGGACGCAAAAAUAGAACAAGCACAGCUCAAUAAACACUCAACUCGUUGUAAAAUCCACCACGUCGAACUCGAGCACACUCACCACUAUGUGGAAUCCACCAACACAAUGGUUGAGCAACACUCUUCUCUUAUAAAAAAUCCACCUAAGAGAUAGGAGUAAGAAGAAAUUAUUCUUCUCAAAUAAAAAUGGAAACUUCAAUUUAACUUGACUUGUUUUUCAUUAUAAAAUUAUUAUAUAUUUAUAGGCUCUCAAAUGACCAUUCAUCUUCUCCAUAUAUUAACUCACUCAUUAAUUUCAUAGAGAAAGUAAAAGACACUUCUAGAAAUACUAAAAAACACACACUAUUCUAAACUAAUUAAUAUAAUCCAUUUUAAGAAAGUGAAAAUACAAUUUUAUAGAAAAACUAAGGAAUAUACUUAUUUCAAAACUAAUAUUUAUGGAGUGAGUAAUGACAUCAUUCACCAAUUUAAAGAACCGUGACCGUAACUCUUUGAACGUAGGAAUUUUACAAACUUGUUAUAUCUCUAAUACAAAACACAUACCUUUGGACAAAAUUGAUGAUGCUUCUUUAAAUUAUUUUGUUCCUUCUUCCUCAAUUUCAGAAGAAAAUUGAAAAAAGGCACUAAACAAUUUUAUCCUAUAAAACUAAUUUAAGUGCAUUGAAAAGUAAAUUAUUACAAAAUAUAUUUGAUUACAAUAGUUUGUGCCGUUGUGAUAAUGCAAAUCAUAUUAUUUAGUUAUUUAUUGCCAUUAGUAAUAAUUUGCAACGAUCGUUGUUUGUUAUAAAAAAUUAGUAUUGUAACUAAUAGUUAUCAACUGCAACCGUGUUUAUUACCAGAAAAGAAUGGAUUUCUUAUUUGCAUUCAAGUUAAAAGAAAAAAGAAAGAUAACACCAAGAAAUACCACCACACAAGAUUAAUUAAUGCCCAAAGAAAACAUGGGAGAGAAAAUUGAAAACACCACUGGAUACUAUCACAAUGAUUUUCUUUUUUCUUUUUUUUUUUGUAUCUUAAAUAAGAAAAAUAAAUUAAAGCUGCACAAAGAAUAUUUAAUACACAACAAAAAAUACAGCCACCACCACCACCAGGUAAUUGAUUACCAAUAAAUAUGUAAUUAACCAAGAACACCACCUUAUUAAUUCUCUAGCUACAAAGUAGUAAUGUAAUGUAUAUAUGCCCACCAAUGCAUAUACAUAUGUUAGCUGAGGAGCCCGUUCUCUGUGCAUACAACAGGCUCAGAUGUGGGAGUGCUCAUCUUCUUUAGAUUUUGUUGGUGAUAUACUUGUCUCAAUCUCUCAAUCUCCUUCUUCAAUGCCUCUUGGUGGGCUUGCAUUUUUAAAAAAAAGAAAAAGAAAGAAAAAACCUAUUUGAGAUCCAAUUAAAGUGUAUAUCAAAAACUUUGCAAGGGCAGGUGACAAAUAUAAGGGCAAAAAAUAUGUAUAAAUAUUUCCUAUAAUUAAACCUACCUAAUAUAUGGUGUUCAGAGCUUUUUAUUUAAACACUUUAGUGCCUAAUUAAAUUUUCCCGUAUAUAUAUAUUGCAAUUGUGUAUCCUUGGCCUUCCUAGUUGCCUAAUGUUUGCAAUAUCAUGUGCUCGCAUGCAACACUUUUACGCAAAAUAGCUAUCAUAAUUCAAUUUGAAACAACAAAACAAAAGGAAAACCAAAUUGAAAGAGAAGAGAAAAAUGAUUGUUUUCUGAAAGUGGUUGAAUGUUGAGCAUUUAAGUCAAUAUAUGGUAGUUCAGAGACCAAAAUAUUUAAGUGAAGAGUUUAGAACUAACACAUAACAUCUGAAAGGUACAUGCAUGAAAUAUUAUUUGUGCAUAUAUUUAACCCUAAUAUAUAACCAAACAAGAUAUAACAAUAGUAAUUAUUGUGUGGGUCUAUGUAACAUAUUGGCCUUAUUUUUGAAGAAUUAUCCUUUUAUCAAAUUGUGCACUAUUUAUUCAUAUUUACUUGAGUAAAAGUUCCAUUGCUUGAUGCACAGUUGAUGUUUAUUAUGAUUUGUGACCUGCAAACUGGUACCAGGGACCACUAAUUAAGUAAUUGUCCAAAAAUUAUCUUCAUGUCUAAAAUAAAUGUAUUAAUUAGUCCAUAAAUUUUUUUUUUCUAUUUAUAUUAUUACUUCGUGUAGGGUAAAUUAUGGAAAGCAAUGAGAUUAUUUACAGCGUGGAAAAUCCAAGUACAUUUUGAUGCUUUAAAAAUCUAUAUUUUAUCAAAGUGUACACUAUACAUGUAUUUAGUAGCUCAAGUGAUUUGUGGGGUUCAUUGUAGUAUUAUCAGCUAUAAAUUAAAAUUAUUGAGUCAAUGGAAAUACCAAUUUCGAGGAAAAGGAUACCUCUUAUUUAGAGAUUAAUUAAUGUGAUUAGUUUUAUAACUAAUAAUUUGCAUGUACAGAAGAGUAGAAUAAUUAUUUACCAUGAAGUAAAUAAUAUCAACCUACCCAAGUUGCUAUAGCAAUAGCAACAACCAUGGGCCUAAGUUAAUUUGUAUCAUGUGUUCAUGAAUGGAAGAGGACCACCACAAACACACAUAGUGCCUGUGGACCUAUUCUAGAUAGGGAAAAAUACAAAAAAACAAUUAAGCAAAACCUACAAAAAAGAAUAACAAAUAUGAAAUAUAAUUGAGCAUGGUUUUAGACUUUUAGUUAACUCACCAUCCUUGAAUAUUUUGUCCUGUGCCAGGGCCGCGAUCCGCUGCUUGAGAUGGCUGUUACCGACGCUGAGGAUCGACCGCUGGUGAUCGAGGAACGCCACUCGGGGCGACAAUGCAGAUACCUCAGUCUACAUGCAAAUAUAUACCCCGAAAAUAAAAAUUUAAGUAUGCAUGUAAUAACCACUUUCUGAAAAAAAAAAAAAAAAAAAAAAAAAAAACAAAAAAAAAAAAAAGUAUCAAUAAGAGAAUUGGAACUUAUCAUGUAAACGCUAGUGGCAUGCACUGUUUCAUUACUAAUAACUCAACGAACUCAUUUGUAAUGUUGCAUCAGAGCCAAUUCUUCUAGUUUAAGUAUAUAAUUUUUAGCCUAGCUAGUCUCUAAGGUAUNAUAAGAAAAAAAAAAAAAAAAAAAGAGAACAAAAAAAAAAAAGAAUCCUUAAGAGAACAGGAUCCUAUCAUGCAAACUCUAGUUGCAUGCACUGUUUCAUUACUAAUAACUCAACGAACUCAUUUGUAAUGUUGCAUCAGAGCCAAUUCUUCUAGUUUAAGUAUAUAAUUUUUAGCCUAGCUAGUCUCUAAGGUAUUGAUGUUUUGGGCAUUAAAAGUCACAUCCUCAACCUUUGAUUUAUGGGUUUGAACUGAUCCUUUAUUUUUUUCAAUUUUUGUAAACUGGGACCUAUUUUCGUGAACUGGGACCUCCUAAUAUUUAAAAUGUUACUGCAUGUGCUUCUAAUAUUAAAGAAGGGAUUAAUUUUUAUGCAGAUACCUGCAAUCAUAGUGAAUUACAGAUAUAUCCCUACAAAAUUCAACUUUCAUAUAUUGUUUCUACAAAAGCCCUAAUAUUUAGAAAUAUGUCUCUACUGUUAGAAUCCAUUAGAAAACUUUAAUUAAUCCUAAUUAGUUUAUAAGAUAACUUGAUAUUUUUGUCCCUCUUAUAUUAUAUUACUGUGACUUUUAGAGGAACAUAUUUGUCAUGACAAAAUUGACAUUUCAUUUAAAAUAUAAAAAGUUCUAUAACGGUAACAAAUCAGAGUAACAUAUUUGAAAAUAUUAGAAUUUUUAUGAGAACAACAUAUGAAAGUUGAACUUUAGAUAUAUAUUUAUAAUUUACUAUAUUUAUAGGGACCUAUAUGCAUUUAACCCUAAAAGAAGAAUGUGGUAGGGACAUGAUAAUGCAUGCUAAAAAAGAAGCUCUUUUUUCUCUUGCGAGAAAAUUGAAGAGGUACAUAAAAUUACAAAUUCAUAGCAAUGGGAAUUAAUUAAAUUGCGGAGUGCCAUGUGGGUACGUAGCAAUGUGCCUAGCAAUUGCAAUUAAUAAAAUUGUUUCUAUACAUAUGAAGAGAGAUUUUACUUUACUUAACACCACUAUUAUUUCAAGAGCAAUACUACUAAAUUAUGCAUAUAAACUUUACACUCUAUUCAUCCAAAAACUCUUUUUUUUUUAUAUCAGUCUUAUCAUUUUUGUAACAUUAAAAUUCUAAAAGAAAUAACUAAAUUCUCAGAUGAGAUUGUAAGGUUUGCGCCCAACUUAGGUGCACAAGAAACAUUUCUCUAAUUUUAACCAAAUUAAAAAGGAAAAAUAAAACCAUAAUGAUCUACAUUUGCAUUGAGAGGGAACAUAUAUAAUGUUGGUGUACGUUUGUUAUUAUCAAAAAACAGUUUGUAAAUAGUCUUAAUUAAUUCUGUCAACGCACAUAUAUGAUGGAGAUCAUAUAUAAUCAUGCCAUGUGUACCUCCACAAACAAAAUAGAAUAACACAUGGGAAAUUUUGCCAUCAAAAGCUCCUAGAACGAAAGGGGCUUAGGACUACUUAAAUCUGAUAUUAUGUUGUUUAAAAAAUUGAUUUAAUAGAAUAUAAUAGCGUAUCUUAUGUCAUUUCAAAGAGACGAAGGAUUUAAAAAAUAUGAAGGACCCAAUUGCAAAAAUAUUUGAAACUUAGGGUAAAUUAAAACUCAAAUUCAAAAUUUGGAGAAUUAAUGACACGCAUCUCUCCCAUUAGCUAACACUACACAUACCUGUAACGUAGUCACGCUACGUUCGAGCUCCGCAAUGUAUUGGAGCUUCCUCACUCGCGACCUCUGCGCCGAUUGCCUAUUAGCUAAAAUCCUGCAAUUAAUAAUUCAACUCAGUUAAUUAAGCAUAAUUCAAUGAGAAACAAAUUAAUUACGAUAUUUAUAUGUUAAUCCUGCUAGGUGACUUGCUACGACACGAGUCUGAGGUUUUUGUGAUCAAGAAUAAUACGAUUGGUUAUAUAAGACUGAAUUAUAUAUUCAUAUGUUUUACUUGUUCUUAUUCUUAUUUAUUAUUAUUAUUAUGAUUUUGCGACAAAUUUUUUUUUUUUCUUUCUUUGGUUUAAAUGAGCUACAUUGUGGCGUAAUUCGACCGUUGGGCUCGCUAACCUUUUGACUCUCCUGGUGUCCCUGCUCGGCCUCGCACUGGCUCUGCGCCUCUUCGCACUCGGCCGCGCCGGCCGCCGCCUUGUCGUCGCUGACGCUGUUGUGGUCCGACGGCGUCGACGGUGCUGACGACGCCGACGGAGGCGGCUGCGGCAUCGGCAUUGGCAUCGGCAUCGGCGGCGGCGGGGCCCCGGCGUCGUCGGAGAACAUGGACAUGAGCUGGUCGUCGUCGAGGCGGUCGAAUUCGGCGGCCGGCGCCGCGGGGCCGGCCUCGAGGAAUGGGCCGGAGUCGCUGACGGAGCGGCGGUGGGCCCCGCGCUUCGCGGCGGAGAAGUCGAGGAACUCAUCGACCCACGAGGGCUGCAGGGUGGCCGCACUAGUAGUCGUAGCGGCGGCGGCGGGCCAGUUGAGGGAACACGUCAUCAUGCUGCAUGGGAUCUUGGGCGGAAGCUGCGCCAUAACGACGAGAUAAUCUUUCUCUCUCUACCUGUCUCUCUCCGCUCUAACUUUCUGAGCUAUUUCUCGUUCGAACGAAAAAAAGAAAAGAAUGAAAAGAAUCACAUGACAAGGGAAGAAGAGGAAGACAGCUUAGACACAGCUGGGUGGUGGCCGGUGGAGGGAAGAGAGGUUGGGGAUUAACGGCACAGCACAAAAGUCGCAGCUGCAGUUUUUUUUAGAUGUAAGUGGGGGAAUCAGUGACCACGUGCAGAUGUGACCGUACAUCUCUCGUGCUCCUUAUAGAGCGCCCAACUCUCUCUCUCUCUCUCUCUCUCUCUCUCUCUCUAUAUAUAUAUAUAUAUAAUUAGGCUACUAUACUAUCUAUAGUACGGGAGCUCCCGUACUAUAGUGUUGUUUUCGAUCUUAGGGCAUUCAAAUCAACGAUCCACACCGUUAAAUAUGAUCUAGGGUAUAUGAAAUUCUUAGAAAUAAAAUUUUAGUUCUUUUCAAUAUCGUUUACUUAGUAAAUAAAUUAUGUCAAAAUGGACGGUGGGAAUUGAAUACUCUUUAAAAUUUGAGCAUAGGACUUUUAAAUUCAAGAUCAAGAAUGUUAAUCUUAAUCUAUAUAGUUUAAAGAAUUUUCUAUCAAAAUUUGAAGAAAUUUAGAUUCUUCUACACCGUUAAACUCCAAACUCGUCAUAAUAGUCUUUGAAAAUUGACAAUUUUGAAAUAGUUUGAUCAUAAAGUAAACUUUGUCGAAAAAAUAUAAAAUUUUACUUCUAGAAACUUUAAAUANAAACGGUCUAUAGCGACACUUUUAAAUGUAGGUACAUGUCAAAAAAGUGCCGCUAGCUAAAAUUACCGACACUUUUAAAAGUGUUGCUAUAUGUGGGGUCGCUAAGUAUAUAGUGACAGUUAAAGAGUGUCGCUAUAACCUAAAAAGUGCUGCUAAUUUACCAACACUUAUUUAAGCAUUUAGCAACCGCCGAAACUCUAUCUCGUUGGCUGCGGUGGCGGAGGAGGACGACAGGAAAGGCUUUUCGUCUAGAAUUUCAAUGAAUUGAGUGAAGAGAGAAGAAAAGAUGGUAAUUGAUUUUUCUUUUUUUUUUCUUUUCUGUUUGUAAUCGGGCCAAAUGAACUGGGUGUGGUGGGUUGAGUAGAGUAAUCUUUUAUUUUUAAUUGGAUUGGGCUUUAUAUUUAGGCAUUAGUAAAUAUUUUUUAAGUUUUAGCAUAAAUGAAACACUUACUCAAAAGUGUCCCAAACAUGUGUCCCUAUAACCUAAUUCUGUUGUAGUGUGAAAAUGAUCCAAAGGGUAGAUCCAACGGCAGAAAACUUGGUAGCACUAAAUACUUCGUGCUAUUAAUAACAUAGUAGCCGGACUCUACAUAUAUAUAUAUAUAGAAUUAGGCUACUAGACUAUCUAUAGAACCGGAGCCCCAGUACUAUAGUCUUGUUUUCGAUUUUAGAGUAUUCAAAUUAACGAUCCACACCGUUAAAUAUGAUUUAGGAUAUAUGAAGUUCUUAGGAAUAAAAUUUUAGUUUUUUUCGACAUCGUUUACUUAGUAAAUAAAAUUAUGUCAAAAUAGAAGGUGGAAAUUGAAUAAUUUUUAAAAUUUGAGUAUAGGACUUUUAAAUUCAAGAUCAAGAAUAUUAACCUUAAUCUAGAUAGUUUAAAAUAUUUUCUAUCAAAAUUUGAAAAAAUUUAGAUUCUUCUACACCGUUAAACUCCAAACUCGCCAUAGUAGCCAUUGAAAAUUGACAAUUUUGAAAUGGUUUGAUCAUAAAGUAAACUAUGUCGAAAAAAUACAAAAUUUUAUUUCUAAAAACUUUAAAUACUCUAGAUCAGUUUUAACGGUGUGGAUCGUUGAUUUGAAUACCCUAAAAUCGAAAACGAGACUAUAGUACCUGAGCUCCGGUACUAUAGAUAGUACAGAAGACUAGCUAUAUAUAUAGAGAGAGAGAGAGGGAGAGAGUAAGGCUACUAUGCUUCUGUAAAUACGGAGUCUUCCGUGCUUUCAGAUCAUUUUUCAUGUUGCGACUUUCGAAUCGUCGAUCGGCUCCGUUAAACUUGAUCUAGAGUAUUUGAAGUACCUAGAAAAUAAACUAUACGAUUUUUCGAUAUUAUUUGUCUAGUGAACGAAGGGGUUCAAAAUCAACGGCUGAAAAUAAAAAUCUUACAAAACGUAAUAAUAUGACAUUAAAAUUUUAGAUCAAAGAUAUUGAUCUUGUUUUAUAUAGUAUAAAGAAUUUUCUAUCAAAAUUUCACGGGAUUUGAAUAUUUCUACACCAUUAAACUUGCAAACGGCUCACUACGGCCAUUAAAAUUAUUGAUUUUGAGCCCCUUCGAUCACUAGGCAAAUAAUAUCGAAAAAUCAUAAAAUUUAUUUUCUAGAUACUUCAAAUACUCUAGAUCAAGUUUAACGGAGCCGAUCGACGAUUCGAAAGUCGCAACAUCGAAAACGAUCUGAAAGCACGGAAGGCUCCGUGCUUCCAAAAGCAUAGUAGCCUCAUAUAUAGUAGAGUUACUAUGCUAUUGGAAGCAUAGGGGAUUUAGUGCUUCUGACUUUUUGGCUCUUAGAUCAACUUCUUUGAUCAUUUCUAACCUUUGGAUUAAUACACCACUCAACCCUAGGGGUACUACUAAACCCUAGGAGGGACCGCAAUCAUCUCAACCGUAUAUUUCUUGAUCUAAGGAUCAGAAAGUUGGAAGUAUAAAACCCUCUAUACUUCCAAUAGCAUAGUAGCUCUACUACACUAUAUAUAUAUAUGAACAAACUAUCCUUUUUAUCAUUUGUUGUGAAGACGAGGAGCACAUGCUGUUGGCUUAAAUGGGCUAGCAUCCUGCCCUGUGGCAGGAGGCCAUGUGGGCCAAGUCAUGUUCGAAAUGGCGUGAGGCUGGGUGGGCCGAGUCAUGUUCGAAGUGGCGUGAGGUUGGUUGAACCGAGUCACAAUCGAGACCCGUGGGCUCUAUAUCUGUACGCUUUAAGUGAAUUGGUUGCAUAUUUCUAACAGCUCGAAUUUUUGGGAUUAAUGGUUAGCGCUAACGAUCCGACGCAUGCAUGUGUUGCAAAUUCUGGUCUAGUUGAGUUACAUAUAUAUACAGAGGCUCGAGAGCAAAGUAAAUGCGCAGAAGUGGUGAUUAAGUUUAACAAUGAGGCCCAUUUAGGGCUUUUAAUAUUUUAUCUUCCAAUACUGUAAAAUUAUAAUGACAAUCCCCGCAAAAGAUACAUGCAAACAAACUUCAUCCUGAGAUUGGAAGUGCCUCUGAUGGAGAGAAUAAUUGAAAGCGUUUUUUAAAGUUUGUGAGAGUAGGCUUGAAAAUAUUUUGUUACGAAUUAAAAUUUGUUAAUAUCAUUUUUCGGGAUUGUUUACUUGUAGAUCGAUCUAUUUGGUGAACCCUUUGGUUUCAAUAGGUUUUGGGUUAAUUAUAUUCACAUAGCAUUAAAAUUUUCCUCCUAUUCUUUUACCUCUCCUACUAGUUUAAUUAAAUGGCAUGGUUAACUUUAUCUCCAUUAGGAUAAAUAUAAUUUACUGUUGUACUACAUAUUUAUACACAUAAUAAAUUAAUACGAUACUGUUUUAUUAUAUAUAUAUAAUAAAUUAAUAUAAUCUGUAAUUUUUUUAUUUUUUUAUCAUUAGACAUGAUUUUUUUAUUUUUUUAUUUUAAAUUUUUUUAUUCUUAUAUUAUUUUUUUUAUAAUUUUUGUAGUCUUAUUGAAAAAAUAAAAAAACAUAUCACUACUUACGUUCUCCUCAACUAAUUCUUUUAUUUGGUGCAAUAGCAUUAGGUCACUUCCAAAUACCAAGUGAAUAUAUGUUUUCAAUAAGCAUAUCAGAACAGAGAAACUAUAGCAUUUCCAGUAACCAUCUAAGAGUCCCUUUGUUACUAAGGCUUCAUAGAAUUAUAGCACUUGAAGCUAGUUUUAGCUUAAAAAUGUAUAGAACUUAUCUGAUCAACUAUCCAGCCUUUUAAAAUUUUGAUGUUGACACAUAAUCUUUCAAUUUAUUUGAUUUGAAUUAGUGAAUAGCACUUUAAUUCAAAAUUUGACAGCGUCAUUUAUCUUUACAAAUUUAAUUAUAGUNAUAUUUAUACACAUAAUAAAUUAAUACGAUACUGUUUUAUUAUAUAUAUAUAAUAAAUUAAUAUAAUCUGUAAUUUUUUUAUUUUUUUAUCAUUAGACAUGAUUUUUUUAUUUUAAAUUUUUUUAUUCUUAUAUUAUUUUUUUUAUAAUUUUUGUAGUCUUAUUGAAAAAUAAAAAAACAUAUCACUACUUACGUUCUCCUCAACUAAUUCUUUUAUUUGGUGCAAUAGCAUUAGGUCACUUCCAAAUACCAAGUGAAUAUAUGUUUUCAAUAUGCAUAUCAGAACAGAGAAACUAUAGCAUUUCCAGUAACCAUCUAAGAGUCCCUUUGUUAUUGAGGCUUCAUAGAAUUAUUAUAGCACUUGAAGCUACUUUUAGCUUAAAAACGUAUAGAACUUAUCCGAUCGUCUAUCCAGCCUUUUAAAAUUUUAAUGUUGACACAUAAUCUUUCAAUUUAUUUGAUUUGAAUUAGUGAAUAGCAUUUUAAUUCAGAAUUUGACAGCGUCAUUUAUCUUUACAAAUUUAAUUAUAAUAUUUCAUGCAAUUCUUAUAACUAUAAAUUUAUUAAAGUUAGUAAUUAAUUAAAAUUUUAAAUUUUACUCAAAUAGAUUGAAAGGUUGAAUAGUAAAAUCAAAAUUUUGAAAGGUUGGAUAAUUAGGUCAAAAUGGUCAAUAAUUCACGUAAACGCUGUACAUUUUUACCCUAUUUUUUUUAAUUUGUUCUUUGAACUUUCAACAUCAACAAAGAGACCUUGAACUCAAUAGUUUCCCUUUAGUCCCGAGCUCUUUUAGAAAGCAAAUUAUUGCAGACACUUAUAUAUAUAGUACUGAAGUUUUGAAUUUUGAAUGUCGAAUUUAAAAGAUUGAGAACAAAAAGAUUACAGAAACUAAUAUUGCAAUUUUUCCAAUCUUGGUGAAAGGAUAAAACUGAAUCCAUGAAGAGACAAAAUUAAUGCAAGACCUUGAAUUACAAGGUAGUACAGUGGAAAUACUAUCAUGUGAGACCUUUAAUGUUAUUUCCAAAUGGAAAAGGACAUAAUAUUGGUGAGGAAUGCUUUAAAUAAUGUGAUACAAUCAAUUUAUCCAAAAGAGUUAAGCUAUAACGUUAAAUAAUUCAAAAUUAUUUUCUUCAAAAGUUUAAACUCGUAAAGAAUGGUAUUUUUAUUUUUAUUUUUAUAUUUAAUGCUCAUCCUCACAUCUGAGCUCGAGACUUUUUUAUAGUCACAUGAUAUGAAUUUCAAUUAAAUGAAAGAAUAUGAUUUUGGAGAACAUGGCUUAAGUUUUUGGAGAAAACAAGUGUUUCGCAUAAUUUAAGAUACAAGAUAAUUAAUGAUGUUUUAAUAUUCAUAUUGAUAAUAUGUUAAACAAUGUGAAACAAUAGAAGAAAAUGAUAUUUUUAAUAUUUAUAUUGAAAAAAUAUUAAAUAAUGUGAAAUAAUGGAUAUUCCCAAAAACUUAAGCUACCAAGAAAUAAUAUUUUUAAUAUUAUUAUAUAUAUAUAUAUAGUAUAUAUUAUAUAUAUAUAUAUAUAAUAUAUAUAUAUAUAUAUUAUAUAUAUUAUAGUAUUAUAUAUAUAUAUAAAGUAAGAGUUAGUUAUGCUAUCGGAAGUAAAAAUAGUUGGUGCUUCCGAUUUUUUAGGACCCUUAGAUCAACUUCUCAUUAUAAUUUCUAAACUUAUUGAUUAUAUUAUUAACCAAUGGGGACCACUUAACCUAGGGGGACCACUCAAAUCUAAGGGGGGCACGUAUUAUCCAACCAUAUGAAUCUUUGAUUCCAAGGGCUAAAAAUCAGAAGCACAACUCUUUAUGCUUCCGAUAGCAUAAUAGCUCUACAAUAUAUAUAUAUAUAUAUGUAUUAUAUAUAAUAUAUAUAUAUACAUAUAUAUAAUAUAUAUAUAUAUAUAUAUAUAUAUUAUAAUAUAUUAUCUCUUAAAUAACCGAAAUAACUAAUUUCUUGAGAAGUUUAAACUACUCGAUAAAAAUAUGUUUAAUAAAUUUAUAUUCAAGGGAUUAAGGGCCUCAUUUGGCUCGGGGUUAAAGUGAGAACAACGAAAGUUAUUCCUGCUAUUCCACCAGGCAGGAUAUAUUUUGGUAAGGAUAAAAUAAUUCAGUCAAACCUUGCUAUUUUCGAUUAAUCCAGAAUAGUUUGGGAUAAAUAAUUCCACCCUUUUAGUGGAUGAUUGCUAUUACAAGACUUAAUUUCAAGCUUAUUUACUGAAUUAAAAUAAAUUAUAUGGACAUGAUAUAUAUAUUACAUCUUAUAAUAAAUUAUUUUUAUUGUAAAAAUUAUUAUAUGUAUUAUAUUAAUACAUAUUAAUAUUAUUUGUACUUAAAUAUUAUAAUAAAUUUUAAUUAAAUAUGUUACUAAAUUAUUUUUAUUAAAUUUGUGUUUAAGUGGAAUUUGAAAAAAAAAAAAGUAUUAUAUUUCAAAUAUUUUUUACAUAGCACAUAAAGGUGUCCAAAAUAUCCGAUAUCCCAUACCCGACCCGGACCCUAUCCGGACCCGAACCGAACCCGAUAAAAAAUGAGUAAUAUACGGAUAAAAAAAAUUACCCAUUAAAGUUUCGGGUAUGGGUCCGGAUAUUUUAUACCCAUACUCGAUUUGGACCCGACCCAAACCUAACUUUUAAAUGGGUAGGGUCCGGAAUAGUUUUCAAAUCCGGACCUGGACCCGGACCCGAUGAAAUAUCCGAUAGUAAAUAAAAAAAAAAAAAACUUUUGAAGUUGAAGAAUCAAUUUUAAUAUGACUUAUAGAUGUUGAGUCACUACGUAUUUUCAUCCUAAUGAAACCCUAGCCGUCUCUUUUACUCAUUACUUUUUUCUAAUUUUUUUACUCUUUGUUUUCUACUUCUUUUUUUCAUUUCAUUUCCGUCAACAAUAUUUCAUUGUCAUCAUCAUCAUCAGUGUCAUCAUCAUCAUCAGCGACAAUAUUUCUUUUGAAUGAAUUUUAUUGGACGGUAAAACUUAUUAGAAUGCGAGUAUUUUUAUGGUGGGCUUUAUAGUUUGUCUAUUGACUAUUUAAUAAAGUUUAUAAAAAAAAUAUAUUUAUACGGAUAUUCGUAUCCGAUCUAGACCCGAUCCAUAUCCGGUCUUGAACGGGUAGUAUACGGGUAGUCACUACCCAGACCCGCUCAAAUAGACCCGAUGGGUAUAUUAGUAAUUUUAGUACCCAGAUCCGAACCCGACACGAAAUUAAAUGGGUAGGGUAUAUAUAUUUUUUGUAAUCAUUUCUUUUUAGGGUAUGGGUAUAGUAUAUUAAUUAUCCGGACCCGACCCGGUCCACGGACAUCUUUAAUAGCACAUUAUAUUAUAUAAUAUAAUUUAUUGCAAACUAUUAAUCAUAUUUUAUAUUAAAUUCAAUAGUCACUUUUUUUUUUUUACUUUUUCACUAUUCUAUAAAAUUAACCAAACAUAAUUUUAAUCUUGUUAACUAUACCAAAAUGAUAAACUAUUUGGAAAGGAAAAGAUCAUUUUAAUGCUCGUUAUUUUCGAAUCAAACAAAACGGGCCCUGAGACAAUAAAUGUGUUGUGGGAAUUUAAGGAAAUGAAAAAAAAAAGAAAAAGAAAAAAAUGAGCUGUCCAAAGAGAGUACGAAGAGAGAGAGAGAGAGAGAGAGAGGGAGAGAGAGAGAGAGAGAGAGAGAGAGAGAGAGAGAGAUAUGGAGAGGAUGGGGUUGAGAUUUGAAUCAUGCACUGCCAUGUGCAGUGUUCGCUUGCCCACGCUUUGUCUCUCCACGCUAUCACAUGCAGUCAUGCUACUCUUGUGUCUCCUCCCCUUUCCCUUUCCAUUCUCUCUCUCUCUCUCUCUCUAAUAUAUUCCCUUUUUCUUUUUUUCCUUUCCUUUUUCUUUUCUUUUUUUGGAUAAUUGUCUAUGUAUCUAUCAAAAUUUUUGAAAUAUUUUAUUUAUUCAUACUUUUUUUAUUUCAAAUAUGCAUCUUAUAUGUUUCUCCGUUAUUCGAAAAUACUCCUUCUAUUAGUAUUCGUUAAGUCAUUUCGAAUUAAAUCUGAAUUAAAUUUCUAUCAUAGUGAAAAAAAUAAUAAAAUACCUGUUUUACUCCUAUAAAACUUACAAAUAAAAAAAGAUUGUUAAGGAUAGAAGGAUAUAUUUGAAGGAACAAAGUGUCAGAAUAUUUGUCUUGCCCCUAACUUAAGGACCAAUUAAAAAAAAUUGAUAAUAGUAAAAAAAGUAUAGUUAAAAAGGUAAAAUUAUAAUUUCAUAAAAAUAACGUUGUUCCUGAUAGCUUACUAUCAGAAUUUAAUUUUAAGAAUAUAUUUAAAACUUUUAAAAUCUUAAAUAAAAAUUUUUAAUAUUAGUCUUCUAAAAAGAAUAAAUAAGAAAAUGGGAAACUUCUCAGUAUAUAUAAGAUUCCUUUUUUUGUGCGUUGAUGUGAGAUCAUUUUUUUCUAUCUUGUCCGUGCAGCUUCUUGGCGCUUUGUGUAGUAAUAAGGUGUCGGGUGUCCUUUUCGGCCUAUUGCUUUUGCCUCCACCGGUGGAGGAGUGGGAUUUGCUAAGGAGGUUUCAACAUGGAAUAAAGAGGAACAGUAAGGACUAUUUUGUAGAUUUUUUUGGGUGUUUUGGUAGAUUUGAAAAGAAUACUGGUCUGGUAAAGUUUAGGAGACAAAGUGGUACGUACGGUCUCACAUAUUAUUUCGUCAUUCGGUAAAAUUUCACUUACAUUCUGCAAUUUGUUAGCCUCUUCUGAUUAAAAAAAAUUCGGAGCCUAGUCUCGUACCAUGUUAGCUUGAAAAUUAAUAUUAUUGCGAGACUUCAUAGAACGUAUCUUUCCAUACAGUCUGCUAAAAUAACUGAAAGAUAGAAAUGAUGCACAAAGUGAAACUGUUUUAUCUGCCAUUUAUAAAAUAAUGAUAGAUAAGAAUCAUAAGAUGAUCUUAUGUUGAAGAUAUUUCCCCACCGGUCUUAACUAGGACUGGAUUAAGGUUGGUUGUUGCACUUCAUAACAUCAAAGUAGGCUUCAUAAUAGCAAUUUGCAAACUCUCUAAACAACCAUGUGGAUGUGGCACACAAUACUGUUCUAGUCCUGUAGCAAAUUUACUCUCCUUUUUAGGCCUACACAUUCCUCUUUUACAGCUCACACAAACCACAAACAUAUCAGAGCAAAAAGGAUUUAACGCUGCAGUACUUUGGUGCAACAGUGCCAGAACAGUACUUGGGUACAAAGGUAUCGUUUGCUUUUCAGUGCAUGUGAUAUAUACAGCCGAUAAUAUACAGCCGAUAAGAAUGAAAAGGAGAGGGAAAAAAAUAGAGAGGAGAGAGAGAUAAAUAAGAGGAGCUGAGAGGAGUAAAAACAGGAACAAAAUUCUUAACAACAUAUAUAGUAGUUUCCUGAUUAUAAAAGAAAGCUUAAAAGCCUACAUAUAGACUCUUUACACUAAUCCAACACCUAAAAAUUAGAAAUCUUUUGAAAACACUAGAUUCGAUCUAAUCUAUACUAGCCUAAUUAUUGAUUUAUUUCCAAUCAACUGGCUAAAAUAAACACCAAAAAUAUAAGAAAUCAAAUGACGUGAUCCCGGCCUGGAUUGAAGUGCAUCAUUAACCCUUUAUGCAGCUUCUAAAUUUGAGGUUUGAUACUUCCAUGUAAGGAUUUAGGUAUUGUGACACGGAGGUACUGGUAUAUGCUGAUCAUAAAAAAUAUAUGUAUACCAACAAAUUUUUCCAACCUUUGUUUUUUUUUUUUGCACCUAUAUAUUCUAGUUGCUUAAUUGUAUAUCUUUAUCAAACGUUUUUAUACUUUAUUGAGAUGGCUAUUUACUAAUUUCAAAGAAAAAAAGUUUUAAACUACACACCCGCAUGAGGGCCGUACCAUGCGGAUACUUUGUUGAUACGAUAUGGCACAAUAUGCAUGCACCAUAUUGAUGAAAACUUAAAUCCUUACUUCUAUGUCACCUUACUAACUGCCUAUGGACAUAAAGUAAGACAACAAGAAUUUCCAAAUGACUUAAUAUGUGGAAUCCUAGAUGAUUUGUAUACUGAGAGUAUGUUUGGUUCAUGAUUAGAAUGAGAAUGAGAAAUGAAAUUAGUUUGAACUAAAAUGGCAAAGGGAAUGAAAAAUCAUUCAAAAUUGUUUGGUGCGUCAAAUUAGAGACACAAAUUGUGUAGCUAAUAAUAGCCAUCAUAGCAACCAAUGUUUUUUUUGCUCACAAAGGGAUUUCCUGCUGUUCAAAGAACUACCUGAUAAGUUAUACAUUAAAAAAAAAAACCAGAAUAAAGAAGCAGAUCUUGUAGUCUGCUGCUAAAUGCAACAUACCAGCAAUAUAUUGCCAGCUUCCCAGUCACUACCAAGUUAAUAGCAUCAAGAUUUCUGGAAUCCUAAGGAAAAGUAGUUUUCUAGCAAAGACACAGAGUAUUCCUGUACCAUCUGCAAUUCCCUGGGUUCAUAUAAAUCAUCAUGAAUAUAUUCAAACAAUAUGCACAAAGAAGUUGCUCUCAUGACUAAGGCUUCGCUUGGUAUCGAGGCAUAUCUAACAUUAUUAGAUAAAAUGGAGUUAGGAUAAAAACAUAUAAAUAUAUACUUCUGCAUUCUCAGGUGGGAUCGCAGAAAAUAUAUCAUAACUGACUCAUCGCAACAUACAGAACACUAUAUUACGUAUGGAAACAAACAGAUAUUUUUCCAUCGUACUUUCUCACCGCACGUAAUGCAAUCUCCCCGCAAUCCCAAACGAAGCCUAAGAAGCACAUUACGGCACAUGUAAUCAUGUCAAGAUGGCUGUAUUUAUGUUUGUCUUUCCUCUCCAACACUCUAUGCAUUAUUUUGUUAAUAGGAACUAAAGACAAAAAGAAGCACCACCUCUUGUAGCGAGUAGCGACAUUGAAAUUAGUACGCAAACAGAACUAUUGCAUUAGAUUAACAAAUUAGAUAUUUUUCCCUAGUCAAACUCUAUAGACAAGAUACCUACACUCGACUAUUCCACACUGCAUAAGUCCACACAACAUAAUUGUACUGCACAAUUUACCAGUGGAACUCCAAUAAAGAUUGAUUAUCGUACAACAUUCCACGAAAACUUAAUUAUUCAAGACUAUGUACCAGUAAAAAUCUCCUAUCAAUCUCAUAAACAAGAUAGAUAAAAGCACAAAUUAUAAAAAGCUGGGACACUUUACUUGGCAGAGGCGAUGAAUGUAUGAUAUAAAAAGUAAUGUGUCUACUUAUUUAAGUCAUAAUUGAUAGUCAUAAUUGAUAGAAAGCGUUUUGUGACAUUGAAUAGCUUUCUAGUUCAAGUAUCAAACAACAAGAUGAACGGGCGAUGGAUGCCCAACUUACAAAAUUUUCUAAUACACAUUGUGGGUGAUAUAGAUAAUACUAAAUGAUCUGGAUUUUAAAUUUAUAAUUUUCAUAUUUGAAUUUUGAGCUACACAUAAACACUCUAGAUUAUAUAGUAAUCAUUCAAAAGGACAAGAAGAAAACAGAAAAACAAACCCAUAACAAAUAGAUGGGACUCUGCUUAUCAGUUGUUUAUGAAUAUUUAUUUUCCGAGUUUGCAUUUCAUAUAGUGAAGCAAAACUAUCAUGAAAACUAGAAAUUAAAUAUAUUUUCACUUGCUUCAUUGAGUAAUUGCACAUUGAUAGCUUUUACUUCAAAUUAAAAGUUUAUGCAUAUUAUGAUGUCCUCUAAAACGGCAUUUCAUGUAAAGACAAUAUUCCUAAUUUGAUGAUAGUAAACAUCUCUGUUUUUCUCUUUCAAAUGAUAUAUUUGUCCAUUUAAGUGUACAUGUUAACGAAUACUAACAACAGGAUAAACAAUUUGUCCUACAUUUUCUAGAUAUCUUGGUCAUGUAGUGAUAAAUAUUCUCAAUAUAUAAAUGCAAACUGUUCUUCAAGUGACAUGUCAUUUAAUAUUUUUUACACAAUCUUGAGAGAGAUUAUUAUACAAGUACCAAGGUAAUGAGUCGAAGAAUUUACUAAGAUUGCCAAUAAAGACCUUAAAAUUGAGAUCUAUUGCUAUUAUAUUGUAUAUAAGAUAAGAAGGCUAAACCAUUUCCCCUUGAAUAAUACAGUAAGGGAAAAGGUUUUAGUCACAGAAGGCAUGAUCAUAAAAAGUAUAGAAACCAUUUCAACCAAUAUUUAACAAAAGCAACCUGGCAGGGGUAUUUGCACAAUUUUUGCAUAUUUAAAGGGUACAUAUAUGCAAAAGCGCAUAAAUAAAAUUAUAGUCACUUUUACUGACCGAUAAAGAAAAUGUCUUGUCAAUGGCACCAUCUGAAUGAAUUUAGACAUCUUUACAUCCAAGAACACUUGCAUCCUACUACUGGAAGCUGAAUAAGCAUUUGCUUAUCUCAUUAACACAGUUAAAAGUAAGUCACAAAAAACACUAACGAAAACUUGUCAACGAACCAAGCCUUAGAAUAGUAACAGCACAUUGUAAGACACUAAAUUAUCAAACUUUUUGCUUUCAUAUAUAGAAGUAUGUAAAUACAUGCAUAUUUCUAUUUCCUAGCCUAGAUGAGAAAACAAAACGAGUAUGCCGAAGUAUGCUAUGCACAAUUUGUCCGCCAGAAGUAUGAACAAAUGAGAGAGUCAGUCAUUGUUACUGGAUCCUCUUACCUUCUCAGAAAGAAUUUUAAGUUCCCGAUCAAGAUCGACCAAUUUUCUAGCCAAAUUUGUAAACCAGUCAACAUAUCCCGCAAAUUUCAAACACCAAACUCUCUGAAAAUCAUUGAUCAUCUCUGAAGCCACCAAACAAAGUUCAUGUUUGCCCAUCAAACGUUUCUUCUCCAACUCAAAAUUACAAAGAACCAUCCCAUCAGACCUACUACUAUCAAUGUGUUGAGGCCUGCCAUUCUUCAGAAGCUGUUUUCUAUACUCAUCAAAUCCAUUCUUCUCAUCCUUUAAAGCUUUUCUGUAAUCAUUAACCAAACAGCGCAUAGCUCUGAGAUCAUGCUCGAAUUGAAACUUGUCUUGUCGUCUCUUCUUUAGAUCUUCUACCCUGGCUUUCUCCAUAGAUUGGAUGAUGAGAUCCUUUUCCGCAAUCGAUCGCUUAAGGUGUUGAAGUUCCGAUUGGGCAUUUAUGCAUGCUUGAUUCCUUUCAAAGGACAUCAUCUUCAUCCUUCGCAUCCAAUCCUGGACUUGUUCCGUGUAAGCAUUGAAAUCAAAUGGUAAAUGAUUCGAACUGCCGAAACACUGCAUGCUGUUCUGCCUCCGAGUACGAUCAACGAAAUGUGCGUCAUUGCCGCCACCGCCGCUGCUGCCGCCACCACCAGUGUCACGACCAUCACGGACACCAUCGACAUUGUCGUCAUCAUCAUCAUCAUCAUCAUCAUCAUCAUCAUCAUCAUCAAUUUCUACAAUUUCCCUCUCACAACUACUUACAACCAAGUGGGAACCAUUAAAGCCAUGAUCCCUCAAAACAGAAAAAUCUCCCGAAUUCAGUGCGAGGGAUUUCGGAUAAAGGCCACGAGUGUUACAAUCUCGCUCUACAUCAACAAGAUGAUGAUUCCUAAAAAUGUAUCCCUCAGAGGAAGAAACCCUUACCCCUCGGCGAUCGCCGCACCUCUCCUCCACCGCAACCUCCCCGUCUCCUCCCUCAUCGCUCGAAUCCUCCACAUCCACAACCAAAACCGCAUCCUCGCUGCAGCGCCGGAGGAGGCAGGGGCGCUUAUCGGGGACGGAGGAGGGGAAGGGGUUCUUCCUCUUGGGGGGUUCGUAUACACUUUGAUGCGCCAUUAAUGGUGGGUUCGAACGUGGGUUCGACUAUCGUAGUUGGAGACAUGGGGAAGACAAAGAGGAAUCGGAGGGGGAGAAUGAGAAAGUGAAACGAUUUUUAGGGUUUAUGAGGGGACGGGGGAGAAGGAAAGGGAGCGUGCUUUUCAUGGUUCGAAGAGGAGGGGAGGGAAAAGGAAAACACGAAAGUCACGUUUUGUGUAGGAACAAAUUUUGGAGAUGGCCUUUUUUAAAAAAAAAAAUUGAAUAGAAGCCGUAAAAAUUUCAGUUCGGUUCGGCUCUGUUCGAUUCGUUUUUAGUGGCAUGGAACUGAACAAAUCACGAAAUCUAAUUUGAUCUUAUUUGGUUCGGUUUGAUUUUAAUAGUAAAUAAUUUGAUUUUAGUUUAAAAAUAUCAUUAGAUCAAAAUUUUCAGAUUAGUUUUGGAUUCAAAAACUGAAAAACCAGCUCAAACCGCCCAGAAAACGAAGACUGCGCAGGCCGGCCCGGGCACCCGUAGCCACAUCGGGCCGAGGAAGGCCCGCACCCCCCACUGCGAGAACAUUACGGGCCGGGGUGGGCCCAUAAGCCCGCAGAGGAGAAGGCCGGCCCGGGCUUAUAAGCCGUCAGAGGGGCAGGCCGGGCCGGGCCUAUGUGCCCGCCGCCUGUCAGGCCGGGCCAGCUCUCUCCCUGCUGGGCAGGCCGGGCCGCCAAGCCUGCAGCAGGCCGGGCCUGCCAGGCCAUCAAGCCCGUUGAAUGCUUAGGCCGGACCGCCACCCGCUGCAGGGCGGGACAGCCCGGACCCGAGAGACCCACUACAGGGCGUGCCGGGCCCAGCCCACUCGUCCCACUGCGGGGCGAGCCAAGCCCGCGUGCAUACUGGUGGGCGGGCAUGGCCAGGGCCGGCCAGCUAGUAACAGUGCGGAGAGGGGCGGGCCGGACCCGUAUGAGCGCAGAAGACUGGGCUGAGCCCGUGCGUCGCCCACGUAACGGGCCGGGCCAGUAAGCCCGGUAGCCACAGUUCAGGCCGGACCGGGCCAAUGAACCAGCUGCGGUGCAGGCCGGUCCUGCAAGCCCGUUGCGGGCCGGUCCCGGCCCGCAAGCCUGCUGUGGGACGGGUUGGGCCUGCAAGCCUGCAGAUGAGCGGACCCGACCAGCUAGCCACACUGGGACGGGCCGGGCCGGGCCCACAUAACAGCUGCGGGGCCGGGCCUACUUACCAGCUGGGCCGGCCGGGCCUGCAACCAGCGGGGCCAGGCCUGGGCCUAGCACCCACAGCGCUGUGAGGGGCCCGCCCCCCCUGUGCAGCGUGCCGGGACCACGCGCCCCGCCAGCGAGGAGGCCGGGCCGGGCCCUACGCCAGCGGGCGGAGGUCUGCCCCGCAGCAGUCUCGUUUCUCUUCACGCACAAAGCAAUAAAUAUAAAAGGGGAAACUUCAAAUAUCCCCCUGUAGUUUCGCACUUUCUCACUUUAGUACCCUGUGGUUUAAAGUAUAUCAAGUUAGUAUCAUGUGGUUUCGCACUUUCUCAAUUUAAUACCCUGUGGUUUCAAGUGUAUCAUGUUAGUGCCCUGUGGUUUCUUUUUUGUAUCAAGUUAGUACCAUAUGGUUUUAAUUUUCUCUUUUUAUUAUCCAUUUCGGGGUAUAUAAUUUAACGAAAUAUUAAACCACAUGGUACUGAAGAGAGAAAGUGCGAAAUCACAAGAUACUAACUUGAUACAUUUGAAACCACAUGGUACUAAAGUGAGAAAGUGCGAAACCACAUGGUACUAACUUGAUACAUUUUAAACCACAUGAUACUAAAGUGAGAAAGUGCGAAACCGCAAGGAGGGUAUUUGAAGUUUCCCCAAUAUAAAAUAAAUAAAUAACAGAUUUUUUUUUUUUUUUCAUGCAAUGAGCAGAAAAACAAUACACAAAGAUGUAAUUUUUUUGGCUGACUAAAUAAUUUGAUGCAAUAAAGUUCUAUAUAAUAAUUUAAUUUAGUUGUCUAAAUGUUAAUGUAUUGCUAAUAAAAAAGUAACGUAGCAAUUUUGUGAUCAAUGGUUUGCUGAUAUGCCAUAAUUAAGAUGCCACGUAAUAUUUCAAUAUUUAGUCAACUAAAUUAGAUAGUGGGUUAAUUCUAAAAAUAAAUUAAACUUUGAGAAUUAAAGUGUCACUGACAAAGUUUAAUGACCAAAUGUGCAAUUUACCUUAAAAAUUCCAUCAUGUAAUUACAAUAUUAUUGAUGACAUGCAAUUUUCUAAAUACCAAACAUUAUUAUUAAACUCUAAAACAUUAUAAUUAAACUCUAAACGUUAUCAUUAUACUCUGAAUCCUAAACUCUAAUUCCUUCACAUGUGUUAACCAACAUCUAUUUCUAUUCUUUCUACUACAUUAAAGGAGGGUUUGGGGGACCAAAGGGUGACACGUCUGCCCCCUAUACCCUCCUUUACUCUCUCUCUCUCUCUAAAUUUCUUCAAAUUUUGAGAGAAAAUACUUUAAACUAUUUAGAUUAAGAUUAAUAUUCUUGAUCUUGAAUUUAAAAGUUCUAUGCUCAAAUUUUAAAGAAUAUUCAAUUUUCACCGUCCAUUUUGACAUAAUUAAUUUACUAAGUAAACGAUAUAAAAAAAAAUUAAAAUUUUAUUCCUAAGAACUUCAUAUACCCUAAAUCAUAUUUAACGCUGUGGAUCGUUAAUUUGAAUACCCUAAGAACGAAAACAAGACUAUAGUACCGGAGCUCCGGUACUAUAGAUAGUAUAGUAGCCUAAUUUUAUAUAUAUAUAUAUAUAUAUAUAUAUAUAUAUAUAUAUAUAUAUAUAUNNUAAAUUUUAUAUUUUAAAUUCUAAAUUUUAAUUUUAACUUAUAAUAUUUAUUUUCAAAUUUUAAAAUUUUAAAUCUCUAAACUCUAUAAAAUUAAUUAAUUACGUUUAUUAAUAAUUAAUUAAAUAUAUUAUAUUUAAUUAAUUUUAUUAAUAAUACAUGUAAUAAAUCGUGUAAUAAAAUCUAACUUGAUAGAUGCAAUUUAAAUCACGUAAAAUAUCUCUGUAUAAAAAAUACAGAAUUUAAAUUUUAGAAAUAAAAUUUUAGAAAUAUAAUGUAUAUAUAUGUGUAUAUAUAUAAUUAAUUUUUAUUAAACAAUUUCUUCUACAAUUUUAUUUUUCUUCUAUUUAUUGAUUUUUUAAAAAUUAUUUUGAUAGAUUUAUCUCAAAUCCUUUUCAUAUAAAUCUUUAUAAAAUAAAUUGGUGUAUAAAUUUACUUUGCACAUAUACUAAUAUUAAUAAAUUUUAUUGAAAUAGAUUUAACUAUUAAAUUAUUUUUAUAUAACUUUUAUUUAAUUAAUAAUUAGAGUUAUAAAACUAUAAUAAAAAUAUUUUAAAAAGUAAAAUUUAUUAUAAAAAAAUUUUUUUAUGUUGCGCGCGAAUAUUUCACUAGUAUCAAUAAAAUAUAGUUGCGUACUCCAAAGUGAAGGAUCCAAAAUAUUACUUACUCUAUACUUAAUUAGCUUUUAUAAAAUUUUAUUAGUGCGCCGUUCACCCAUUGGCUUCAUUAGAACAAAUGUAAACCAUGGACUCAUCAUCAAGGAACGCAAAAGUUAAAUCUAUGGUCAACGAUCGUGACAUCGUGCCCUAUCUGUAGUAGCGUAACUGACCAGCGAGUAAAUUCCCGCUCAUGCAUAUUAUUCUACGCAAAAUUUUCCUCUCAUCACUCCCCAUCCCUCCAAUGCUAAUACAAGACUAGUAGAAGUAAUUAUAGCUUAAUUCGCUCUCCCUCAUCACACAUUCAAACAGCUGCAGACACCAUGUCCAACGCCAAUAAUGUCGACUUGCAGGCGCCGGCCGAUCCCUACGAGUGGUUGGCCUCCGACGAGACGAAGAGGCCGACGACCUACAGCCUCAACAUCCGCAUCCUCACCACCGCCGUCCUCUCCCUCGCCUUCGUCCUCGCCUUCCUCCUCUUCCUCCACCUCUACAUCCGCUACGUCCUCCGCCGCACCCACCGCAGCCACCAUCGCCAAUCCACCACCGCCAUCGCUACCACCACUACAGCCGACACUACCACCCUUCGCAUCGGUUUCGCCGCCGCCGCAGCCAAUAAUAAUAAUAAUAACAACAACGAGCCCGCGAAACGGCCGGGCCUCGAUCCGUCCGCCAUCGCGGCGCUGCCGUCCUUCUCGUACGCGAAGAGGGAGGCCGUCGACUGCGCCGUGUGUCUGAGCGCCGUCGAGGCGGGGGAGACCGUGCGGCGGCUGCCAGGCUGCGGGCACGUGUUCCACGUGAGAUGCGUCGACGCGUGGCUCGAGACCAAUUCGUCGUGCCCGGUCUGCCGGGCGGGGGUGGAACCACCGCCACCGGUGUCGGUGUCGGCGGAUGUAGCAGUGGCAGGCGACGCUGCGGUCGGGGGGAAGGAGGAGGCGGUCGGGUCGGUGUCGGCGCGGCUGAGCACGUCGUUGCGGCGGAUGCUGAGUAGGGAGAGAUCGGGGAGGGGAGCUGCAGUUGCUGCUGCAGGAGAAAUUGCAGUGGAGGAUUUGGAGAGGCAGCAGUAGUAAUUAAAGAUUAAUUAAUUCUCAGUACAUUAUUUGUUUUGUUCAAGCAAUGAUAUAAACUCUCUUUUUUUUAUUACUGUUUCUUUUAUUGGUAUUCAAGAAGCUUAUAAAUUCUCAAUUUUACUGUUAAAAAUAUUAUCUAAAUAUAAUCAUAUUGUAGAUGCACCAUUAUUAAUUUACCAUUAUUGCUAGUUUUACAAUCUAACUAAAAAGGAUUAUAAUUCUAAAACUUAGCCAUUUUUCAACAUCUUUUCUUUUAUUAUCUUUUUUUAUAAUAGUAAAUUUUAAAAAGGAUCGGAUCAAUUCUAUGAUAGAGGAUUAUUAUAGGAUUCAACUUUUUUAGAUCGUAGACUUAGCAAUUUUGUUAUUAAUUACUAUGUAUAUAGGAAAAAAGGAAUUAAAAAAAUUAAGAUUUAUUUGUCGACAGAAACAAUAGAUACAUGCGAGUUUAAUUUUAAUGCGCUUGAUUAUACUUUUAUUUUUAAUUUGAUCAAUAACAAUUAUUUUUAAUAGAGCAUUCGGUAAUAAUAAAUAAUAGUCCAAUAAUUUCAGUGGCAUCGAAAAUAAAGAAUUUUAUAUGUGAACAGUUGAAAAAAAAAAAAGGGGGCCAGAGAGGGCCUAAGUUUGUCUUAGUUUAACACAUGCUCAUGCCAUAACAGCAACAGCGUGGCGAACAGACGAGAACCAAUUAGAAACUGCCACGUGCGCAGCCGGUAGUGGAAUUCUACGGCUUGCAUGUCGUUGGUCACGAAGUAGUGGGAUUGGUUGGGGCUUGUGGGACCUACAAAUAGACAAGGGACAAUCACGAGUCCCAAGUUUCAAAGGAUUCGGUAGACGAACCAUGUUGACUUUUAUUAUUAUUAUUAUUAUUUUUAAGGAAGAAAGAUAAUAUAAUAUUAUUUUGUUUAUUUUUUUUAGAAAUAAUACUGCUAAUGUAAAUCAACUAGAAUUCAAACUUAAAAUUUCGGAGUACCAACUAUCAAAUUUUUUGCCACUUACAUUAAAGACAGUUGGUCUUUUUAUUAUUUCUUUGUUCGAUGAUCCGGUGUUUUAGAAGUGAGGUCGAAUUUGCCGGCGGAACCGGUUGUAUCAUGACCCAAUUUCUAUGCCGGUUCAGUUCAGCUCAUAAAGUUAUAAAAUUGAUUCAUUUGAACUAGCGAUUUGACCGAUAUAUUAAUAAACUUCAAUCCAAUUUUAAUUAGGCGGACUCAAACUAUCACUUACUAUAAAUUAUCGAUCGGAUAAUUAAAUCAGUUCGGUUUAUUCUCUUUAAAAAACCUUACAAAAUAUAUUUAUUUAUCUUCUUUAUUUUUAUUAUUUUAUAAAUAAAAAAUAAUAAUUUAUUAUUUAUGAUAUUACGUUGACAUUAUUGAUUGGACCCAUGGAACCACUAGAUGAACCAGUCGAAUGGUGACAAAAGCAUUGAGUUAAAACAUUGAUUUUCACAUUGCUUUGGUGUAAAGAGAUUUCUUUUUCUUUUUUUUUUUCUUCUGGAUAGAUCGUUAAGUACUACGGUCAUUAUAUGUGGCUAACCGUGAAUUAGACAUAAAUAUAAUAAAUUUGUAGUUUAAAAUUUUUUUAAAAAAAAUAUUUUUAAAAACAAAUAUAAUUAUUUAUUUCUCUAUAGUUUCUAAAAAUAGCAUAUCUGAAUCGACAAUCAGUAAUGUUAAACGUAAUCUAAACUAAUUGAAUUUUCUAUGACUUGAAUUUCAUAAUUUUUUAACAACAUUUGUAUAUAUAGACAUAUAGUGGUCAAGUAAUUUCAAAGUUACUUCAUAUUCAUUAGAAAAUAAUAAUUUUGCAGUUGAGUACUAAAUAAAUAAUAUCAAAAAAUAAUAAAAUCUUGAAUCUAGCUAGAAGGUUUAAAUAGUCUAAAUCAAAUUUAACAAUAUAUUUGGAAAUGUAUUAUUGAUAUAACUCUGAAAGCUAGAACAGCUUCAGUGUGAUUAGAAUGUAGAAUGCCAUACUACACAUGGAAAAAAUGCAUGUAAAUUAAGCUCGAAAAUGGAGAGAGAUGCAUGGUAAAUCACCGAGAAUGACACAAAAAAAAAAAAAAAAAUCUUGUCAUAUAUUCAAGAGAAGAGAUAGUUUCAUAAUCUAUAUAACAGAGUAAUUGCAACCAACUAAAUUUUAGAGCUAAUAUAAAUCUAAUUAUCGUAAUAAGAUUAGGAAAAUGUUAUACUAUUGAUAACAGGGAAAAAUCUUAUUACACUCAUGACCAAGAGUAAGGAUAAAGUUUGGAAGUAAACAACUCCAAUUCCACGGACAUAAUAUAUCUAUAGUAUCGGAAUUUCGAUACUAUAGUUUGUUUUCAAUCUUAGAAUGUUGAAAUCAACGAUCAAAAUCGUUAAAACUAAUAUAGAAUAUUUAAAGUUUUUAGGAAUAAAUUUUUUUUUUUGACAUAGUUUAUUUUAUGAUCAAAUUAGUUAAAAGUUAUCAAUAUUUAAUGGCUAACAUGACGAAUUUAUAUAUAGUUUAACGGUAUAGAAGAAUGUAAAUUUAUUCGAUGAAAAAUAUUUUAAACCAUCUAGAUUAAGAUCAGCAUUCUUGAUCAUGAAUUCAAAUGUACUAUCCUCAAAUUUUAAAUGAUGUCAAAAAAAUAAAAUUUUAUUUUUAAGAAUUUUAUAAUCCUAAAUCAUAUUUAAUGAUGUGAAUUGUUGAUUUGAAUACCCUAAAAUCGAAAACAAAAUUAUAGUAUAGAAGCUCUGGUACUAUAGAUAGUAUAUUAUCCUUGUUCUUCCAUAGCAAUGUUCGUAUAUGAUCCAACCAAUGAGUGUGGGCAAUUUUUUUCCGUAGUUGAAGAAUCAUCUUAGGUUAUUGGGUUAAUUUCAUUUGUACCCUUACAAAAUUAUGAAAUAUCACGAAUAUUCUUCGAAUUUUUAAAAUUUUACAAAUGCCCCUCUAAAUAUAAUAUUUUUUCAUAAAUACCAUCCCUGUUAAUUUUUUCUGCCUUCCGUCAAUUUAGUAUUUUUUGUCAUUUUACUUUAAAAUAUGAAAUUACCUUUUUACCCUUAAUUUGUUUCCUAUAUGUUUAUGGGUUAAUUUCAUCGGUACCUCUCUAAAUUUCAAAAAUAUCUUAAAUGUCCCUAUAAAUUUGGUUAUAUCAUAACUUCUAAAUACAUACUUUCUUUCAAAAACAUCCUCGCUGUUAUAACUCCGUCACUUCAAGUCAUAUUAAAUUUAGUUAGAUGGCGGUCUAACACUGGUUAAAAUUUGAAAUGUUUAUUUUGCCCAUAAGUUGAGAAAUUUUUGAACGGUACAUUAAUUUUAUGAUUUACUAUUUAACCCCUAACUUUUAUUCAUUAUUUGUUUAACAUUUAGACUAACAUUAUUCGCUGAUAUUCUUUAAUACUACUUAGCUCCUAAUUUUUUUUAAUUAUUUAUUUUAGUUAGUUAUAUUUAAAAUUUCAUUUAACUUAGAUUGCUCUGUUAGCUAUUACUUAUUAUAUAUUUUUUUAUUUUAACUUCUACAAAAUAAUUAAAAUUAUUAAAUUUGUUGGAAUCAUCAAUGGAUUGAUAAAAUCUGUAAUUUAAUUAACAAAAAUCAAUCUAAUUUCAAGGAACCAAAUAUUAAGAAAACUUUGAUCAAAAAAAUUAAAUUAAGGGGCUAUUUCAUAAUGUAUAAUAGUUAAGGAAAUCUCUAUAUAUUAAUCUUAGAAAACUUGUGAGGGUAUUGAUGAAAAUGUAUUGAGGGUAAAUUCGGUAUUUUGAAUUUAUUAUACCUAAACAUAACGAGCAAUAGUUACGAGGGCAUUUUUGAAAAUUUUUAUGCUUUUUUGAGGGCAAAUAUGAAAUUUUAAAAUUUUAAAGGGUAUUUAUGAUAUUAGAUCUAUUUGGAAGGGUAGUGAGGAAAUUUUCCGUUUGUGUGGUUACUGAAAAAAGAGGAAACUGAAUGUACUCUUGUCUCUCUUUCUUUCGAAAAAUUUCAUCACCUAAAACAUUUGACGGAAACUGAUCGUCCCUGGUAUAAUGUUAAAGAAUUUGAUGAUUAAUAUGUAAAGUCUCAAAUUCAAAAUCUAAUUAUUUAUAUUUUUUGCUAAAUUUAGUUUUUUAAAUAAAAUAAUUGAAACAGGUAGCAUGCUAUAUUUUUUUUUAAAAAAAAUCUGAUGGAAACAAAUUUCUUAAAAAACCUUUCUCAAACUUGCUAAAUUUGAUAUUUGCUCGUGGACCGCAAACUUGCAAUUUUUGUCGGAGUGUGUGGCUUAGUUUGAUCUUAUUUAAAUAUCUUCAAACUGAAUGUGAGGUUAAUAUAAAUGUAAGGAUAAAUUUCAAAUACUAUCUCUGUGGUUUCGCACUUUCUAACUUUAAUACCCUGUGGUUUAAAGUGCAUCAAUUUAGUAUCCUGUGAUUUUUUUUUCUCUUUUCAUCAGCUCCUACCUUAACAUUUUGUUAAAUUAUAUACAAAAAACUUUAAAUACCCCACUUAGAUUUAUCGAAUAUUCAUUUUAGUAUCUUUUAAUUUUAACUUUGUCACUGAUUAAAAAAAAAAAAAAGUAAAGAAGAUGCUAAAAAUAAAAAUAUGAAACCACGAUAUACUAAAUUGAUACAUAUUAAUUAAAUCAUAGAGUACUAAAAUAAAAAAAUACGAAACCACGGGAAUUGUAUUUGAAGUACGUCUCCCUAAAUUUAAUUCUUGCCUUUAGUAUCCUUCUCCCGAUUGGCUUCACUUCUUUUUCUCAUUUUUCUCUCUUUUAUUUUCUCUCCAUGUCUUACUAAUCAUUUCCAUCAACCGUCCCUAGAGCAAGUGGCAAAGGGCUUGGUGGUUGGUAUCCGAGACCCAAGUUCAAAUCCUAGUUGAUUCACAUUUUUAGCUAAGUUUAUUUCUAAAUGAAAUGAACGAAGCGGGUAACGUGCUACCUAUCUCUCAAAAAAAAAAAAAAACAAAACAAAACAAAACAAAACAAAAAAAAAACGUGCGUGGAAGGGGAAACCACUGAGUUCAGGGUACAAAUACAAAACGUAAAAGAUAAUUUUGAGACUAAAAUAUUCAAGAGAAAAGUUUAAGGGCUAAAAGAUGUCACAACAUUUGUGACAAACCUUGGAAAAUAUUUAUCCAUGCAUUCCAUCAAUCAAACUGACCAAUGCUAGGGAGUUUCACACACGAUUGGGUUCGCUAGGGUAAAGCAAGGACCAAGUUAACCAAGAAUGUGUUUGGUAAAAACGAACUACACCCCAUCAAAUUUGGUGACUUCGAUCCAAGCGAUGAAAUUCAACCUUGCGCUCAUUACGGGCAAAGUCACUAGCUAGUUUGCGCUGUGCGCAAACUCGCUGCCAUAUGAGACGGAUUCGCGCACGUCGGCUCCAUAGGUUCCAUGGAAGUCGAGCUGCACGAUUCAAUCCACGAACACUGGCAUGAAAACUCAGCCACUUUGACCCUGACUUUGGACAAACCAAACAUGGCCUACAGUACACCCCUAUGGGUGAGCAUAUUCGGCUCAAACUGAAUUACCAUACAAACCCCAUCGAAAUCAGUCGGGUCGAUUGCUUUUACAUAUAAUAUAAUUAUAAUUAAGUUCCGUUCUAAAAGUUAAAAGCUAGAAAAUCGAAUAAACGGAAUAAAACAAAAGUUGAGUAAUUCAAUAUAUAUUAGUCUCAAAUUUUAAAAAACUUAUAUAUUAAUUACUAUUAUUAUUAUCUUAGAUUAAUGAUUUUAAACAUAAAACUAAUCAUAAUUAUAUCUUAUUUUUAGUAAUUUAGAAAAAGCCCUAAAAAUAUUUUAUUAAAACUAAAUAAACUGAACUGAAUCAACCGAAUUAUUUGGUUUUGUUCACAUCAGUUUUUGCCUCUAACUCGUUUUGGUUAGGUUUUAUAAAAAGCUGUAAAUAUGGCACUAGACAGACCAACAAUGCUUACCCCUACAUUUGCCUACUGCUUUUGCCGCUUUUGUGAACCAAUUCGAUCGACAAAGUUGAGAAAGCACGUUUGGUGAUGACAAUGGUGGUAGAGGUGAUAAAUGCGUCGAGAGUUCAAUCCCGUAUUAGAUAAUUAAGAAGAAAGUAAAGAAUUGAUGUAUUUCAAUGGGUGCAGAUCUAAUAGGCUUAAACUUUUAGAUUGAAUGAAUUCAAUUAUUUGUCAUAUCCUUAGACUUAUGUAAAUUUGGAUUAGGCUCAAAACUCCCUAACAAGUGGUACUCGUUUAAAUAGUAUGGUGCAAUUGAAUUAGUUGUUAUUAAAAACGUGACGGGAAUACAUGGAGGAUUUGUCUAUACCUCUAUACAUAUAUAUAAAUUUUCAUGGCUAAAUUCACAUGAAUGUACUAUCUUCAUUUGAGGGUGGUGGAGAGAUCAAGAUGCGUAUGGAUUUUUCAAUAUAUGAUUUUCGGUUUUUCUUUUUCUCUCUCCUUUUUUGUUGCUCACUGUUCGGAGCCCUCCGGCCUCCAUUCGCUGCUCCUCAUGCGUCCUUGACAAGAACGGUUCAUGAUGCUAUCACAAGCUAUACUAUUCUCAACAAUUAUAUAUGGAAUAUCUAUAUUGUUAUGUUUUUAUUUUUUCAUAAUUUUUUUUUCAAUUAUCUACCUGUCGCAUCGCACAGGUUGUUUCAUUAGUGAUAAAAUGAUAAGACAAUUUUGUGUACUCAAAAGAACUGGACUCAGAGAGGAGUGGAUUGGAUGUAUGAGCUCAUAUUAGUGCAUUAAAAUCAAUUACGCCCGAGAGGCACAUGCCAGGAGCAUGAGUUGGGCUAAACUUUUGAUUGACAAUGACUAAAGCACAUGGAUUGGGAUGUGUGGAUUUGCAGUGACUUACAAAGAAAAGCUAGAAGGACAUGUAUUUGAGACGAACCAAAAAGUGAUUCGGUGCUACGCGUGGAAAGUAAAACGAAAAAAAAAAAAUUUGAGUUUAAGGGGAAAAAAACAAGUAAAACGAAAAAAAAAAAAGAUUGAGUUUAAGGGAAAAAAAUUGAGUUUAAGCAGAAGCAGAUUAGUUCGCAUGUAAAAUGAGAAGGUUGUUAAGAGUUUAUGUAAAUAAUCGCAUAUUGAAUAAUUAAUAAGAGAGAAAAAUGUUGAAAUAUAUGCCACUGGGCCUAAUGAGUUCCAUCAAAAUAUGCUACAUGUGAAUCUGGACCAUGCGGUUGGGUCCAGAACUCCUUGCUUAUAGGGUCCCCCUUAACUUUGUUUAUUUUAGAUCAGCACGGCACCCUCUUAUUGACCGUCCUUAACGCAAGUGGCAAAAAGACUUGAUGGGUUGGUAUCUGAGACCCACCGCACCCUCUUAUUGACCGUCCCUAGCGCAAGUGGCAAAAGCGCUUGAUGGGUUGGUAUCCGAGACCCAAGUUCGUAUCCGAGAUCCAAGUUCGAAUCCUAGUUGAUUCACAUUUCCAGCUAAGUUUAUUUCUAAAUGAAAUAAACGAAGCGGGUAGUAUGCUAUCUUUCUCUCUCCCAAAAANAAAAAAAAGCACCGCACCCUCUUAGUUCCUAAUUUUUUUAAUUAAGAAGUUUAAAGUUCAGAGGUUCUUUUGAUAGUUGAGAGGUGGUUUCCAUCCUAAUUUUUUUAUAAAUUGUCGAUAAACGCUAAGUCUACAAUCCAAAGAAUUGUAAUCUCUUCAACCCGUCAUCCAAGAGGUUGUAGGGUGUUUAAAAAAAUAAAAAAUUCGAAGGUGCUAAGACAAGUAGAAAAAAACACAAAAGGGGCUUUUGGUGAGUAAAAUUGCAGGAUUAGUGGAUUACAACCCAAAAUAGGUUGAAGGCCUUGCAUUUCCCAUUAAACUCUAUACUAAAAUUGAAGCCAAAUGCCGUUUCUCCAAUGAGCCACGUGGCCUUUUUUUUAUAUGGAUUUUCUCUCCCUCCCUCACAUAGACUCACAUGGGCUAUGUUAAAUGGGCAUGUAUUAUACAAAAUUUUAUUUCAUGCACCCUCUGUAUCAUAUUAAACAAUAAUGAUUUUAAAGGUAAGAGGCUAUGUUAAAGAGGCAUGUACUAUGAAAAAUUUUAUUCCAUGCACCCUCUGUAUUAUGUUAAACAAUAAUAAUUUUAAAGGCAAGCUCAGUUAAAAUCAACCAGAAGAACGUCAUCUUAAUUUUACAGUUCUGAACCUUAAUUUUCUUUGUCGCCGAAAGAUCUACCAACUAAAAUCUUUAUCAGAUUGCUACUAUUUUCCGUCCUCACUUUUGGAGUGUCAGAAUGACACGAAAUUGUAAAUUUAGUCUAAGAAAAAUAAUUCCGGCAUAUAUUGAAAGUUUAAUAUUUUUUUACAAUGUAUAUUUUCUUCUAAAAAAAAAUUAUAUUCCUUACAGAAAAUUCUAAAUCUCAUGUUUUCAUUCCAAUUGCACCAUGGAUUAUUUGUAAAUUAUCUUUUACUUUUUUAAGUCCAAUAGAAAUAGUAUCUCACCCACAAGAUAAUCUUUUUUCUUACAAAAUUUUUCAUACUACAUACAAAGGGUGUAUGAAACAAAAAAAUUCAUAGUACAUAGAAUACUGUCUUGUCCUUUUGCUAUCUUUCUAAUCAUGAGAGUGCAUACAUCCUCCCCCCAAUUUUUUCUAUAUAUAGCAUUGCUGUUCACCAAAAGAAAAAACAAGAGAUUGAUGAAAUCAAAACAUAUAUAGAUUGUAGAUAUUUAUCUGCAUGUGAAGCAACUUGCCGUUUGUUCCAAUUUGAUAUCCAUUUUAGAGAACCAUCGGUUGAGCGACUACGAGUACAUCUUCCUUUAAUGAAUAAUAUUAUUUUCCACAAUACUGAAAAUUUAGAAAGUCUUUUGCGUAGACCAAGCAUUGAAAAAACAAUGUUGACUGAGUGGUUGCAUACCAAUUCAAUUUAUGAAGAUGCUCGACAACAACGAUAGUGAUUUGCCUAUUUAAACUUCUGCUGUAGCGAAAAAAUCACGUUUGUAAGUAUUAAUAUUUUUAAAAUAUUUUUUGUAUUUCUUAUUCCAUCAUAUAUAUAUAUAUAUAUAUAUAUAUAUGAGAUAUUGUUCAUACGUAUGCAGUUCGAAGACUAGAAAAGGACCAAGCAAAGUUAACACCCGCAAGAAAUCAAGUGGAACCGAUAGGCCAUAAUUAAUGAUUUAAGAACUGUUUUAUCAAUUAUAUUUGUAUUAUCAAAGACAUCACAUCGUAUUAGAUAAUCUAUAUUAUAUAUUUAGUUAUCUUACAUAAUGUGAAUGUUAUAUAUAUCUGUAUGUUUCGUGAUAAAUAAAUAAUGAAAGUCGUAUUAUUAACUCUCAACGCUACGACCUCCCGCCGCGAAGCGCGGGUCAUUACACUAAUAUAUAUUAUUACAGUACACACAUCUCAAACUGUAGAGCUUUAACAAAUGACCCACCAUACUUUUAACUUGGCAAUUAAAUCUCAAAACUUUAUUAAAAAAUUUAAUAGUCUCUGUCCAGGAGAAAAGUAAGUAAUUGAACAACUGUGCUAGCGGCAUAUCUUAUAGAUAUCCUAUAAACUUUCAAAACACAAAAAACUGAGUGAAUUUGUUUUUGAUUUUUUCUUUUCAAACAACUAGAAUUUUAAAGAAUGUUUCAUUGUGUCAUGAAGCUUCACAAGAUCAAAUGCAAGAUGAAUGAGAACAGAUGUUUAAUUAGGAACUUUACUUGAAAAGAAGAGUUUUAUUGAAUUAUUUAAUGAAGUUUACGAGAAAAGGGGCUGUACAUUUCUAAUGCAGGCAUAGAUCCUGUAGGUGGCUAUUGAUGCUCUGGUACCAAACUGAUGCAAGCUGAAAUGCUAUAACUACAAGUAGGGUUGUCAACAAGCCGAACACGAACAAGUUGGGACCGGCUCGUAUUCGUUCAUUUAUUAAAUGAGGCAAAUACGAGAUGGUUCGUUAAAAUAUCGAUCCCGAGCCCAUUUCGAGCGGAACACGAGCUAGUUCGUGAAUAGUGAGUUGGAUUGCCGGUCCUAGUUGCAAGAACUGUAGCAACAAGUAUUAUAUCAACAGGUAGAAGAGUAAAAAAGAAAAGAAGAGAUAAAUAAUUCUAAUCCUAAUAAGAUAUCUUAAUUUUAAUAAUUUUUGCAAUUUAAAACUUCUAAAUCAAUAUUCCUAAUUUUAAAAAAUUUAUUUCAUAUCACAAAUCCUAAAAUAUCAAAAAAGUCUAAAAUAAAUAAUCAAUAAUAAUAACUUGAAAAAUUACCAAAAAAAAUCCUAAUUAAUAUUUUUGGUGGCAUCAAUUCCAUAAUAGGUAAAUUGCACCAUUAGUUCCUAAACUUCAAGCCAAGUUUUAUUUUGUUCCUUGAAUUUCUAAGUUAAAAGUGAUCCCCUAGAGGCACCUCAUAUUUAUUUACUGUUAGUGGAUAAAUUAUUGUCUACACCAAAGUGCAUAUCUAUGUACUAUGUAUUUAUGGACUAUUUUGCUCUCAUGGCAUAUUUCAACCUUUAUACCUAGAGUUGAAAAUGAAUUGAAUAAUACCUAAUCAUAUCUGCCUCCAUAUUCGAUUUUAUCCACAUCCGAAUAAGAAAUAUUUGAAUUUGGUCACGGAUCAGAUGUAGUUUCAAAGAGUUUAAAAUUAUUCGAAUAUUCACAAAAUUGGAUAUUUGAUAUGAAUAUUUGAGAAUAAAUAUGUAUGUUAUUAGUUAAAUUUUGCAGGUGAAUAAGAGAGAGUACGAUAUGGUUCACACGUACGGCAGGAGCCUUGCCCUUGCGCCUCUGCUUAGGGCUGUGGGUUUGAUUCAUCGCUUUUGAGCUGGGGCUGUGGGUUCGAUUCCUUGCACCGCCCAUGUAAACUUUUUUAGAUUUAAUUUCAAUUUUUAUUUUAAAAUUUAAUUUUAAAUUUAAAUUCAGAUCUUAAAGAUAUUUUAAAAUUCAAAUUUAGAUUUUUUAUUUAAAUUUAAAUUUUACAUUUAAAUUAUUCAUGUGAUGUAUUAUUGAUAAAAAAUUUAGAAGGCAUUUUUGAAAAGUUUUGAAUAUCAAUAAAUAGAAAAUUCAAAGAAGCAUGAGUGAUAUAAUAGAUAAAAAUAAAAUAGAUUUUUAUAAUUAUAAUGGCUAUUUCUAAUAAAAGCCAGUCAUUAAAAAAAUAUUUCUGAUAGGCAUGCGUAAUAUUAUUAAAUUUAAGUAAGCAUACUUGAUAUUAAAAUAGUUAGGGAAUUUUUAUUUUUUUUUAUUUUUUUUGGUUGUGGAGAGUUCUAAGUUUUAACAUCGUAUGCAUCUAAGGAUGCAAACAGGACGGUUCUGGAAGCGGGAGGUUCCUCUACCUCCCGUUUCAUUUUUUAUUGGGGCGAGACUGAUUCGGAGCAGAGUAUUUUUUAUUUUAUUUUUUGCUCCUACUUACCGUUCUAUUCAGGAUGAAUCAGGAUGAAAGUAAAAUUUUGACAGAUUUUUUAGGGGUCGAAAUGGAUUUAAAAAAGGAUGACUUCCAGCGUCCCGCAACUCCGCCCUAUUUACUUAGCGAUGGGGACUAUUCGGAAUAAAUUAUAUAUUUUUAUAUUUUUUAUUUUUAGAUAUUGUCUCAUUCAGGAUGGAUGGGACUUGGGAGGGAAGCUCCACGGAUCCAUUUGUAUCCCUGCAUGUAUCAACCGCUGGACAAUGCAAUGAACAUAAAGUGGGGCCCGCCAAAAUGCGGGGCCCACCGUUGGACGAGGUAGUGAGAUGACGCAACAGGCCCUCCGCCUCUCCCUAUAAAUAAGGGACUCGGCUACGUCCUUCGAAGGAACCAUAAACCCAUUCGCUCCCCCACCCCUCCACAAUCCCCGCUCGAUUACUCGCGAGCUCGGGGAGUACUCCGCAAAGAAGAGGAGAACGAAGGCGAGAUCUUAUAGAUUCUUCUGUCGAUUACUCUCUCCACCGCGAUCUCGGUAUCAUUCUCGAUCUCGAUCUAUCUCUUAAGCUCGAUCUAUCGAGUGGCUUCUCGACGAGUGUCUUAAUCGAGGUUUCACGCUCUAAAUUCCUAACGAAAUGGUGUUUUAGCUGCGGAUCUGUCGAAAAUUUGGUUCAAUUAGGGCUUUUCUUUGCGAUUUCGGUUCCAAGGCCUCCAAUGAUCCAUUUCUGGUUCAAUUCAACGGCUACAUCUAACAUACGAUUGUUCUUUGUCGUAAUUUUAGAUUCGAUGCUAUUUUUGGUUUUGCUAUGCUGAAAUUCUUGUGAUUUACUGCUCUUUCGUGCUCAUUUUAGUGGAAAACAGUUGUUUAUAUGUUUGAAUCGUUCUAUAAGGAGCCGAUCUCUUGUAGCUGGUGAUUUGAUCUAUUCUCAUAAAAUUACAUGGGUUUUGAUCUGUUUUCUAUUUAUUUUUUAGACAAAUAUAGCUUUCUAUUCUUGAAUAGUACUUUCAGGUCAAGUAUAGGGUGAAUUUAUGAUAUAAAACUUCCUAUGAUUGUUGAUUUGAUGAUUAUAUAUGUAUUUCAGAGUUUUGUAUACAGAAGAUAGAAUAAAUUCAUUGUUUAUACGAUGUAACGUAUGAAAAUAUGCUAUUACCCUCACAACUAAUUUCUCUAGGGUUACCUUUAUCUGAAAGCGGCAAACAACACUAAGACUCAGAAGGAAGCUAGUUAUUGAGAAGGGGAGAUAAGCAUGGAAAGUAAACAACAAUACUAAGUAGCUGAUAUCUGACGAGAUGAUUAUUCAUUUAUUCUCAGACUUUUAAUAACUCUUCAGUUUCAGGCUUAUAUAGUGAAUACUGCCAAAUAAGAUUACUUCACUAUAUAGCUUUCAUCUGACAUGCUAGAUGUUUUCUGAAUAGGAACAUAGAUGAGGAGAUGUUGCAUGUGGUUACAACAAUAACCCAAUGCCUCACCCAAAAUGGUUAAUGAGAACUUAUUGGAUUGGUUUCCAUGUUGUUUUAUAUUUCUUAUUUCACAUCCAUUGUGAGGUCUAAUUGCGUUCCGAAUAUUGAGCAGGACAGUCAAUAUAGGUUCUCAUGAAUAACCUGCAGAGAACAAGCUGCACAUGCAGACACAUUGAUGGCAGAAUCACAUAAGGGUAUUUCUUCAACUGCUAAUAUGAAGAAUAGAAGAGCAUUACUUGGUAUGAUUUGCUAUUCUGUUUCUGUGCUGGUGGGUUUACAAAGUUAAAACUCGUCAGCCAUUUCUUAUUUGGUACAUUGUGUUGCAACUAUUGAAAGUCCAUGAAAUAUGUUAAACAUACAUGGAGGCCAAGAUAGUGAUUGAACACUUUCUUAUUCUAUAUGCAAUAGCCCUUAAGAACAUCCAUGGCAGUGGAAUAAGUAUAUCAUAGAAUUUAACAUACUUGAUUUAAACCUGAUGUACACUUUUUCUUUGGAACAGAUGAAGAUUUUGGAAAGGACUUUCUUACAAGCUGGAAUUUGUCUAGACUGGGAAAAGAUGGACUCACCUUUGAUGUUGAAACAGUUUCACAGAGCGGCAAAAAGUUCAAUUUUGAUAAACUGUGAGUGGAUUUCAAAGAAACAAAUUUCUGGACCAACUCAAAGAGUAUCAUUCUACUCUGUAAUUAUGAUAUUAAUAUAGCCCUCUAUUCAGGGUCGACUUCGAGCUUGGUAGUAACUUUGACAAGCUAUCAUCUUUCAAACUGGAGAUGCCUGAUCUGGUCUUUUCCACUCCAUUCAAGAAGGCAGAGAAGGAAAAUGAGAAGUCUUCUGAUGAAUUUGUUCCGGGAAAAAAAGAAUCCAAAAAAGACAAGUUUGCCUUUGAUUUUGAUUUUAAUGAGUAAGUUUAUUGCACUAUAUUUAUUACUUCAGGACCAUUUGCUAUCCGAGGUUAAACAAUGUUAUAAUUUUCUUUUUGUUAUGUUCACAUGUUUUGUUUGCUUUUAGAUUGGGUAAGUUUGAUCUUGGCUUAAAACUUCUGACUGGAGAAAAGGAAGCUACUGAUCGCUCCACUAAAUGCCCAGAAGAUAUUGGUACCAAUUCUUCUAUUAGUCAGGACAAGGGUACGAAUAAGGUAGGCAAUUCAGGCAUGAACAUGGAUAUCCUUCAGAGUAAUGAGAAUAAGGCACCUUCCGAAACAGAGAAUCUAUCCACUUCAAGGCCUACUAAAUUGAUAGGGCAAGGGAUGGCAAAGACUGCUGGUUAUUCACGUUCUUUGAAGCUGACGUUUGAUGAUAUUCCCCAGGAAGUAGAUCCGUCUGCUACGAUGCAUUCCAUCAUGACAAAAGAAAAUAAAGAAGAAACUACUCAGUUCAGCAAGGAAAAUAAAGAGCAACCAGUUGCAACACACAAUGCAAGAUCAUCUGUUGAGAAUGCCGCACAGGGUUCCACACUUCUAUCUGCAUCUAGUGAUGUUUCAGCCCCGCCAACAGCUUAUUACUCUGAAGAGCUUUCUAUGUUGGAUCUUAUUGACCCAAAUCUGGUUGGUGGACAAGAUAAUAGCAUGGAAUCAAAUGAUUCAAGACACCAGAGGCCAGAAGGUAAAACAGAACCACCAACCACUGAAAGAGUGUAUCGGAAAUAUGAUAGGAACGUAAAUGAGUGUGGUAGAGAAAGCGUAUCUCAUAAUGAAUCAUCUGAAGGGUCCAAAGAUGUUUCCGGUACCUCUGCUACAGAUGUCUUACAGAGAAGUUUUUGUGGAACAAAGGUUGGCGGGGAUGGUGGAGAGAAGAAAAUUUUGAGUCCAAAUCUUCUUCCAUCACCAAUGCACAGGUUUAUUUUAUCUUAGUAGUUCUUUGGUUAAUGAUUGAGAAAUGAUCCUUUCAUUCAGUUGGUUCCAUGCAUGAGUUGUCGUUUUAAUUUUUAUAUGCUGAUUAUCUUCACAGUUAUCUCCAAGUUACUGUGUUGUUGCAGAAAUUUACUGUGUUGUUGCUUUUAUAACGUCACUUGUGUUUGCUGUCUUCAUCUGUAACCACAGACUUCUAGUUCAUUUAUCUGAUUAUCUGCUGUAAGUGCUUUUUAGUCAAUUCCUCAUAUGAGUAAUCUUAAGUUCUAGUGCAAUUUUAUUUCUUUAACUGUACAGCAAGUUAUAGGGUAAGUCUAGGAAGGGGUAUGCAGCUAAAUUCAUGUAUUCAUGUGUGGUGCAGAAAUUUUGCAUCUCUUAAGUCCAUCGCAACAAAAGAAAGAGGAUCCUCUUCUUCCCUAUCACUUAAGCCUCUUAAUGCGCCACUAACUCGAAAGAGCAGUUUCCUGAAGUCACAUCAGAAACCUGCAAAAGGGGCAUCCCUUUGCACUGCAAAUGACAAAAGCGAUAAAGAGCACAGCACUGAUAGGUAAGGAAUUCUUUAAAUGACCUGACUCUAUCUGUGCUGUUUAUUUUGUUGCAGAAGUUUGAAUGAACUCCCGAAACUUUUCACCUUGAGGGAUCAAACUUACUUAAGGACCUUGAGGAAGUCAACAGUUAACAGCAUGCUUGAUAAAUCACUUGCCAUGUUAAACUUAAAGUGCAGUUGAGACUCAUAGUUAUACCUAGGUUACUCAGUGUGGCUAAAUUUAGGUUGAACCUGAUCGUCAUUGUGAUAUAUGAGUUGACAAUAUUGCCUUUGUAGAUUCUGUCCUCUAUUGAUGGUAUUAGACCUAUCUUUCUCAAUUUUAGCUGGAAAGUUGAAAAAUACCCUGCAAAUUAUCGAGGAAUUAAGAAAGAGUAAAAUGAAGUGAUAACUAUUUUUUGAACAAGUUGGCUUUGGUUACCAUUCAACUGUUUUCUUAGAGGGUAAAUUGCACCAGGAGUUCCCAAUCUUUUUAAAUUCUUACAAUUGGGUUCUAAUCUUUUGCAUCCCAUUUUAGCUGCAACUUUUUCAUUAAGUUCCUCUCUUGAAUUGAGUGAAGUCAUCAACAUAUUCGCCAUUUGGGAAGUCCAAAAGUCGCAUACACAACAAUGUGAUGAUGAUUAGGCAGAUAUUUCUGUGCAACUUGAUUGAGAAGUUUAAUUGAAUGGUUAUGCAUGCAAUGAAAUGCCACAAGUAGGGACCAAAUUGUAAGAAUAUUUUGCUAAAAGGUUGAGGAACCUUGUAUAGUUUAUCCUUUUUCAGUUAUAGGUGAUUUUGAACUUGGUGAUCGGAAAAUUCCUAAACAACUGGGCUAAUUUUGGAAGAAUUGUCGGCAAUAAAAUAACUGGACUACAACCAAAUGGCAUGAAAUAAAAUAACUAGUACCUCUUGAUUAACCUUGUAGAUGAAACACGAGCUUUGACGAUCUCAAAGAACUAGGACAUUAUUACUGAAAACAACAACAAUGAAGGUCGUGUCCAAAGUGCAAUGUUUGGAUUUUGCUAGGAGAAAUGCAAUCUUUAAUUCAAAUCAUUUUUCAGUUGCAUCUAGCACCAUACUUUAUCUUUUCAUCCAUCAAUUUGAUGCUUAUAAUGUGAUAGUAUUUUCUGGUCAAGUGUGCUGGUUCUCCUUUUCUUUUAUUUUUCAUUUCUAUGCUGGUAAUACACAAUAAUUUUUUUAGUUACUUCAAUUUACUGAUAUUCUCCAAGAAUUUUCUUCAUUAGAUCCAUAUACAAAUUAUAUAAAUCCUGUCUUUGCAAUUCCAUUUCUUACUCGAAGUUGUAGUAACGAAAUUUUCUGUCCUUUUGAAAAUUCAUGAAUAGUUCACAAAUGUUGGUUGACUGAAUGUUUCUUCAAAUUAUUCAGGAAUAUAUUAAUAUUGACCAGCAAAUUGUAAAACAUAUAAAUAUGUGAAAUAAUAACUAAUUCAAGUAUUUUGCAUUAAUCAGUACCAAAUAUAUUAACAUUUACUAUCUGAAUUACCACUGAAUUUUUUCUGAAUUCUCCAUCAAUGUUGCCGAGAUCAAUUCAAAUACUCAACUUGUGAUUAUACUUGAAAUGCCUUGAUUUGCAUAUUUGGUACUUUAUUUUUCUCAUUACCCUUGAUGCAUUUCUUGCUUGACUUUUUGAUAGUGCUUGUACAUUUACAAUUGCAGUUUCCAUCUUCCAUCUUUCAACUUGCUUUCACGGGCUGAUACUGGCAGUAGCAGUACUAAGAGUGGCACUUCCAACCUUGUUUCAAGCUGCACACACCUUAAAAACCCCGAGGUCAUUUCUUCCGAAGUGCAACAUACUGCUAUGAAGGAUAUAAAACAUACUCUGCUUUCUAGCAUGAUGUCCUCAAGGUAGGAUAUAUGCAUCCUUCCUCCAGCUAUGCAGAUUACUUUGCAGAUGUUGAUCUAUACGAAGUUUUUUAUCUAAUGUACUUUUCGUUUGUGCAGAGUUGCGAAACUAAAUGGCAACAUUCCAAGUUCUACAAUGCGAAUAGAAGCAAAAUCAGUUAAGUUCUCAGAGGGGAACCAAGAUGCUCCUCAGAAUGCAAUAUCUAGCAAGCCCUACUCACCAAACAAAGAAAAACAUGUACCCCUGAGCCCACUUUUGAAGAGAAAGACUCUAGAGGUCCUCUCUAUUUGCAUAGUCCUAGUAUCUGGAUAUAUGAUUCUAUAGAGUACUUAUUUAAAACCUAUCUUCUAGUUGCAAGCUGAAUUUGUUGCUUAUUUGAUGCUAUUUCCUUUUAUUUGCCUGUUUGACACAUUUAUAAGAACAAAGAUAAAACCUCCACUACUUUUAAACCCUGUUUUGUCAUUAAAUACUUUAACAGGAAAGACCAGAUGGUGUUGUUUAACUUGUGAAUCAUAAAUGAAGAUAAUAGUGGUAACAAAGAACUAUAACAAUCUGCAAGCUAGAGGACCGGAAAAAUUUGUGAAGGGCAAAUGAAAUACAAAACUGCAUGACUGCUACCACCACAUAAGGAUUGUGCUGUGCUUCUUAUCUACAGUAUCAUCGUCAACAGGAAUUAUCUUUUUUGUUUCUUUGUUUGGAUUCUCUCGACUUUGCUGAAUCCUUAUCCUCUCUAGGUUUACCUCAAGGAUACAGAUAGAGUGGCAUGUAAAUAAGCCACAAAAUAUCAUGUGAAGGAAAAAGGACAGUGAAAUAUAGAAAAGUCAUUGAUAUAAGAGGUUAGGCAAAUGCUACCAUCCAUGGGAUGGGUGAGAAAACCACUAUAAUAACUACUGUUAGAAGGCUUACAAUGAUCAACAGGAGAUCUCUAACAAAUGCAUUAAGUAGAAGCACCAUGAAAGAAGCAUUUAAAAGGCCGACUGGAACUACAAAGCCAACUAUAAAUAGAUUAUCUUAAUUUUCCUUUUUGCAUUUCUGUCUCCCGCCUCUUUUCCUCUUGUAUUUUCUGCUUUCUUUUUCUCUCACUUUUCUCUCUUUUCUCCUCAAAGGCACUGGACACCGAAUGCUGAGAAUUGAAAGAGAGCUUUCUCAUUUCCUUUUUCUCCUGUUCAUAUGUCAGAUACAAAUACUAAGUGGACUGUAUUGUUUAAUCUUCUAGACUGAUGGCAAAGCCAUAAACAUAUUCACUUCUGAUUUUGCAGAAAGCAUGACUAGAUAAAAUAUCGUACGGCCUAAGUGAGAAUGCAUGAAAUAACAGAAAUAGGAGCUUUAGAAAAUGGGCUUCCAAGGUCCGUCCUUAUGCUAGAGGGAAAACAAGUAUGCUAGAGACAAAACAAGUUCUUUACCAUUCCUUAUGCUAGAAAGAAGACAAGUUACUUUCUCUUUAUGAACAUAAUUAAUUCUCUCAAGUCCUUUAAUCCCCUUUUGGAUCCAUUAUUCAGUGUUUCUACAUUUUAGUUUGUAAAAUUGUGAAAAUCUACAGCUUUUUUUCUCUUUCACAUCCAUGCCCUGUAGUCUACAUCUGUUAAAACUGACAACAAGAAUGCAGAAACUAGCCAUCUGUGACUAAUCAAAUGGAAAAGUAUGUAAAAUUUUGUUGUUAGUGUUGAUAAUGAUGUCCUUUGACUUCUUGUUUCACAGUGAGCUAGCAUGCUUAGGAUCUUCUAUGGAGUGCAAUGAACAUUAAGCCUCUUUGAACAACUUGUUCGCUGAUGCCAAUACGUAUAAUCUUUUACUAUUCUUAUCAUUGUUUUGUUACAUAUGCUUGCGUUGAAAAUUUCUAAUUAUUCAUGUAUAUUGGCAAUUUUCUUGUAUUACUGAUAUUUGAUGAUACAUCUUGCAGUUAGAAUCUCAAUAUCUGAUAACCUCUGAGAAUUUCAGUUGCCUUCUUAUGAAUCUCACUACAAAUUAAUUGGAGGCUUGAUUGGCUUCUUCAUUUUAGUUUGUGUAUCGUUGCCAGGGAUCAGUAACAGAUUUAAAGGCUCUUAAUCCAUUGAAACGCAUCAUGGAGUCUCCUGCUGAACAAAGGUAGCUUCCAUCAAACUUGCAGGAUAUAUACAUCCAUAGCUGUUUUGGUUCAUAACUUAUGCGCUCAUAUUACGCAGGAAAUCACCGAACAUUAGCUCAAAAUCUGCUAGUGAUUUGGUACUCAUUUGAUAUAUUUCCACACAUCAUUAAUACAGACUGUGCUUUAGUUAAAAUGAAGAUAUUAUCACGGUUAAUUCUGAUGUUUUCAUUUUUCUUGUUUUUCUACUGUGUAGGUUCCAGUAACUGAAAGUCAGAAAGCUUUAACUGAUAAUACUGUUACUUCAACUGGUCUUAAUGUGAUGGGGAGCAUCUCAGACUUUGAAAUGCCUUCACUUGUUGAAAAUGAUGUAAAUGUGGAAAAAGCUGAAGCUUGUGCAAAAGAGCUUGAUGAUGUAAGUGCAUUAUAUAUUUAGAAUUGAUUCGUUUUGUUUUCUUCAUGAAUACAGAAAUGUUUAGGGAGUCAUUUUAUUCGGCUUUUAAGCCACUGGAUGAGAGAGAGAAGGAUAUCAAAAAUGACUUGAAAGAAAGUUGCAAAGAAAAAUAAUGGUUAAAAUUAGAGUGACAACUGAUGUUGCACAGGAAUGUAAAAUUCAGCAGAAGUAUCCACACUAUAGACCCUAAAUAGCCGAGUAAAAAUGCUUAACUGUUGUCUGUCAUUUGUGUAGAUGCGAUUAAUGGUAUAAAUGAUAGAGUAACAACUAAUGUAUGGGACAUAGAGGGAAAUAGACAAGUAACUUGCUUAUGAUAAUAUGCAUGUACCUAUGGUUUCCUACUGUUUUUGCAGUGAUCAUGAAUGAGCACUCUAGGGAUGUUGAGAACAGAUGCUUUGGUGUUUAUCUUUUGCUUAUUGUGGUUUGAUUAGAUUCUAAGUUGAAAUCAUGGAGUUAAAACAUCAACAUCAAUAUCUAAAGGUUUAACGAUAAGUUGGUCCAAAACAGAAUGUGCACAGUGAAAUUAUUUAAAAUUCGUUUCCUAAUUGGUAGAAGGCAGAGUCAUGUUAACUAGGUGUUUAUUAGGAAAGAAACAAUGAAUAGAAUUAUACGCAACAUUAAGACAUGAUGGUUCAAGUGGAGAGUUAUGCAUUAAGAGUAUUAUUUGAUAGUCUGUUGCAUGGCAUUUUUAAUCAAAAUGAAAAUGUAUAUGAUGGAUAUCGAAUAGUUUAUUGUUCUGUAAAUGAGAAACUAGUACAUAAUUUUGAAUGUAUACGAAAUUACGGCAUCAUAAUUUUUCCAGAUAUGCAACAUGCUGAAAAAGAAGCACGAGGAAGCUAAAGAAUUGCUUGUUCGAGCUAUUGUAAACAACAAUGCAUUGCUGAUGUUAAACCAUCCCAUGUAUGAGGAGAAGAUAUCCUUUACAGCUGUAUCAUUUCGGGAUCCUGCAACUGCAAAUGUGUUUUAUAUAUCUUUUUGCCAGAUAUCAAACUUGUGAUUCCUUCACCAACAGAACAUCCGCGCCCUUCAGAGGUUUGCUACCAGUCUGCACUCCAAGGACUACUCUUUUUGAACUAGUCAGUGAACAACCAACUAAUCCAGUGUAAGCUCUAACUCUUCUGACUAUAUGCAUACAAAAUCUGAAGGCAAUUUACUAUUUCAUGUUGGUGGUCUCAUUACUAUGAUAAAAGUAGAAAGAAUAAUGGCAAUCAACUUUUGAGUAACUGAGUGCUCAUUUUGGACUCGAGGAUAGUUGAUCAAUCAUUCUGCAAUUGGUGAAAACUCAUACUUGUGGAACAGAUUCUAUGGUAAAAAUUAAUGAACUCUUCUGAUCACUCUCUUGAAAGGUUUUCCAAGUCAAUAGUUUUUCCGAAUGCGAAGGAUAAAUUUGCUGGGAAAGAUUGCAUUUAUUUUAAGCCUGAAAGAAAAUAAUAAAUAUAAAUAUGAGGUCUGCACUUCAUGUUAGUAAAUUGUGAAUUGUGGGAGAGAGGGAAAGACCGGACUGCUUAAAGCAAAUCUUCCAUCUUAAAUAUGAUAAUCGUAUAGUUGGAUAAUAAUUUGAAGUACCAUACAGGAGAAAGAGUUCUGACGAGCCUGGAACCUAAAGGAAUUGAAUCUUUAGUAGUAGAUACUAUUGUGGGGCCAAGUUGAAGUAUUAGGCUUAAAAUGAGCUUUACCUAUCAUUUUUUUUUUUUUUUUUUUUGAGAAAUCAGUAGCAUGCCACCGCUUCAUUCAUUAAAGAGAUGAAUUAAGCUACAAAGUGAGGCAACCGGGCCUCCUGAGGAAUAAAAAAAAAAAAAAAAAGAUUAUACACAGAACGCUUUCCAAAAAGAAAGAGACGAACGGACGGUCGAAAGAAGUUGGCUCAGGGUGGCCUUUCGCUUCUCGAAAAUUCUUUUGUUGCGUUCCAACCAGAUAGUCCACCAUAGGGAGGCGAGUGUAGUUGCCUCCCUUCGCCCGAAGGCACCCACAAGCAAACCCUCCAACAAGGAUUUGGUAAAGUCAUACCGUACAAAAAGAUGAUCUACUGUCUCAGGUAUCGUUCGGCAAAAGACGCAAUCCUCUUCCCCCUGCCAGCCCCUUUUUCGCAAGUUAUCCGCCGUUAGGACCCUACGUUUCAAAACUAUCCAGACGAAAAUUUUCACUUUCAAAGGUACCUUAAUAGACCACAAUCGAGAAUAGCUUUUGUCUAUCACUUCGCCAUCUUGUAGGAAGUUAUACAAGGAUUUAACUGAAAAAAUAUCAGAUUGAGCCCAACGCAAUCUAACGACAUCAUGAUCGCCGUUGGGCAUCGUAUCCGUAACAUUCUCCUUCAGCUUCAAAAUUUGUUCUCUCUUGUAUCGAGCUUGGGGUAAAACCGUGCAGGAUCUUGCGCCACUUCCAACCACCUUCGCCGAAACAAGCCUUCACCAAGUAUGAUUUGUUUAGCACACUACUAAAAUUCCAGGGAAUUGGGACUGGAGAGAAAGUUGACCGCACCAAAUGUCCGACCAAAAAUUUACUCUACUUCCAUCACCAAUCGAGAAUGAAAUUCCACAUUUGAAAACCUCCCUAGUCCCUAGGACGUUCCGCCACCACUGCGAGUACGGUCUGAAGGUGGCUCCUUCUCGUAGCGGACGUCUUCUGGAGUAGUACCGUCCUUCGAUGAGAGGUCCCGAUAAGUGAUUCCUGUCAGCGAGGAAUCUCCACCACCAUUUCGCCAACAGAGCCACAUUCAUAUUCUCCAGGUCCUUGACCCCUAGCCCUCCCCCUUCUCUAUUCCUACAAACCGCCUUCUAUUGGACCAGACAAUGACCCCCGACGACAGUAGUCCCCCCUUUCCAAAAAAAAGCUCAACUCAGUGCUUCGAUGCGGCGUAAAACCCAUUUCGGUGCUCCAAACACCGAGAAAUAAUAAAGAGGUAGGUUCGAUAGGACCGAGUUCACAAGCACCAGUCUACCUCCUUGAGAAAGCAGUUUAGUUUGCCACCCCUCGAUCCGCUUCUCAAUUUUACCAAUAAUAGGCCACCAGUCCUCCUUCCUAAGUUGUCUCACCGAAAGUGGGAGACCGAGGUAACGAAACGGGAAGGACCCCCUCUUGCAUCCAAAAAUUCCGACCAACCUGUCCCCAGAGGAGGCCCCUCUACCUAGGUCAAACAACUCGGACUUAGACCUGCUAAUCUUCAGCCUGGAAGCCCACUCAAACAGUUGCCACAAGAACCGUAGGUUUCGCACCUGCCUAUCUUCGGCUUCGCAGAAAAAGAUGGUAUCAUCAGCAUACUGAAUGAUGGCAAUCUUGUUUGCACUAGUUGAGCCUACCCCUCUUAGUAAGUUAUUGGAAACUGCUCUCGUCGUCAGUCUUGCCAACCCUUCUACCACCAGAAGGAAGAGAAAAGGAGACAAAGGAUCUCCCUAACGUAAUCCUCUACGUGUUUUGAUCUAUUUAGUAGGGGUCCCGUUGACUAGGAUAGCCACUUUAGCAUUGGAAGUGCAUUUCUCAAUCCAACCGCACCACAUCUGAUUAGCCCCUAGCCAUUGCAUGAUCUUUCGCAGAAAUUCCCAGUUCACUCUAUCAUAAGCCUUCUCAAAAUCACUUUUAAUACCAACGCUCUCCUCUCCCACAUGUGAGCUUCAGCUAACUACUUCACUAGCCAUAACGAAGGAGUCCAGUAUCAGUUAGCUUUUUAAGAAAGCGGCUUGAGUAGGGGAAAUAAUAUUUUUCAUAACGCCUUCGAGUCUAUUUGAAAGAACCUUAGAGAUGAUCUUGGAUACCCCGUUGAUGAGACUGAUUGGCCUAAAGUCACUAGCAGAAUUGGCAUCCUCUUUCUUGGGAACCAAACAAAUGUAAGCAUAGUCCAAAGGUCCAGGAUUAAAAUUGGUGUCAAACAACUCUUGAAAGAUAAUAUAGAGGUCGGCCUUAAUCACAUCCCAGAAUUUCUGGUAGAACCUUAGAUUAAACCCAUUCCGACCUGGAGCCUUGUCGCUAUCGAGCUGAAAGGUGGCUUUUCUGAUCUCCUCCUCGACGAACGGGGCCGUGAGCAGCUCCGAACUCAGGACCUAACUAUCACGAAAUAAAUCGCUCCAAUCUCCAAAAGUGGAGUUACUGGGGUUGUUCGGGGCGAAGACGUCUUUGAAUUUAGAAUAGAAAUAUUCCCUUUUCUCUUCCUCCCUAAAGAUUCUUCUACCGUCGUCCUCCACCAAGUCAAUAAAGUUUUGUCUUCUUCUUCCAUUCGCCACCGAGUGGAAAAAUUUAGUAUUGCCGUCCCCUUCUUUCAACCAAUGCUGCUUGGCUCUAGUCUUCCACAAAAUCUCCUCUUCUGCCACUAUAGUCAAUAGUUGUUUCUUGAGUUGUUUUCGCUUAUCCUGCUGUCGCGAGUCAAGGCGAAUGCGUUCCUCCAAAAUGUCUAGCUUUUGUAUCUCAGAUAUUUCUUUCUUCGUCUUCAUGAUACUGUGGAAAUUUGUUAAGCACCACUCCUUAAUCCUCUUGCGGCAAUGUCUUAAUUUGGCCGCAAAAGAGAGAAUGCCCGACCUUUGCCGCGGCACUUCGUUCCACCAGGUAGGCAUCAAAUUAUGACUGCCUCGGCACUUCGUUCCACCAGGUAGGCAUCAAAUUAUGCCCGACCUUUGCCGCAACUUUUACCUAUCAAAAUUUUGAUGACAACUGUUAAGUAUUGGUUCCUGGAUUAGGUUAAUUAUGACUGCCUCGGCGUUUAGUCAUGAAAAUCAUGGAAAGGCAGAAUAAUGAUGAUACUAGAAGCCUAAUGGACUGUUUAACAAGAGAAAAAUUUGAUACUUGGGUGGUACAUGUCACUUAACAGAAAAUGUUACCAUUUCUCUAUUUUGAUCAUCACUUGGCUUCCUUCCUUGGAUUGCUUUUACCUUUUAUGCCCAAAAUUGCUAUGUGCUAGACCUAGCAUAUUGUUUGGUUAUGGCCCCUCAUAAUAGGUUACAAUUCUAAUGCAAUUAAAGAAAUUCAGAUUUGAGCAGCUACUCAAGUCUGAAACAGGAACUAGUUGAUUCGAAAUUAGGUAUGUUUGAAUAUUGGACAAAAUAGCAGAUCAGGUACUAUAUUCAAAAUUAACUCUAACAUGGGCCAAAUUCAAAUUUUGUUGGUUUCUUUGGUGCUACUGAAUUAUGUAUUUUGCGUUGAUCUAAUUUUUCACUAUUGGCCGCUUCACAAAACUAUAAAAAUGGUUGAGGAACUGUAGUUGACUUAUUUAGCAAGGGCAAUCAUUCAUUAGUAAAAAUGAAUUUUCAUGCUAUUAAGCUAGUUUUUUUGUUAUUUUAGGUUAGGCAAAGUUGGCUAGCCUAUUGCCAAAGGAUAGGUUUUGAAUUUUUGAAGAAUAAUGUGUCUCUGGCCUGCUGAUGGUCAUGGUUUGAUGGGCUGCAAAUUUGAAAUCAUAGCUUAACAACUCUUCAGUUUAUUAUCAAGUCCUGUCAUUACCUAAUUUUAAUCCAUUAUUAUUCAAACUUGAAGUGCACAAACAACUUUUUUAGAGUAGACCCGCAUAUAGACAAUACAAAAAGAACAGUUUAUUUCUCAAUGUCUGUAGGAUGAGAAAGUGAAAGUCGAUAGUUGCACUUAUAGCACUUCCAUAGAAUAAUAGCAUUGUCGAUCAGGAAUUUUAACAGGAUCUGAGAGUGGGAUGAUCCUAAACUUUAUUAAUGAUUAUCUUGUUUGUCAACGAGUAACCCAUAUGUUUAGUGCCAUGGUCAACCAUUCAGCUAAGUUGGACAUGUGUUGCAAUGGCAACUGUUGUUCUUAUAGGAAAGUCGUCAAUCAUGAAGUUGAAAUUAAGAUUAAAGUCAAUAUUGUUUUUCUAUUUCUAUAAACUAUAGAUGGCAGGGGACAGUAAUCGACAAUUAUGUUAGAGUGCUUAGAAUUGGCCCACACAUUUAGGCCUUCGUAGUCGUAGAAGCUUUUUCCACUAGCGUUUCUUAUUCCUUGCUUAAAAAAUCAAUCACUUUUUACUUUUCCCAGUAAGGAGCUUUUAAACUUUCAAAAAAUUCUAUGCACAUUGGGGAAAGCAUAGAUUGUUUUAUUCUAGCUUCUGAAAGGAACUGAAGGUUUGAUGUCCUAUUUAUAUAUGUAUUUUUGGUUAGAAACUUUAAAUAAUUUUCCUUUGUUUUGAUGUGUUUAUGCCUUACAAUUCUAUGAUUUUAUUUAUUGGUUUUAACUAUCCAUGGUUUUAUUUAAUUACACUGUAAGAACUGUUUGAAGUAGGUUAGAACGGCAUGUGGCAACAUGGGCUUUAGCUUUAUGACAGUAUUGAUUUUUGCCUGUAUGUAUUUUAAAUUGGUUUUUAAUUUCAUGUGUAAUUUCUAGCCUAUCAUUGACGAGACUAAUUCUAGUAAUUUGCAUAUGCACUAAACCAUAUGGGCGUGGGGUGAUUUUUUUUUUUUUUUUUUCGGUUUCCGUGGGGUUGUCCUAUAUGCAUAGACCCGUUAUAAUAGUUAAUUGCAAAGUAUCAUGCUCUCAUCUUUCUAAAUAUUGGUGGUUUUGUUUUAUUGUAUUGGGUCCACCAUUAAUUUGGCAAUGGGAGAUUCUCUUUUUUUUUUUGCUCGUAGAGAAGGUUUAGGUGGUGGACACAAUGGGACAAUAUUUUGUAGGAAUUAGACAACUUGGAAUCGGUUCAACAAAAAACCCUGUCAAGGCACUUUUCUCUAGUGCACAAAGUGUUUACCUUACAAACACACCAACCAUUUUUCGCAUAUAUUGAGAUCGUUCAUAUUUUUUUGGCAUAAGCGCUUUAAUGUGCUUAAAAGCAGAGGGCGAGUGCUUGUCCUUUGACCUAUCGAUGGAGCCGCACCGUCCAAGAAAAGCUUGUCGUUCUUGAUCUUUUUGUAGAUUCACAAAAUUGGGGGGAUCCGGAGGUGUUCAGGGUUUUCUAUAAUCAACUUAACAGCACCAAAAACCGUCCAAAUUGUGUGCACAUCAUCCAUUAUAGUUAAUGACCCACUACUUUAGUGUCUCAAUGUGCACCGAUGUGGUGACUUGGAUCUCUAUUUUAGAGGGUUACUUUAGGAUUAAUUGCAUCAUUGGUCUCCAACCUUUUUACCUUUUUUUCACUUUGGUCCCAAUAUUUUUUUUUUUUUUUUUGCAAUUAAGUAUCCAAACCUUUUAUUUUAUUACAAUCAAGUUCUAGUCCUAAAGAAAAAGGCUAAAUUUGACGGAAUGCGCCAUGUUAGCCCCAGUUAAGCGCUUACGUGGCUUUUUUUGGGAGGUUAAUUUUGUUUGGAUUGGAAUUCAAAGUUUGAACAUGAACUUAUAAUUUGAAAUCAAAUUAUGAGUUAAAAUUCAAAAUUUAAUUUUAAACUAAAAUUAUGAAAUUUAAAAUUAAAUUAAAUUUGAAUUUGAAUUUAAAACUAUAAUUUUGAUUUAAAACUGGUGAGAAAUUUGAAUUGGAUUUGACUUUGAAAUUGAAUUUGAAUUUUAAUUUUGAUAUUUAGAAUUGAUAUAACACUAAAUUUGAAUUAAAAUUCAAUUUAAAUAUUAAUUUGAAUUUCUAUUUUAAUUUAAAAUCUAAAAUAUAUUUCAAAGUUUGAAUUGAAAAUUAGAAUUUGAAUUGGAAUCUGAAUUUGAAUUCAAAAUCCAAAUUUGAAAUUGAAAAUUGAAUUCAAAUUUUGGUUUUGAGUUUCAUAUUUAAAUUUAAAUUCUUACUUUGAAUUUCUGUUUUAAAUUCAAAUUCUAAAUUACAUUUUUAAAGUUGAACUUAAAAUCAGAAUUUAAAUUUGAAUUUGAAUUUUUGUAUUCAAAAUAUGAAUUUGAAAUUGAAAUUUGAGUUCAAAAUUUAAAUUGAAUUUAUUUGACUUGUAACUUUGCAUUCAAAAUUUUUAUUUCGAAAUUAAAAUUUGAAUUUUGAUAUUUCAUCAAUAUUGACUCUAAAUUUGAAUUCGAAUUCAAAAUCUGAAUUUGAAUUUUAUUUUUAAAAUUGAAUUUUAUUUUUAAAUUUGAAAAUUUAAAAUUUAAAACCUUAAUUUGAAUUUCUAUUUUAAAUUUAAAAUCUAAGUUACAUAUCAAAAUUCGAAUUUAAAAUCCAGAAUUUGAAUUUGAAUUUUUGAAUCUAAAAAUCUGAAUUUGAAAACAAAAAAAUCUAAUUCAAAUCUAUAUUUUAAUUUCAAAUUUAAAUUUAAAUUCUUCGUUUAAAUUUCUAUUUAAAUUCAAAAUCUAAAUUACUUUUCAAAUUUUGAAUUCAAAAUUUGAAUCUGAAUUUUUGAAUUCAAAAUCCGAAUGUGAAUUCUAUAUCUGAAUUUGAAAUUGAAAUUUGAAUUAAAAAUCUGAAUUUGAAUUUAAAAUCGAAGUAAAGAUCUGAAUUAGAAGUUUCAAUUUCAAAUUUGAAUUUGAAGAUCGAAUUCAAUUUCAAAUUUGAAUUUGAAAUUCAAAAUCAAAAAAUAAAAUUAAAAUUUUGAAUUUGAAUUCAGAAUUAAAAUUUUGCUUUGAAAUUCAAAUCUAAAAUCAAUUUUAAAUUUUAAAUUUGAACCAAAAUUAAAUUUGAAAUUUCAAAUUUAUAUUAAAAUUAGAAUUUAAAUUUGCAAUUUGAAUCCGAGAUAAAAAUUUAAAAUAAAAUUUAAAUUAGAAAAUCUAAAAUUUCAAAUUUAAUUCAAAAUAUAAUUUAAAUUUCAAAUUUGAAUUUAAAAUAUAAAUUUAAAAUCAAAUUUAAAGUAAAAUUGUUUAAUUAGCUGGCAUUGUUGGGUGUUUAGCUAGUGCUGACGCGGCACAUUCCAAUAAUUUAAAUGGGCGUUUCAAUGACUUUGAUCUAUUUAAAAUAAAAUGAAGAGUUUAGAGACUUGAUUGAGGGGAAAAAAAAAGAUUUUGGGGGCCAAAUGGAAAAAAGAUGCAUAAGUUGACCAACAAUUUGUCCAUUUCAGCCCUUUUCUUCUUAUUUUUGCAAUUAAGAUUUCUGACCUUCUGCAAUUUGUUUUUUUUUUAAGUUUCUUCUGUAAAAAAUUCUAUACAUCUUAACCCAAACUGCUAUGUUAGGACAAAGACCAAUUAACUUCAUAAUGUAGCCUUGCAAUGUAUUAUCUCUUAUUUUAGGAGUAAAAUCAGAAUAAUUUUAAAAGUAAAUGAGGUAGUUUACUUCUAAUUAAUUUCUGAAAAUGGGCCACCUAAAUUAACGACCACAUUAUUAAACUUGAUAUAUUAUUUGAACUUUCUAGAAAUUAAAUUUUCUGAUAUUAUGACUUCAUUUGUAUGGUGAUUAUGUGGUUUCAAAUUCAUUUUAUAUUAGUUAUUAAAAAUUAUCAAUUUUGAAACCUAUUAACUGUUAGGCAAAUAAUGUUGAAAAAUCAUAAAAUUUGAAUCUAAAAUGUUCAAAUACAAAGUUUAAUAGUGUUGAUUCGGUUGUGUCGUCAUCGAAAUUAAUGCAAAAAAAUACACGGCCUUAUUUGCUUUUAGAAAUAUUAUAAUGUUGCUCUAUAUUUUUCUUUUUGGGAAUCUCUCUACUAUUUUCAGGUUAGAAAAAAAUGUAUUAUAUACCAAAUUUAUGUUCGCCCAGUGGCUUAGUACUAUGGUUCCUUUUCUGGUGCUUUACAUAUGGAAGAUAAUGUUUUAGUGUUCCAAAUUUAGUCACUGUUGGACUUGAUUAUGGUAACUUUCAAUUGUGGCCACACUUCUGCUGAUAUCUACAAAGUAGGAUGCGUAUUCUGGACAUUACCGACCCAUAUGUCUCAAAAGCUAUCGGGCUUUUCCUUCUUUUCUUUUUCCCCUUUAAUCUUCGGGUCAAAUUAACAAUUAAAAAUGAGUUGGUUCCUACGUGGUGCCGACGUUGACUCCAUUUAUCCAUUGGAUAUAUCUAAAUGGUGUUUGAUUCACAUUCAUGCCACUCAAAAUUUCUAAUUACUUUUCUCAAGCAAGCAUCCAAUGUAAGAUUCUCUUUUGUACAUGGGCAGCACAGUUAGCAUAGUCGGUGCGAGCUUAUAGGCACGGACAGCAUAUGUCCAUUAUGUUAGGCUGAGCUAAUUGACACAAAAGUCUUGUUCUUUUUUUCUUGUUUACGCAUGUAUUUUUGCAUAGAUUUUUCUAAGUGUUGUUUGACAAUAAAGUAAAAGACAUUUCACAUUUAUGCUAUUCAAAAUUUCUAAUUUCUUUUCUCAAGCAAGGAUUGCGGUAUAAGGUUCUUUUUUAUUCGUGCACAAAUACAAAUACUGAUCAUGCUGUGUAGUGCUGACUGGCACAAAAAUAUUAUUAUUAAGUAUUUGCCUAUAUUAUUUUUGAAAAAAUUGAAGUAUUUUACUUGUCAUGCAAUUAAUCUUGUCUAGUCCAACUUAUCUCAAAACUAUCUUUAAUUGUAACCUUAUUAGGCUCAUCUUUCGCAGCCCUACUUCAGUUGUUUCCAACUUUUCUUUUGGGGAGAAAUUUCCAACCAUUCAUCUCAUCACUGAUUUGUUGCGCUUCUUCUGGGUAGUAUUUCUCUUCAUCAUUUUCCUAUCCUCUCUAUCAUUCUUCCAAAAUCAAUCAUAAUCCCCUAUUCCUCUUAUUUUGCAUCGCUUCAUCCAAAUUCAUUCUAAAGUUAAAAAGUACAAAAUGAAAAGCAGGGGUUGCAAAUAUAGUUAAGAGGAAGAAGAUGACAAUGGAACUAAGGCUGGAACUUUGUUCCUCUUUCACGGGGUGAGACAUCGUAGGGACUGGAGGUUCUGGUGAUGCUCUUCUUUCUAUUUAUUAUUCUCUUUUAGAUAGGAGUAUAUAUUUAGGAGAUGAUAAAGAAAUUUGCUUCGUUCUUUAGCUAAUCCGUCGAGUGGAAAUGCAUUUGAGGGCCAUUACAACUUUCAUGUUAAUCUAAACUUCUGUUGUAUAGUUGGCCAUGAUUCAGAUAUCAAUCCUUGCAGAUAGAUGCACACGUAGUGAUGAGUGGAUAUACACCUCGUACAUCUCUCAUAGAUUGUACCAAAAAAAAAAGAGGAAAAAAAAAUUGGGUGAUGUAAAGUGAAAGGGCUCAAAUCUUUUUUUUUCCUGAAUGGAAGGCCAAACAUAUGAUACAAUCAUGCUUUUAAUUUGUGAACUCAAGUAUUUUGUUCUAAUUGCAGCUAUAGGAAGCUAUUGAAUUGGCGGCAACUGUCGGCGUUGCCCACUGAAUUUUAAAUAUUCAUUUACACCUACCCUCAACGUCUAUACCCAAUAAGCUCUUACUUGUGCAUAUAUAUAGGGUGCCAACCACUGCUUUGAUGCUACAUUCUUCAGUACUGAACUUCAGCAAUAGCCUCCUAACUGAACUGAAGCAGGAGAUAUAUAUGGCGUGUUUGAGAGCCAAGCACAUAUUUUUCCUCAUCUUGCUUCUAUCACUUUGUUUUUCGACAGCCCGAUUGUUGGACCGCAAGGAGCUCAUGAAUGCGUCUGAAGAGUCGGAGGCCGGCCUGACGACGACGGUCUUCAGAGGACGGUCUGGAGGAGAAGACACGGCUGACAGCAUCUACGAUUCCAAGCGGCUGAGCCCCGGCGGCCCAGAUCCUCAGCACCAUUCCAUGGGUCCCUACUCAUAUGCAGUUUCGGUUCACAGUAGACCAUGAAAAAUUCGUGUUUUCGUAUUGCCAUUGCGUCCUUGUAAUUGGUAGUCCCAUUUGACUCCGGCAAUAUAAUGAACUUUCUUCUGGUUUCGAUUCACUGUAAGGAAUUGGGAUUCGCUGUGGCAUAAUAAUUUUCAUGUUGAUGGUUCCACGAAAGCUCUAGUUCCAUUGUCUCUUAUCCUUUGUAUUGGUCGUCUUAUGUUUCUGUAGUCGGUUUCUAUUACGAAGAUCGAAUUCGCCUGGGUUUUGAGUAAAGGUGCCUUCAUUCCAGUGUUUCGUUUUGUUCUUACUUCAAACGAGAAACAACAAAAGAACGAAUUCGAUUUUGAUUUCACUACGACUCUCUAAGCAGCAACGAGAAUAAAUACGUUUAUUAAGGCUUCCCCAGCUUUUCCCCAUCUGGCUUUACUGUUAAACCGCCGCCAUUAGCAUAACAUAGAAAAGGCCCACGUAAAACCAGUGCUCAAAUACACGUAUAUUCUCGCAAACUAUGAAUAGUUGUACAGUAUCAUAAACACUACGUUUACUUUUUUUUUUUUUUUUUUUGAGAAUAGGUAGCUCGCUACAUGCUUCAUUCAUUGAUGGAUGAACUAGGCUACAGAGGUGAGGCAACUAGGGCCUCGGAAAAAACCAAAAAACAACUAGGGCCUCNAAAAAAAAAAAAAAAAAAAAAAAAAAAAAACCAGAAGGUACACGUGGUCUAAUGCCAUCAGAGGAGGAUUUCCCACGAAAGUAACAACUGCUUUAUCCUCUGUACAGCCAAAAUCGGAUCUAGUAGGAUGUUUCGAAAAAUCAGAUCAUUUAUGAUCUUUCAAAUGGUUCGCCAACAAGCAAUCAGUUCCGGGAGUCUGUUGCUCUUGUUAUACCGUCCUUUGCUGGUCGCCCACCUAUCCCAGACAUGAUACAUGUCGUCACCUAGCUUACCCCCUUGCACGCCCUCCACCCCCAUGACCAUGAUGAACUUGGUAAAAACAGAUGGUCCACUGACUCAUCAUGGGCAAUGCAAAGCACACAAAGUGUGUUGCCAGUCCACCCUCUCUUUACAAGGUUAUCAGCUAUGAGAGGCUUUUUCUUUAGGACAAUCCAGGAAAAUACUUUGACCUUUAGAGGUAUUCGGAGGCUCCAAAUCUUGGUAGCCCGUCCGUCCCUCGUUCCCCCGUCACUCAACAUGCCGUAGGCCGAUUUGACUGAAAAAUCGCCUUUGGCUCUCCAUCUCCACCAUAACCUAUCCGGUCUCUGCGCGACUUUAUACAUACCAAUCUCAUUCUUGAGAGCCAACAGGUUGGCUGACAGCCCUGUUGUAGAAGCGAACUCAUCGCCCAGAAUUCUAUCCCAUCUCCAGUCCUCACUAUCGAAACAAUCCCCAACCAAUAGGGGUUUACGAUUCGUCAUCGCAUAUAUCUCCGGAAAUGACGUUUCAGAGCGGAUUCCCCGCACCAUCGAUUAGACCAAAAGUCUAUAGAGCUCCCAUUGCCCAAUUUAUAGGAUAUUCCCCAAUUGAAGAUAGCAUUGGUGGUUAGGACUCCCUUCCACCAAAACGAGAAGGGUCUAAAACUUUUUCCUUCCUUUAGAGGUCGUCUUCUUUGGUAAUAUAAAGCUCGGAUAAUCUUGACCCACUGCAGGUGUGGAACUGUGUGAAAUCUCCACCGCCAUUUGACCAGGAGAGCCCGAUUCAUGAUAUCGACAUCCAGAAUACCAAGCCCGCCUUCGAUUUUGCUCACACAGACGUUCUUCCAUGCCACUAAACAUCCCUUGCCAGUGGAAUUCCUAUUACCCUUCCAGAAGAAGUCUCUACGUAUGGCUUCAAUACUCUUAAUUACCCAUUUAGGCAUCUUAAAAACCGAAAGAAAGUACAGCAGUAGAUUGGUAAGAACGGCAUUGACCAAGAUGAGUCUACCCCCUCGUGAUAGAAGCUUGGCUUGCCAUCCAUCAAUUCCAUUCAGCAAUUUCUGAAUGAUCCCUCUCCAUACCUCCUUUGUGGGGGGUUUAGGGGAAAGAGGGAUGCCUAGGUAAGUGGUAGGGAGAGUACCCACUCUACAGUCGAGCAGCUGCACGAGCCUUUCCGCUUUGCCCUCAUUCUGUCCAAGGUAGUAUAGUUCGGACUUCUCACUAUUAAUUUUCAUCCUCGAAGCCCACUAAAAAAGACACCACAUCAAGCUGAGAUUUCGCAUAUAUUUUUUCCUAGCCUCCGAGAAGAAGAAGGUAUUGUCCGUGAAUUGGGUGAGGAUAGUUUUACUUUCGUCAGACGGCCCAAUACCCAUGAAGAGGUUAUUAGAAGUGGCCUCAUUGGUCAUUCUGGCCAAGCACUCCGCCACCAUGAGGAACAGGAGUGGUGAUAACGGAUCUCCUUGGCGAACUCCUCUCUUCAUCUUAAUCCACUUGGUCGCCUCACCAUUGACCAAUAUGGCUACUUUCGCAUUGCACACACAUUGCUCGAUCCAUUCACACCAUUUUAAAUCAAAUCCCCACCACUGGAGGACAUUGAAAAGAAAGGGCCAGUGUAUCCUAUCGUAAGCUUUUUCGAAGUCUACUUUUAUACCGACCCCCUCGAUUUUCUUCUUACUACCCUACCCCAGGAUUUCCGAAACAGUAACGAAAGCAUCAGUGAUGCUCCUCCCUUUCACAAAUGCUGAUUGAGUGGGGGAAAUUAGGUCACUCAGAACCCCUGCGAGUCGAUUGGCUAAAACCUUCGACAGUAUUUUCUGGAUGCCGUUGAGGAGGCUAAUUGGUCGAAAGUCAUUCGCUCUCUCGGCCCCUUCCUUCUUCGGGAUUAGGCAGAUAAAGGUAUAGUCGAUUGGUGACGUAGACAUCGUACCCUCGUAGAAUUCCUAGAACAGGUUGAGUAAAUCACUCUUAAUGGCAUCCCAAAAGAUUUGGUAAAACCUUAGUGGGAACCCAUCCGGGUCCGGAGCUUUAUCACUUCCCAGUUGGAAAACCGCUUUCUUUAUUUCACUAAUGCUGAAGUGUUCUGUUAGCCUCCUGAGCAUAGGAGCCGAAACCCGCUUUGUGGAAAAAAACCCACUCCAAUCCCCGAAAGCAGCCGACGUCGUCACGUCUGGCGAGCAAAGCUCUUUAAAUUUAAGAUAAAAGUAAUCCUUUUUGUCCUUCUCUGUUUGGUAUACGAGUCCGUUAUCGACAACCACCCCAAUCCCGUUGGCUCUUCUUCUUCCAUUAGCUAUACUAUGGAAGUAUUUAGUGUUGGCCUCGCCCUCCCGUAACCAGUGCUGAUUAGCCCGGGAUCUCCACAGGGAAGCUUCAUCGUUAAUAACACGUCUUAAUUUCUCUUUUAACUCGUCUCUUUUCGUGAUCAAUUAUGUUGGUAAUACACCUUGUUUCUCAGCAAGGUCUAUCUCUUGUAUUUCACCCAUUAGGGAAUUUUUUAGCCCUCUAAUACUGUAGAACUCGUUAUUGCACCAUUCUUUAAUAUACUUUUUAUCGAAGAGAAAUGUUAUGUUUACCUCUAUAGUAUAAGUGUAAUAUUUACACUCUUGGCUUUCUAUGACUAGAAUUAACUCAUUAGGUACGUGAGGGUUUAUGAUUUACAGCUUUAUGCGUCAUGCACAGGUAGCAUUUUUCUUUAGAGUAUCACAUUCCAUGAUUCCCUCUUCCACUAUCAAGGAGAGUGCUCUGCAUCAUGCUCCCAUGCAUGCAUGGAUCGCAUUAUCUUCAUCUAUAAUAUACUCGGAGCCUGAUCUCCUAUAGACUAGUAAAAACUCAUUAACACAUAAAUAAAGUGCGUUUUUUGCAUAAUCAAUCCUAAGGAACUUUGUUACCAAGCUCAUUUGUUUAUACGCGCGUUUCAAGUUCACUAGCCGUUAGAGUUCGGUACUGAAAAAGGGUUCAUUAUUCAAAUACUUUUUAGUGGUCACAACACUCUUAAAUAUAAUUUAUACCAAGUUAGUUGGCUUUUCAUAGAUGAUAAGACUCUGUUUGGGAUGAUAGGAAGAUUGUGUUACGUACAGUAAAAAAAUACUCUAUUUAUUUUAGUUCUACGAUCCUACCAAAAAGCAGAAAAAUAUAUUUCUAUAUACUUUCGUCUCAACUCUGUUUUGCAUACCAGCAUUAGAUGGGCCUAAAUACUAAAUGAGCCCGAAGAUUUAACUAGCAACUAAGCACUUUCUUAACGAUGCUUUGGUGACGUACAAAAGGCGAUAAGUACUAAGAAAAGUUCUAUAGAAAAGCCUAAUAAGCUCCAAAUUUUCGCUUGUCAUAGGUUGGACUCACACUUUUGGUUGGUAUGUGUUGUAAGAGUUGCAACCUUUUUCUUUUUCUUUUUUUUUCUGGCUAAUUAAGUUAAGCCAAGUUGGCUUACAUUAAUACACCAAAAUAGAAGAGAAAGUGAAAACGUCUUUGCGUUCGUGUAAAUCCUCGCACAUUGGUUCUUUAGAUUUUGGGACCACCUUAGUUUACAUCAAAAGUAUCCAAUCUUUUCUCUUUUCAAUUUAACUGUAACUAAAAUGCAGUGCACAAAUUAUAAAGGUGGAGAGUUAUCAUCUGCAUCCAUAUAUAUAUAUACAUCUUGUGCACCGCACUUUGUAUUUGAUUAUCAAUUGUCUAUGAAAUUUAUAUUCGGACAAUUUAAGUUGACUACUAUUAGCUAGUCAAAAGCUAAAAAAUAAUAAUAAAGAAUGCAUGGUGGUGAUAUAUAGAUGAAUCUUACUAUUGAUGCCAAAAUAUUAUUUUGUAAUUAAAAUAAACCUCCCACUACAACAAAAACGGUCUAUAGUGACACUUUUAAAUAUAGGUACAUGUCAAAAAAGUGCUGCUAGCUAAAAUUACCGAUACUUUUAAAAAGUGUUGCUAUAUAUGGGGUCGCUAGGUAUAUAGUGACAGUUAAAGAGUAUCGCUAUAAUCUAAAAGAGUGUUGCUAAUUUACCAACACUUAUUUAAGUAUUUAGCAACCGCCGAAACUCUAUCUCGUUGGUUGCGGUGGCAAAGGAGGACGACAGUAAAGACUCUUCGUCUAGAAUUUCAGUGGAUUAAGUGAAGAGAGAAGAAAAGAUGGUAAUUGGUUUUUCUUUUUUUUUUUUCUGUUUGUAAUCGGACCAAAUGGACUGGAUGUGGUGGGUUGAAUAGAGUAAUCUUUUAUUUUUGGUUGGAUUGGGCUUUAUAUUUAGACAUUAGUAGAUGUGUUUUUAAGUUUUAGCAUAAAUGGGACACUUACUCAAAAGUGUCCUAAACAUGUGUCCCUAUAAUCUAAUUCUAUUGUAGUGUCCUUUACUGCAAUGAUUCAGUAAAGAACCAUUCAAUAAUUUUUAUACUUUGAAAUUUGGAUGUAUUAUUUAUUUUUGAGUACGCGUCGACUCAACAAAUUAAACUCGGAAAAUAACUCAAGUAGUUCGUGAAUAGAUAAGGUUAUGGCUAAGGAUAAUGUUUAUUUCCACAAUAAAAGUGUUCUCGUGCAAGUCAAAGCUUAUCGUGUUUACGUGCACGACCCACUCGCGUUGUUAUAUCGCCAUUUGUCUUUGUGUUAGUACGGAGAACUCACUUUUAUUCCACGCCUGUACAAUUCAACUAUAAUUUUGAAACUCAGACCUCAUGGUGUUCUUUUUAUUUUUUUUAAAUAAAAGUUUUAUUUAAGUGCGCACGUUGAUGCAUGCAUGGCUUUUUUAUUUUUUAUUGUUGGCAUUCCGUCAAACCGAAUCGGAUGCAUCUCUAUAUAUAAUCGGGUCCGAUUUGACGGUUAUUAUAUUAUCUAAUUAGACUAGUUUUAAUCUCGUUUUUAAUUCGAAAAGUUAAUUAGAGAUAUAUUUUAGCCAUAUUAAAAUUAAAAACUGAUUUAGCCUAAUUUUCUAUUUUUCUAUUAGGAUGUUGGGAAACCUUAUAGAUAUAUAUUCCGGCAAUUCUUUUAUAAAACAUGAACGAGAAAAAAAAAAAGAAAAAAUACUCAGAAAUUUGUGAGAAAUUUAUGCGACAUUUUGUGGGAGAAAAAAAUCACAUUCUUCAUUAACUUAUUAUUUUUAUAGGGUUUUGAACGGUAGAUUAUAAAUUUAGCUCGUUCGUAACUCGAUCUGCGGCAGGUUGGAGUGUCAGAAAAUCUUCGUGGACGGUCCGAGAAUACAUAAAUCAACCUUUACGAUUCAAAACCUAUCGCAUUUUAGUGCGAAUCGCUUCUGUUAAAAUAGGAACAAAUAUUUUCGCUAUGUUCUAUAUUUAUUAUGAUAGUUAAGUUAAAAUACAGUUCAGUCAGACAAGAGAUGACAGAGAGCUCACUCAAUAAUAAUAAUAAUAAUAAUAAUAAUAUAUAUAUAUAUAUAUAUAUAUAUAUAUAUUGCUGCCAAACAAACACAUUGGAUGUGAGAUGCAAGCAAUUUAUUCUCUACUCAAUUACUCGUACACUCGUUCAUGUAAAAAUUUUAUUCAAUAAAAAAAAAAACAGUUUCAACAAUGUCAAAGCCCUUGAAACUAUUAUUUAAUUACUAGCUCCAUAGCAUUUAGUAAUCUUUAGUAAUGCUUCUAUACAUGUUAGAAGCAUCAAGGUCAUUUAUUUUGUCCAACAAUUCUAAAGCAUGCUGCAAUAGAGCGAUGAUCAUAUCCCUUGAUUAUAUAUGUUGUGAUUAUUGAACGUUUUGAUCUCUAAAUAUUAAGGUUAACCUAAUAAGAAACAGUUGAAGAGUAUUCGACACAAAAUGGUAGAUGAAUCGAACUUCGAAUCUCUUAAAACCAAGAUAACUCGGGGCCGAUCUAAUGCAUAUAUGCUAUAUAAACCUAAAGAAUGCGGGAUUUAGUCUUAACGUAAAGUUCAAACAUGGCUUCUUUAAACACUCCCUCAACAAUGGUUACUAUAUACUAGUGUAGUGACCCGCGCGAUUCGACAAGUAAAUAUAUUAUAAUCUUUUAAAAUUUAAAUUUUAAAUCUUAUAUUUCUAUAAGUUAUUUUGUAGAAAGUAAAACACAUUUACUUUAAAAGUUUUAGUAAUUUUAAAGUAUAUUGAAAAGUAUGAAGAUUUUUUUUUUUUAACAUUUUAGUUUUUUACAUUGAAGCAUCACAAUAGAUAUCAAAUCACAUCUAUUUCCGACAAUUUAAUUUAGAUGCCUUAUUAUAUAGGUAGUGACGUGUAGAUUUAAUCAGAAACAAUAGAAAAUAUAUUUAGCAAACAAAUUUCAAUAUAUCCAUUAGAUUGCGCUAAGUAUGGCAUUAGUUUGUAUAAUAAUUAAUCAUUUCAAAAAUUCUAAACCCUAAUAUAAACAAAUCUAUCAAAAUUUUCAGUACAAUCAAAUCAUUAUACAAUCUAUAUCUAUACCUAUACAUUAUUUUUCAUGAAGUCUUGCCACGUGGCGGUCCCUCCUUUAUCCUUAACCUUCUCCUCUCUUCUCUAAUCACAACCCACACUCUUCAUCUCCCCACCGAGUUACUAACGCAUCAUUAAUUUUAAUAAUUACGAUCUUAAACCCACAUUCUUCAUCUCCCCACCAACAAGUUACUAACGCAUCAUUAAUUUUAAUAAUUACGAUGAUCCACACAAUUAGCAUCACUAAAACCCCAUCAUCAUCAUCUCCUCAUUCUCCGAAACCAAAUACCACACUCCAACAAUGUCCUAUGUUACAAACCAACUCUUCUUUCUAUUAUUCUUAUUAUUAUUCUCGAACGCGAGUACGAACCCGUCAACGCCAUUCGGGUCGAGCCAUGAUUGUUCGGGCGCUUUGUUUAGGUUCAGCGAAUGCUUAGAGUUUGUGGAGGGCGGGGCGAACGGGGCCGAAUCGGGGUUGCUGCUCCGGGCUCGGUCACGUGCUUAGCCGGAGCGUCACGUGCCUCUGCUAGACCAUACGAGAAGGGGCGAGGCUAGACGUAUCCGUGAACGUCACCAAAGCUCUCGCUUUGCCCUCACUUUGUGGGCUCUUCUACACGCUAAUAGUCCCCUAUUACAAAAGUAAGAGGUGUAUUUUUUUUAUGGUCCAAUUUCAUAUAUACAAAUUGCUUUCAUAAGAAAAAAAAUAAGUAAAAUAAGAUUUCUUCGUACUAUUUUUUUUUAUUUUUUUGGCGCAUAAGAAUGGUUCAUAUUUUAUAAUUUUUUAAAAUUUUUUUAACUUUUUGUUUUUAAAUUGUAUGUGUACUGAAAUUAGGGUUUCGUGGAUUAUAGUGCAGCAUCGCGGGGGAAAGCGAAGAUAGAUUUGGAGUCAAUGAGAGGAAAGAAGUGGUAGGUUUGGAGAGAUAUGUAGGGAAUCAACGUGGCUGUGACGAAAAAGAAGCUCAACGUUGAUAAUGGCGGCAAAGGUAAUGUGGAGAUGGGGAUUCGUCUUCCCGAUGUCGGUAGUGCGAUUAAGAUGCGUAUGGAGUAAUAAUUCUAUUGCUGCUUUUUUUAUUACUAUUUUUUAUAAUUUAUUUACUGAACUUAUAAAUUUUGUUACAUUUGUACGUAUAUCUGUUUCAUCUCUUUUAUUUGUGUAUAUGUUAAUAUAUAUUAUCUUUAUUUAUUAAUGUCUUAUGGCAAUUCAAAAAAUUUAAAAUUUUUACUUGUGAAUCUUCUGUUUUCUAUAUAUAGCAUCAGCCUGCCGCAAUGCGUGGGUAACUUCACUAGUGGAUACAUUAUAAUUUGUAAAUAAAUCAAAUCAUUAUACAAUGGAGACAUUAUGAUUUAUAAAUAAAAAUAAAUAUAAAAAUUUAUAAUAUAAUAACCAAAAUGCUGGAAAUAAAUAUUAAAAAAAUAUAGAAAUUCUAAAAAAAAUUUACCUUAAAUUGGAAGAGUCGAAUCCCACAUAAUUUAAAAUAUAUUAUACGGUAGAAAAAUCUAAAUAAACAAAUAAAACAUCAAAUUCAAAUAAAAAAAGAACCUUUCAAAUUAAUCGUUAUAUCAAUUUUCUUGAGACAAAGUAAACAAUAUUUAGUACAUCAUUUCUUAUUCAUCCAAAAUGAGUAUGAGUACAACCCUUUGUAUAGACUCUAAAUUGACAUUUCAUAUUCUAAGAUGACUUUUUAUUUUCUUUUAUUAGAAUAUAUGGCUUUUCAUAUUCUCAACUUUUUAAAUUUUUAGAUAUAUUAAGUUUUCCAACCUUUUAAUUUCUAAUUAAUUUUUAAAAAAUAAUAAAAAAAAUUGGUGGGACCCACAUUCUUAAUUUAAGGGGUAGUGCAUGGGGCCACAUUUCCAAAUUAAAAAAAUGAUGAUCUAUCCAUAUAGAAAAAAAAAUGAUGAAAGAAAAAACACAAUUAAUUUGAAAAAAUAAAAAAAUUGAUGGGACCCACACCCUCAAAUUAAGGUGGUUGGGUCACAUCAACUUUAAGAACAUGAGGAUUCAUAAUUUUAUAUAGAUAUAUAGAUAUAGAUAUAGAUAUAGAUAGCUAUCAUUUCAAAUUUCAAAAUAGCUAGUAUAAUAUAAUUCUAAAGUGAUCGACCGUCCCUAGAGCAAGUGGCAAAGGGUUUGAUGGUUGGUACCCGAGACCCAAGUUUGAAUCCUAAUUGAUUCACAUUUCCAGCUAAAUUUAUUUUUAAAUGAAAUAAAUGAAGCAGGUAGCGUGUUAUCCAUCUCUUAAAAAAAAAAAAUCUAAAGUGAAGCGAACCUUUCUCUUUGCAUGCAUGCAUGCAUGUGCAUGCAUUUUACAAAUUAAAUUUUUUAGGUAGAUAGAGUUAGUAGACCAUUCGACUACUGGUCGGUGAAGGAUAAGAUUCUUACAACAUUUUCACUAUAUAUAGCUUGUCGACCUACUAUAGGCAUGCUACUAAAGGCAAGACGAGGGGAUUAGUUCUUAAUUACUAGGUAAAAGUGUUUUAGCUUAUCUGAACCAUAAUAUUUUUUACUCUGACUGCCUAAUUUUUAAAACUUUUUAUUUGGUUUUUGAGCCAUUUAAUGACUCUUUUCACUUUAAAUUUGAAUGCACCAUCUAAUUUUAUGAGCUUUAGAUAUUUGUGGAUUGAGAUUUCAUGUGAUUACAUUUCUAUUAAAGAAAACAGUGCGCUCAAAUUUUGCAGCAAAAAAUGUGGCUCAAUUUAACUAAACCAAUACAAAUGUGAGGCACUAAAAUUAAAAACUUUAAAGAUUUAGUAGUGAGAUUCAGUUACGUUCCAUGCACUUUUAUCAUUUAGUUUAGGUAAAAAUGUAUAAAACAUAUCUCAACUAUCAUCUGUUUUAAUCUAACUAUAAAAUUUUUAAUUUUACUAUCUAAUCUUUGAAUUUAUUUGAUUUGAGUCAGGUAGUGAUCCUUUCUAUUCUUUACAAAUUUUAUUAAUAUAUUUUCAUGUAAUUCAUGCACGUAACUAUAAUUUCAUUAAAGUUAGCAAUUAGCUUAAAUUUGGUAUCCAAAAAAUAUCAAAUUAUUUAAAUCUAACAAUUAAAUUGAAAGAUUGUGCAUUAGAAUCAAAAUUUUGAAAAACCGGAUAGUGAAAUCAAAAUAGUCUAUAGUUCAGAUAAGUUGUACAUAUAUAUUUUUAUCUUUAUUUUAUUUGAAGAGUGGCUAUUAAUUAAACGAUAGAACGUCAUAAAAUAAGAAAUUAGGGUUUUAUUAGGGUUUUAGAGUGGUUACCCUACACGACACUGCGUGGUGGAAUUGCCGUCCUUAUGAGCCAAAAAGGAACCGAGCCUGCUCUACUAUACGUACAUGUUGUUUAGAUGGAUAAACUUAAUUAUAUAGUAUAGUAUAGUAUAGUAUAGUAUAGUAUAGGUGGCUACUGUUUCCAAAAGAAGGAAAAAAAAAAAGAAAAAGAGCAUGUUGUCUGGAUAGAUAAACUUAAUUAUAUAUUACAGGUGGUAACUGUUUGAAAUAAUUUAUUACGGGCUGUUAUAUAUGGUGGGAUUAAUUAUGUCGCUAGUAGGUUUAUGACUUGCUUGGAUAUUUGUAGGCUGGCAAUUUAGCUCGUUGUUCACAAGUCAACUCAUAAUUGGCUUGAAAAUGCACUCGACAUUGAUCACUCAUUUGGUAAAUGUGUCAAAUAUGAGCUAAAUUUUAUGUAUAUAGAAUCUAGCUAUACUAUCCUAUUAAUAGGAUGGAGACCUUCGUCUUAUCAAGUCGUUCUUAAUGAUAGAGAUGCCGAAUCGAUAAUCCGAACUAUUAAAAUUGAUCUAGGGUAUUUGAAGUAUCUAGAAACUAAAUUUUAGAAAUUUUAAAAAUUAUUUACAUGGUGAUCAAAGGAUCGUAAAAUCGACAAUUUUUAACGACCUACAUGAACCGUUUGCUUAUUUAACGGUGCAGAACAAAUCCAAAUUGUUUGAAUUUUUGAUAAAUUUUGUUUAUACUAUUUAGAUAAUAUUUGAUAACUCUGAUCAUGAAUUGAGAAAGUCUAAUCUCUAUUUUAAGAAGGAUAUUCAUUUAUGACCGUUCAUUUUUCGACUAUUCGAUAGACUUGAUAAUGAUUUUUAAAAAUUACAAAAUUCAGUUUUUAAAUAUUUUUAUAGUGUAGAUUAAUUUCAACGGUACCGAUUAUCAAUUUGGAGUGUCGAUCAUUCAAAACAACUUGAUAGGACAAUGAUCUCAAUCCUAUUAAUAGGAUAGUAGCUGGACUCUCUCUCUCUCUCUCUCUCUCUCUCUCUCUCUAUAUAUAUAGAGAGCUAGGCUGGUAUACUAUCAGUAGCACGGAGGCCUCAGUGCUACUAAGUUGUUUUCAAUGAUGCAGCUUCCAAAUCGACGAUCGGCUCCGCUAGACUUGAUCUACACUAUUGAAAGUAUUAGGAAACUAAAUUUCAUAAUUUUUCGGCAUCAUUUGGCUAGUUAUCAAAAGGUCUCAAAAUUGACAAUUUUGAUGGUAGAUGUGAUGUGUUUGUGAAUUUAACGGUGUAAAACAAUUCAAAUAUGAUGAAAUUUUUAUAAAUUUUUUUUUUUCACUAUUUAGAAUAAGAUCAGUACCUCUGAUCUUAAAUUCAAGUCUUUUAUCAUCAUUUUUUAGGAAAACUACUCGUUUGAUAGAUAAAUAAUAUCGAAAAUUUAUGAAAUUUAAUUUUCAAAUAUUUUCAAUAGUGUAGAUCAAGUCUAACGGAGCUAAUCGUCGAUUGGGAAGCCGCAUCAUUGAAAACAACUUAGUAACACGAAGGCCUUCGUGCUAUUGAUAGUAUACCAGCCUAGCUCUCUCUCUCUCNAUAUAUAUGUACUAUUUGAAUUUUAGCUCAAUCCAAAUGUGAGGUGGCCUUUAUUUUUGUGAAUUUCAAUUAUUAAAUUAAGAUUCUAAUUUUUUAAUUUUCUUUCAACUUUUUACCUUACAGUAAGGCUAACAAUCUAAUUUGAUGUUUGCAACCUAGCUCGUGAUUGACCCAUUAAUAAAUGAGCUGAAUUUGUUAGCUCGAUAUGUUAAUAGGGUAGUUCGUGUUCGACUUGUUUAUUAAACGAGUUGAAAAUGAGCUGCCCCAGCUCGCUCGUAUUUGACUCGUUGACAAUCCUAGAUGUUGGAAUGUGCUUACUGUAUUUAUAAGGGCUCAAUUUAGACAUCUGAAUAAAUUAUCCAAUGAUAAUUUAUUCAACAUAAAAAUGUUUCUAUGUGAUUUGAAACAACUAAGUUUGACAUUGACUAGUGUGGUUAAGUAGGUGUUUGGUUCCAUACAAAAUUAUAGAAAACUAUUUUCGAAAGUAAAUUAUUUUAGAUGAAAAAAAUAUUUUAUGGUUCUCUAUGUUCGGUUUGUAUGAAACAGAAAACUUUUUUUUUUUUUUUUGAGAGAUAGGUAACACGCUACUCGCUUCGUUUAUUUCAUUUAGAAAUAAACUUAGCUAGAAAUGUGAAUCAACUAAGAUUCGAACUUGGGUCUCGGGUACCAACCACCAAGCUUUUUGCCACUUGCUCUAGGGACGGUCGGUAACAGAAAACAUUUUUGUAUCAUAAUUUGCAGUAGCCCUGCUCUCUCUCUAUAUAUAUAUAGUAUAAUGUAUAAUGUAUAAAAUUCUAUAAUUUAAAUUAAAUAAAUAAUAAUUAAAGAAGUAGUUGGCGGCCAAAAGUGAUGCAGUUCAUACAGUUUGCGUCAACUCGGGACCCUAUCACCUAGACAUUACUGGGCCUAGGUUUUCCCCCUCAACUUUUUAUUUCCCGCUCGCGGAAAAUAAAAAACAUUCUUUUUCUCAUUAUCUAUAAAAUUAGAUCACAUAAAAAAAAAAUCUAUUCAAUUAAGCAUUUUGAAAUUUUUACAUUAAUACCGACCGUCCCUAGAGCAAAUGGCAAAGGAUUUGGUGGUUGGUACCCGAGACCCAAGUUCGAAUCUUAGUUGAUUCACAUUUCUAGCUAAGUUUAUUUCUAAAUAAAAUAAAUGAAGUGGAUAGCGUGCUACCUAUUCCUCAAAAAAAAAAAAAAGAAGAAAUUUUUACAUUGAUUCAAACAGCUCCUAAUGCAAUCAAUGUUUACCCUAGGGUUCCCAAAGGGUCAGUCAGGGUUCAAAUCCUUUCUUAUACAAGAUUUCUUUCUAGUCUUCAAUUGAUGAGUUUAUUCAGUCUGUAUCAUUCAAUUGAUUGAAUAAAACCGCCUUAGGGCAUGGUUUCCCUCAAAAAAAGAAAAAAAAAAAAAAAACAAAGAACCUACCUUUGUGCCUAGGGAAUGUCAAUGGAUUUGGGUACCAACAUUGUAUUCAAAUUUGGAUCCAAUGGAGACAAUUUAGAAUGGGAAUAGUUUUAAUCACAGAGAUAAUUAGAUAAAUAUUCAAAACCCGACGGUUUUACUUUUGAUUUUUGUUUACAUCUGAUAUAAAAUCCAUUGUACUUUUAUUAAUCGAUAUAUUUUAGAUAUUGUAAUGAUAAAGCUUUCUAUAUUGCAAUUUUAUUAAAUUAUAAAAACUCAAUUUGAAUUUUGAGAUUUUAAGUUAAAUUUUAAUUUGGCGAGAUCCGGGCCAACCAAACGGUCAUGCCCUUAUUUGUUAUAGAUCCAACUGUAUUUAUUUUCAUUAUCACUUCUACGUAAGUUUUCAGUGGCCUUUAUUAUUUCUUUUUUCAGUUCUUAUUCUAAAUCGCGAUUACUCUAUAUAAAACACAUUUAGUAAUACUAAAUGUGUUGCAGAUUCAGAAGUUUCAAAUUUAAUUAAAAUUUGAUUCUUAUAGAGGUGCGAACUGUUGGAUUUGGAUCGUGACAGAUAUUUAAUCUAAUAGUUUAUAUAUAAUAAUAAUUUAAUUUAAUAUUUUAGGUUUAGGCUUUGGAUAUGGGGUUUAGGGGUUUUCAGUUUGUUUAGCGGGUUCAAUUUUGAUUUUGAAUUUUUAUAGUCCUUUCGAUAUAGGUACGAUUGCGAAUUUUGAUUUUUAGUUCGGGUCGGGUUUUGAAUUUGAUAAAAACCGACCCGAAAUAGAUCUAACUUGGCCCAAUUUCAAGCACCUCCAACCCAAUAACCCAAAUAUAAAGCAACACUACUUUUGCUCGAAUUUCCAUGGCAAAAUUAUUGGAUAUGUCCCCGUACUUUCCCAAUAUUGCAACUGCGCCCUAUAAUUUUAGCUACAUUAGCUCAAUUUCAGAACUUUCACAUAAAUUAUAUUUUUAUUGUAGAAUUUUUAAAAAUUUAGAUUUUAUUUUCUUUCUUGUGAUGUGAUGUAAUUGGGCCAACUUUUCUUUUGUGGGACUCGGAUUUUUUGUUCUAUGAUAUCCUGAUAAGAAUAAGACUCUGAGCCUAAUAAAUGGGAUCUCCUGUAAAAAAUUUUAGUUUAUUGAAAACAAAGUGUGAACAAAAGUUUUAUUUUGAUCCCUAUCUCUUAUUUUCCUCCCCUCUUAUAUCUCUUCUUUUUCUCCCCUCUUCUGAUUUUCAAUCCGAGAAUGUAUACUAAGGAGAUUAUCACGGAUUAUUUGCACAAAUUGCUCUAGUUCAGUUAUAACAUAAUUUGGACCCAGUAAACUAAAAUAUAUUAUUUUGUAUAUUUUUAUCUUAAUAGUUUAUAUAGUAUUAGAUAGUCCUCAAUGCCAAAUAGACCUCUGAGCCUUGGUCCAAUCGCAUGCCCUGCAGUAGGAAAAAUUCUAGAAUGCAACGGGUAUAUUGAUAACGUGGCGUAACAGAUUAAUCAAAAAUUUUCUUUUAAAGAUAUAUGCCCAUCAUGAUUAUAAAAAAGUAUUUUUAUUGUACUUUUGUUUGAAAAGAAAGAAGAUGAUUGGCUUAUUAUUAAUGACGUAAUGCAAAUGUGAUAGUGUAGGAUUCCUCCCACUGUAGCCAAGUUUUGGAGGUUAGAACCAAAUUCAAUGAUGAUUGGUAUUAAUUGCGUUGAAGCUUCCAUUGCUGAUAAGAUGUUGCCAUCUGGAAAACAAUUGUUACUUCCAAAAGAUUCAAUUAUUAAAAAACAAAACUUUGAAAGAAGACUGAUUGAAUUUGAACAACCUAAAGCACAAAUCUGAAUUGAAAAAAAAGACUAAAUUAUAGAAAAUUUUCACGUCAAAAUUUGAUUUUUACUUUUCUCACUUGUUGUUCAAAAUCCUACACUUUGCUCCUUUAAAAGUAAAAAAAUAUUUACAGAAAAGUACAAUAUUAACUCUAAUGACAAAAUAAUUAAAUUGCCUUUCAUCCUCUUCGUCUUCUCUCCAAUACUGCUUAUCCGCAGCAUCUCCUCCCUCGUUCUUCACACUUCUUUCGACCCCAGCUCCGACUCUAUUUUCUUACCUGUUGCUUCACUCCUCCGACACCCUCGCCGCCCCUCCAAUAGAGCAACUGUAGGGAGGAGAUCAUGGUGAGCAUGGACGGAAAGGUGGGCGAGGGCGAGAGUCAGGCGGCGGAGGAGGGCGAGGGCGUAUGUGUGGGUACGGAGAUAGCGGUGGGCGAGAACGAGACGGCGUAGCCGAGGAUGUUGACAAGGAAGGCAGAGACGCAUAUAAGAGGAGAGUUUAAAGGACAUUUUGAAUAUAAAAAAAAAUAUAAUAAUAAAAUAUAAACAGAAUUCUAACAGGACACUAAUGACAGGACCGAAGUAUACAUUCCUCAAUUUUUAAGGGGCCAAAAUAUAGGUUUUCAAAAGAUGGUGGGAAAAAAAAAAAAAAAAGGUAUUGACCGGAGAAUUUUUUAUAACUUAACAUUAAAAAAAUAAAAUUUGAAGUUAGAAUCUUUUAUUUUGAUAUCUGUGCAUCAACUAUUUUCUCUAGAAGCUCACUAUACUAAGGAACAAUGUCUUAGUAUCUUAGAAAUAAAAUGCAAUAUUGGAACCACCCAAACUACAGCUAUUUAGAGACUGCUAUUUAAGCUGUAAGAUUUUGAUAUUUGACACCUAAACUUUAAAAUUUUAAACUUUAAUUAAGGGCCUAAAUCUGCAUUAGUUCCAUUUAUUAACUUAGGGUGGUGAAUAUUAGUCGAAUGAUCAGGGAAAAAAUGAACAAUGACUAUUAAGGUGGAUCGACCAUUUUGGUAGCCAAAUCCAGUUUUGUAGCAAAAAUAUUAAUAAUAAUUUUCAGAAUUUAAUUGUUAAAAUCAAAUUAAACAAUUAGCAUCAAUUAUACAACCAUGGGGCUGUUUGGUUGGUUGUAAUUGUAAAUAUUACAAUAUAGUUAAAAAUAUAGUAGUUAUAACUGCACACAAUUUGGUUGGUUUUAUAAAGAUGCAAUUGCUGUAGUUGCAUUUUCUCAAUUUGGUAAUAUGAAACUAAUAAUUGUAUUUGUAAAUUUUGUCACUUUUUCGGAUAGAAUGAUGAGAAUAUCUUCACUAUAUAUAAUAUAAUUAUAUAAUUUUAUUAAUCAUUUAAAAUUGUUAUCUAUAAGUAAAUAGUGAUAUAUAAUAUUUUUAUACAUCUUUAAUAAUUUUUCAACUUAUCUAUCAAUUGACACAACUUAAAUUUUUCAAUCAAUUUAAUUUGGGAAAACUUCAAAAAAAUCUCCAGUGGUUUCGCACUUUUUUAUUUUAAUACCAUGUGGUUUAAAGUGUAUCAAGUUAGUACCUAUGGUUUCGCACUUUCUCACUUUAAUACCCUGUGGUUUAAAGUGUAUCAAGUUAGUACUAUAUGGUUUUAUUUUUGUAUCAAGUUAGUACCCUAUGGUUUUUAAACCACAGGGUACUAAAGUGAGAAAGUGCGAAACCACAGGGUACUAAUUUGAUACACUUUAAACCACAGGGUACUAAAGUGAAAAAGUGCAAAACCACAGGGUACUAACUUGAUACACUUUAAACCACAUGAUACUAAAGUGAGAAAAAGUGAAACAACAAGGGAGGUAUUUAAAGUUUUCCCAUUUAAUUUUAAGAGAUCCACCAAACUUACAAAAUUAUGAUUCUCUCUAUUAUUUUAUCAAAUUGAAUAGUUGUAAUUACUAAAAUUUGUUAAGUUAACACUCAUAAUCAAAUUCUAUGAAAAUUUACGAAAAAAAUUACUUUUAUAUUGUCAAAUGAACCAUUUUUUUUUAAAAAAAAUUACACAAUGAUUGCGUUGCAUGCAAAUUAACUUUUAUUGUCCAAGUAUUUAUUAACAAGUAUUUUUGUUUAUAUAUGUACAAGUAUUUAUUUAUUUAUUUAUUUGUUAUUGUUAAUUAGUGGGUGAGAUCUUAUCCCUCAUCAGCAACUGAAACUACAGCCAAUUUGAAUGUAGUUUUCACUACAAUAUUUGAUUCUUCUUAUGUAGUUGCAACUGCAAGCCAAACACAAAAAUUAAGUAUGUAUGUAUUUGCAACUGCAGUACAGUUAUAACUAUAUAUAGUCAAACAAUCCCUCUUCUAAAGCUAAAUUUUGGCAUAAAAAAGAUCUAUCUAUGGUGGCGGUGCCCUUCACCGUCGGUGGUGUGUGUGCUCUCCACUAAAAUUCUUGAUCAUUUGGCUGCGCUAAAGCCACAAACAAGCAAAAGUUCAGGUGAUUCAUAAACAUUUAACACCAUAUUUUAUUUUCAAAAAUUAUAUACCUGAGACUGAUUCCAAUUAAUCAAAAAGAUUACUAACUUUUUGAUUUUGCGAUAGCACUAUGUCCAUGUUAUAGCCUUUUAGUGUUCCAAAAUGCUGUUGGCUUAAAUAAGCUUUCUAUCUUGUGGCAGAAGAUCAAGUGGGUCGAGUCACAUUCGAAAUGGCGUAAGGCCGGGAUAGGCCAGGUCAUGUUUGAAGUAACAUUAAGGCUGGGAGGAUCAAGUCACAAUCGAGACCUAUGAACGCUAUAUGAUAUAUCUGUACGCUUUAAGUGAAUUGGUUGUAUAUUUCUAACGGCUCGAGCUUUUGAGAUUAAUACUUAGUGCCAACGACGUACAACAUUUAAUUUUAAUAUUCUCACUUUUCAUGUAAAAAGGAUGUUCAAUCUUAAUAGACUCGCGUUUUGGCAAGCUCCUAAUUAAGGUCAACAAAAUCCUAAGUAUAAUGGGCGUGGCAAAUUGUUUGCAAUGCAAAGGACAAAUUGAAAAGGGUACCGUUAUUUAGUUAUGUAACGAAGUGGCAUCUAAACGACAAGCACUCCGUAAAGUUUAAAGCUCUGAUAAAUAUAGGAUUUUAGAACCGUCAAUUUCGCUAACUAGGCCUCUAAACUUUAUCAGAAAGUUUAAUAGAUCUUGGAUGUCGACCACGUGAUUUAUUCAAGAUAAUUUAUAAAGAUAUAAUCGAUCCAACGGUUAAAAUUUAUUUGGGCACGUCCUUAAUAAACGGACAUGAUUAAAUAUCCUUACAUUAUAUAUAUAUAUAUAUAUAUAUAUAUNAAUAGCUCAUCAUGUCAGAAGCCUGAUUCUAUGCCAGCGUUGCCAAAAGGAGCAAGCAAAAGACGCAACUUACAAUGGCAAGGAUGCAGAUGAGGCAGAGGACGUGAGAGCAAGAACUCCAAAACACACAAUUGCUAUGCUCCGAGCUGCUUUUUUUCGCCUUUCUUUCUCAUUCAUGUCAUCUGCAACAUUUAUAUACUACAAGAUUUGAAUUCCAAAUAGAGGCCUGAUAUGUCAGUAACCUUAGGAAUAACUUUAAAUGGCAAUUAAAUCUAAUUGAAAGAGAAUAUUUGACUGCAAAAAUGAUAAGUAAGAUACUUGUUGACUGUCUAAAAAUUUGGAAAAAUAUGUGAAGGUGUAGGUCCAAGUUCUGAGUGGUUCCAUUAUCAAGGUGCUUUAUGUGCUGAAACAUGCAUCAGUAAGUCAAAAAGAAAAACAGGCGAAACUUGUAGGGUGGUACGGUUUGUGGUAAGAAUGGAUUUCACUCCGCUUUCGAAAUGCUUGCUUUUCUAAUUUCUUAGUGUGCUUUUCAUGGAAAAAGGAAUGAAAUAGAUGUUGAUUACUACUGAUCUUAUUCCAGGGCACAUCAUGACAUCCAUUAUCCAUAUCAUGCAACGACCCGACCCGCUAGCAAUAAUAACUCGUUGGGCCCAAACCAUCGGCCCAAAAUACUUAAGCCGGGUUAUUAUUACUAGUGUCUAAGUCUCUUAUAAACCCAAUGACAACUCCAUUCCCAUCCGAUGUGGGAUUAUUGGGGUGUCACAGACUCCUCCCAUUAAGACCCUGACGUCCUCGUCAGUCACACAUACAGCCCAAGAUCACCAGGCAAUGUGAGACUUAUCUCACUAGCCCGUCAUCUAGACCCUGGCUCAGUCGAGACUCGCCACACAUGUCCAGCUGGUGAGCCGGCUCUGAUACCAAAUGUAACGACCCAUCCCACUAGCAAUAAUAACUCGUUGGGGCCAACCACAGCCCAAAAUGCUUAAGCUCAGUUAUUAUUACUAGCGUGUAGGCCUCAUAUAAACUGAUUGAAAUCAGUAUCCCAUCCGAUGUGGGACUAUUGGGGGCGUUACAAACUCCCCCUGUUUAGACCCUAACGUCGUCGUCGGGUCCAAACCAGAUCAUAGACAGACAGACCGGGACCAUUACCAGAUGAUGUGAGAUUCUAGAGGAGGCUCCUACGGGUUCAAGAGGUGGAUCCCACCAAACCCGUUGGUGUAGCACUUUGUCCCGCAUAGCACUUAGUUCUCACACCUUCGGCUGGUAUUCAGCUCUGAUACCAUAUGCAACGACUCGACCCGCUAGCAACAAUAACCCGUUGGGCCCAACCACCGGCCCAAAAUGCUUAAGCCCAGUUAUUAUUACUAGCAUGUAGUUCUCAUAUAAACUGAUCGGAAUCAGUAUCCCAUCCGAUGUGGGACUAUUGGGGACGUUACAAAUUCCCCCUGUUUUAGACCCUCGUCGGGUCAAAAUCAGAUCAUAGACAGACAGACCAGGACCAUUACCAGGCGAUGUGAGAUUCUAGAGGUGGCUCCUACGGGUUCAAGAGGUAGCUCCCACCAAACCUGUUGGUGUAGCACUUUGUCCCGCAUAGCACUUAGUUCUCACACUUUCGGCCGGUAUUCGUCUCUGCCCUGAAGCAUGAAUGUCCCGAAUCUGACUUUCUUUUCAUCGGUGCACUGCAUAGCCGUAAAUGCUUUUUCCAUCUCCUUGAUCCAAUUUUCCGCUUCAUCCGGAUUUGUAGCGCCUGAAAUAGGUGGAGGAGCAGACUUCUUAAAUUCAUUAAUGCUCCUCUCUCGAACUCUGGAACUUGACUCCGCGGCACUAGGAGCUGGACUUUGUUGUAAAUUUUGUUGUUGAGUCUGAACUAGCCCGACCACAGCUUGUUUCAGGGUGGCGACUAGGGGAUCCAUUGUGGUGCUCUGCAGUAAAGUGGCGGAGUGGGUGGGAAUAGUAGGUUGUGGCGGCGGAGGAACAAAACCAGAAGGUACAGUCAACGGCGGAAACGAAAAGGUAGUGGGAGCGGCCGUCGAAGGCAUCCCAGUACUAAAAGUCUGCUGUAGAGGUGGAGCAAACGUUGAAGGGUUCGUUGGAGGUGCUAUGGUUGACUGUAGCGAAUUCUGAAUAGUAGGCGGAACAAUAGUAUGAGGUGGAACAGCUGCCGAGGAUGUGGUAUUCAAAAGUGAAGCUAGGGUGGUGUUCAGAUAUGCAUCUCCGGAUCCGACUGGAGGUGGGUUCCUCGGUUGCUUGUUGUUGGUGUUGCCAUGGCGGGACGGACGCACCACCAUCUUAACAAGAGAGGGGAUCACAAACAUGUAAAGCAAGAUGUUAACGAAAACUGUAAACAAUAAUCAAAUAGGAUCAAACACGCGCCUACUUUUACCCAUCCUCACACGUCCUAAUAAACUCUCACAGUCCUAUACCUUAAAAGUUACAGUAGAUCUUAAACCUUGUAUUCUCUGAUACUAAUUGCAACGACCCGACCCGCUAGCAACAAUAACUCGUUGGGCCCAACCACCGGCCCAAAAUGCUUAAACCCAGUUAUUAUUACUAGCAUGUAGGUCUCAUAUAAACUGAUCGGAAUCAGUAUCCCAUUCGAUGUGGGACUAUUGGGGACGUUACAUAUAUAUAUAUAUAUAGAGUCCAGCUAUGGUGCUUGUAAAAGCACCAAGCACUUGGUGCUUGUAAGUUUUUUACCGUUAGAUCUACUUCUCGGAUCAUUUUCAACCAUUAGAUUAUACUAUUCAACCAACCACUCACUCAACCCUAGGGGGCCCACAUCAUCCUAACCGCAUAUCUCUUAAUCCAAUGGCUAAAAACCUAUAAGCACCAAUAACUUGGUACUUUUAAAAGUAUAUGAGCUCAAUUCUAUAUAUAUAGAGAGAGUUUGACUACUAUACUAUUUAUAGUACUAAGUCCUUGGUACAAUUGAGUUUUCUACCGUUAGAUCUACCCUUUGAUCAUUUCCACCCGUUAGAUUAUACUAUUAAACCAAUCACUCACUCAACCCUAGAGGACCACUAUCAUCCUAACCGCACAUCUUUUCAUCCAACGGUCGAAAACUCAAUAGCACGUACUAAGAGGUUGGUACUAUUGAUAGUAUAGUAGCAUAAUUCUAUAUAUAUAUAUAUAUAUAUAUAUAAUAAGAGUUC